This 92416-nucleotide long non-coding RNA is filed under the name Hordeum vulgare. RNAcentral's name for it is "long non-coding RNA (HVUL_LNC002211)". Lineage: Eukaryota; Viridiplantae; Streptophyta; Magnoliopsida; Poales; Poaceae. The record is from RNAcentral.
UGAUCAAAUGAAUGAUCCUGAACACCUACCUACGUCAGACAUAACCCCACCGUGUCCUCGAUCGGAGAAAGAACUCACGAAAGAGACAGUCACGGUUACGCACGCAGUUGGCAUGUUUUAAUUAAGUUAACUUCAAGUUAUCUAUAACUAGUGUUAAACAAAGUAUCCACGUUGCCACAUAACCGCGGGCACGGCUUUCCGAAAAGAUUUAACCCUGCAGGGGUGCCCCAACUAGUCCAUCACAAAUUACCACAAGCCGCAUAGAAAUCCUCAAUCACGAAGCUCGCGAUCUCGUCGAAUUCCCUAGUGGAAAACCUCAACUCUGAGAUUACCCAAAGCAUCACCGGAAUCCCGAUGCACAAGAUAUCUCGUCAAAGGUAAAACUAAUCCAGCAAGGCCGGCCGACGUGUCGACGAUCCCGAUAGGAGUCGCGUACCUCGUUCUCAGGACACGGCGGAUGAGCUAGACGCCGGGAUCGCUAAACCUCCGGGUGACCAGAGGGGCGCCGAACAUCGCUCAGGUGGGACCAACACUCAUGAGGAGCACUGGCCCGGGGGUUGAUUAAAUUAGUCCGCGGGUGCCGGCGGGUCCCUAUGCAUUAUUAUUAGGUUAUUAGGCAAAUGUAGUACCAAUGUUGGGCCUUGCCAGACCAGCUUUAAUCUAAAACGAAUUAUCAAGGGGGUCCCCAUAACAACCCCGAUCGUGUUAGGAGCGCUCAUUUAUGGAACAUAACACCGGUAGCCGGUAACUAAAGGGGGGCAAAGGUGGAACAAAACACCAGGCUAGAAAGGCCGAGCCUUCCACCUUUUACCAAGUAUAUAGGUGCAUUAAAUUAAAUAGCAUUUAAUAUGGUGAUAUAACAAGGAACCCAUGUCUUCACAUGGAAGCAUCUGCACCUGCAACUAGCAUCGCUAACACAUGGUUAAGCAAGCGGUAACAUAGCCAAUCAGUGGUUUGCUAGGUUGAACAGGUUGAAGGUUAACAUGGCAUUGUUGAGAGGCUGAUAUUUAACAGGUGGUAGGCAACGAGACAUAAUCGAUAGAAGUGAUAAAACUAGCAUGGCAAUGAUAGUAAUGGUAUCUGGGGAAAUGAUCAUCUUGCCUGAGAUCCCGCUUGGAAGAAGAAUGCCUUCGUGAAGCAGACGAACCGACGUAGUCGAACGGGUCCUCACAAUCCGGCACGCUGCGGAACUCUAUCGAGACGAAGCAAACCGGAAACACAAAUCAACACACGAAAUUCACCACACGAUGCUCAACACAUAUGAUGCAUGAGCUACUGAAUACAUGCAAGUCACGGCAUGGCAAAUCACACAAUCAAACACUACACAUUAAGUGAAGUUCAAUAUGCACGAGUUGCAUAUUGACGAAACUCCACGUUAAUUUAUUUAGUUCUAUCCCGAUUAGAUACACGGCAAUAUUAAUGUUGUCAAACAUGCAAGAGGUGAAGCGGAAGUUAAACUACCUAUCUAGGCAUUUUAAGUGAGGUCGGAAAUGACAUAUAGCACCUCCGAAUCGACCUCACAAGUUAAUUUACAAUUCUGUCCAGAUCUGAACUAAUGCAUUUAAUUGGUUGUUAAACAGCAAAACAAAUAGGUUCAUGUGAUUCUACGCGUCAAGGCAAGCAACCCACACAUAAAGAACAUCUCCAACGGAGCUACGGUUCAAAAGAUACAAGCACCGCAAGAUAUGAUGGCAUGAAUGCAAAAAUGUGUGCCACGGCGGCUGCGAGCACUUCAACACAUACAAACAGCAAGAGAAAAUGAAACUACACGAGAUUCUAAGCAAGUUUCAUGUAGGACACGAUCAAAACGGAGCUACGGUUCGAAAACUACGAGCAAAACAAGAAAACACUACAAUCUGCCAAAAUCAGCCACAUAGCACUUUCAACGCCUCACAACUUCGUCUACCCAACUCCGAUAAGCUCAAGCAAGGCAUGGCACGGAAGAGGGCAACAAGCACUACUACAAACAACUAAUAACAACUAAUAUGGCAGCAAGGAGCACUAGGAAAAGAAGACACAAAAUGGCAUCUCACGCACUAUUUCAGACUUAGUGAAAAUUACACCUCAUGAAAGUGCAGUUUUCGAUCUGAAGCAAUAUUGACAGCAGCAAAACCUAUAGCUACAGGACUCCAAAUAACAUGAAACUUAACAGCAUGCUAGAGAAACAUAAGGGGCACAUCUAACUCCAUAGGACCAACCUCAAAAGAGCUACAGAUCACAAGAUGCAAGCAAGACAAAACAGCAACAAAAUAAUAACAGAUUCCAGACUUAGAAAUAUUUCAGCUCCUCUAAAACAGCACUAUUUCUAGCAACUUGAGGGCAAGCAAACAACACCUAAACACGCAUUUCUAUUGCAACCAAAAUACCAGGGGCUAAACAAAACAUCCAAGAUCAACUCUCUAGUUGACAACUCCGUCAAACGACGCACGGAAUAAAUCCUACGAAUUAAACAAGAGGCCAUCACGGUAAAAUAUCUCGCGAACUAACUUGCUCUAAUGCUAAAAAUAAUUGCACAGAAAAAUCCAUGGGAUUUUUCUACCCCGGAAACAUAUAAAAUAUGUGGGGUUUGCAACACAAAAUAAAGCCACACAAAUAUGCGGGAAAAUAACCUAUACACGGAAAAAUAAACUACCCGCAAUUCCCUACACGCAAAAAUACAAAUGACCGCUCUAAAAAGCAUGGAAAAAUAGCCCCUAAAACAUAGGCAUUUCUAAAACGGCAUACGGGCAAUCCGGACUUGCACGAAAAUAAUUACGGGCACUAAGCUAAUGGGACAGCACGGUAAACAAGGCAUUUGGCACGUUAAACUACGUCAAAUAAAUGUGCAAGUUUUAAAUUCGUAUUCUACGCGCGAAACUACCACAAAACCAUACCAAAUUCAUCGCGAUCCGAAUUACGGUUAAAAAGUUACGGGCGUUUAACUACAUGUCUAAAUCCUGAAAAAAAAAUAUUCUCAGGAAAAUCCUAAUAAGCAAACGGGCCGAAUCUGGAGGCGCAAUUUAGCUGAACAGGGCAUGGGCGAAAACUAGAGGACUCGGGGGGUCUGCUCACCUUAGCAGGCCUCGGCCUGGUCGGUGCACUGCUGGGCCGAGGGGGCGUCGGGUGGAGCAGGGCUGCGGCACAGGCGAAGGCAGCAGGGCGAUUGGGCCGACCUGGAGCCUCGGCCUGGCAGACCGAGCUGGCCUCUGCGGGGCGCCUGGCCUGGCUCGCUGGGCCUCUGGUGGGAGGCCGGCCCAGUCGAAGCGAGGCGGCCCAGGCACGCGAGUUGGCUCGGACGAGGGAGGCGUGCUCCUCACGCACAGCCAUGGCGGCGCAGAACAGGAACCGGCAGCGCCAAGGGAAGGCCAGAUCCCGGCGGCGAGGGCAAGGGGAGGCCAGAUCCGGCCGGCCCCGGGCGGAUCCGGGCACCGGGGAUCCGUUCCCGGCGGUGCACCAGGCGGCCCGCGACUCGAGGAGCGUCGCGGCGGGCAGAGGGCGGCGCAAACGGGACAGGGAGGUGGCGAGGAGCUGCGGCUCGGCUCUCCGCGAGCUACAGCCGGCGGCGGGCAGUGGCAUCCCCGGAGCGGCGCGGGCAGGCCGGCGGCGGAGGAAGCUGCGCGGCUCGGGGCAGCUCGGGAACGGCACGAGCUCGGGGCGAGGCUGCCCGGCUGGGGCUCGGGAGCCAGAACGGGGCGGCGGCGGCUCGGAUGGGCUCGGGCGGGCCUUGUGCGGGCUCGCGGGCUAGGGUUUCGGGGGUAGGCACGGAUUUCGAGGAGGAGAGAGAGGGGGUUUGUCUAAAAAUAAUAGGAGGGGCUAUAUAUAGACAAACGGGGGGGCUCGGUUAACCGGAAUCGCGCUCCGGAUCCAACCGCGGGGUCGGAUUCGGACGAUUCCAAACGCGGGAACGGGUACGUGGCCGUGUAGAGGGGUUAUCAGGAGACGAGAGGGAGAACGGGCGACGCGGCACGAAUUUUAAAACACCGACAGACGUUCGACGGUAGCCCGAAUACGGUGCCGCUACGGUCGACCGUUCGGGUACCAGACGGUCUCCGAUCGCGACGAAAUUCGACAGGCGGCCUAGCUCUAACUAAUCACGACCGCACGUCAAAUCUCAACCCGAUCAAAGAAAGUUUUAAACGCACUUUAAAAACAGGGUUUCGGCGGUGCCGCGGGCGCGUGCGUGUGCGGUCGGACUCAGAACGGACAACGACGAGAACCGGCAACUACUAGCGGAUGCAAUUUUUUAAAACGGGCGGCAACGGAUACGCCGAUGCAAUGCAGAUGAUGCGCAUGAUGCGAUGAUGAUGCGACAAAUAAAAAUAGACACACGACGAAAACGGAAAGAGAGGGGAAUCUUCUGGAACAUCGGCAUCGGGCUGUCACAGAAAGACAAGGGAUAAAUCAAAUCCACGCGAGAAAGGACGGAGGAGCAACCUGAGAGGGAUCCCGUAAAGGGUACGGACGGAGGAGAAGGGGAUCCGCGGAGGAGAUCGGUCGAUCUCGAAGAGGGCGGCGUUGGGGAGGAGCUCCUCGAGCUGCUCCCAGGGCUGGCGGCGGCGGCUGGGGGAAGUGGGGCGCAGGGGAUUAGGGUAAAAGACCCAGCCCCGCGCCCAGCUUUAUAUAGGGUCCCCGAGGUGUCGGACGUCCGAGAGGUGUCGGACGGCCGGUGGAUGAUCUGGCGUCGGACGUCCGAGAGGCGUCGGACGUCCGGAAGAUUUUCUGGCGCCGAACGUCCGGAGUGAGCCGGACGUCCGAGAUAGUGAGGGGGGGGGGUAGUUCUGGUAAUUUUGUUGUGAUGAUGAUGACUUUCAUGGUAUAUAUAUAUAAAACAAACUAUGAUCACUGGUUUUUCUAGAAGCAUUACAUGCAUGAAAUGAUCUGUGCGUACGUUGUAAGCUUAAAAACACAUAGAAUUACGACGCACUCCCCCUAAAUAUAUGCGCACAUCAAGACACAACCAUAAUGUGAGUGUAUGUAUGUGUGCAAGAUUUCAAGAUAUGUUGUCAAGCUCCAAGAUACCAAGUUCAUGCCUAAGUUGACAGAACCUAGCUACGCUAAGUGGCUUGGUGAAAAUGUCGGCUAACUGCAUGUCGGUACCCACAUGGGUAAUAUCAAUGUCACCCUUUUGCACAUGGUCUCUCAAGAAAUGAUACCUAAUAUCAAUAUGUUUUGUGCGAGGGUGAUCAAUGGGGUUUACGGAGAUCUUUAUGGCACUUUCAUUAUCACAGAGAAGAGGAACGUGUCGAUACAUGAUACCAUAAUCCUUCAGUGUUUGCCUCAUCCAUAGCAAUUGAGUAGCACAGCUUGCGGCUGCAAUAUAUUCGGCCUCGGCCGUGGAGAGAGAAACACAGUUCUGCUUCUUCGAGGACCAACUUACCAACGAGCGUCCAAGAAACUGACAUGCACCGGAAGUGGAUUUCCGUCCCACUUUAUCACCGGACCAAUCCGCAUCAGAAUACCCAAUAAGAUCAAACUUUGCAUCCUUAGGGUACCAUAAGCCUAACUUUGGGGUGUGAACAAGGUAUCUAAGAAUGUGCUUAACCGCCGUGUGAUGGCUUUCCAUAGGGGAAGCUUGAAAUCUAGCACAUAUUCCUACACUUAACAUGAUGUCCGGUCUAGAUGCGCUAAGGUAAAGCAACGAACCAAUCAUGGAGCGAUAAGUAGAUGGGUCAAAAGGAAUACCGUUUGAGUCUUCAUUUAGAACUACAUCGGUGGCCAUGGGCGUGUUCAUUGGUUUAGCAUUUGUCAUAUCAAAUUUCUCAAGAAUGUCCUUGAGAUACUUCGUUUGAGACAAGAAAAUCCCUUCUUGAAAUUGUUGUAUUUGAAAACCAAGAAAGAACUUCAAGUCCGUGUUGAGUGACAUCUCAAAGGUCUUGGUCAUGGAGGCCGCAAAUUUCUUGCACAAAUGGAUGUUAGGAGAACCAAAAAUGAUGUCAUCUACAUAGAUUUGGCAUAAGAUCAAAUCACCAUUUUCCCUCUUAGUAAAAAGAGUGGGAUCGAUCACCCCCACCACAAAGCCAUCAUCGAGUAGGAACUUCUUAAGAUGAUCGUACCAAGCACGAGGUGCUUGUUUAAGACCAUAAAGUGCCUUGUGAAGUUUAUAUACAUGGUCUUUGUGAUGAGGGUCAACAAACCCAGGUGGUUGUGAUACAUAUACUUCUUCUUGUAGAGGACCGUUAAGAAAAGCACUUUUCACAUCCAUUUGAUGCAAGGUAAAACCAUUGAAAGUAGCAUAGGCCAAUAAAAUGCGAAUGGACUCAAGACGAGCAACAGGGGCGAAAGUUUCACCAAAGUCCAAACCUUCAACUUGGGAGUACCCCUGUGCUACUAACCUUGCCUUGUUGCAUAGAACAAUCCCAUUCUCAUCUUCCUUGUUCUUGAAGAUCUAUUUAGUUCCAAUAACAUUAUGUUCUUCAGUUGGUCGUUCUACCAAUGACCAUACUUCAUUGCGUUCCAAUAACAUUAUGUUCUUCAGUUGGUCGUUCUACCAAUGACCAUACUUCAUUGCGUGUGAAACUGUUUAGCUCUUCCUGCAUAGCAAGUAGCCAGUCGUUGUCACAUAGUGCAUCCUGAACCCUGUGUGGCACGGUACUAGAGACAAACGAAAAGUGAGCACAAAAGUUUGUUAAUUGUUUACGAGUCACUCUACCUUCCGAUACGCCUGUGAGGAUUUGAUCAAUAUCAACACGACCGACCACACGUGGCAUGAUGGAGGUCAAGGUUUCACGAGGUUCUACUUCGUUUCCAUCAUCAAUGUCCUCAACAUAUGGAUCAUUUAUGUGCGGAGGAAGAUAUUCCUCUUCGCGUUGCACCUGUUGAGGUUCAUCAUCAAGCAUGUCCAUACUUUGGUCUAUCUCUUGAGGAUCAACUUGUUCUUGAGUGUCAUCUCCUACUUGAUCCUCAACAACUGGCAUGAUGGGUGUGCUAGUAUCUUGUGGAGGUACGGGCAGUGAACCGUCUUGAGGAUGCGAGAUGUUCUCAUCAUCUUCAUCAUCAUCAUGGGGUCUUUGUUCCAUAGGCAAAAGUGCACCUACACCCAUGUUUAAGAUAUCUUGUGGGGAGUCUUCUUCACCUACAUCAUUUAGAUCAACUUGCUCCCCAUGGGAGCGGUUAAAUUCAUCAAACGUCACGUCACAGGUUUCUAUAACACAUCCAGUGGAUUUGUUGUAGACUCUGUAGGCGUGAGAGUUUGAUCCAUAGCCAACAAAAAUCCCCUCAGUUGUUUUGGAUUGAAAUUUUCCUAACCGUUCCCGUUUGUUGAGGAUGAAGCAUUUGCAUCCAAACACACGAAAGUACUUAACAUUGGGCUUGUUCCCAGUUAGGAGCUCAUACGGAGUUUUCUCCAAUAUUGAUCGGAGGAAGAGCCGGUUUGAUGCAUGACAUGCUGUGUUGACGGCCUCAGCCCAAAAGCUAUGUGGUGACUUGUAUUCAUCUAACAUGGACCUUGCCAUUUCCACAAGUGUCCGGUUCUUCCUUUCUGCCACACCAUUUUGUUGGGGAGUGUAAGGUGCGGAGUACUGAUGUUCAAUCCCCUCAUCACUCAGAAAUUCUUCUAGGGUGUAGUUCUUGAACUCAGAGCCAUUAUCACUUCUUACUGCCUUAAUGUGCUUGUCAAACUUCCGCUGGGCUUAUUUGGCAAAAUCAAUGAAAGUGGCCUUUGUCUCGUCCUUGGACUUGAGAAAGAACACCCAUGUAUAUCUUGAGUAAUCAUCAACAAUGUCUAGGCCAUACUUUUUCCCUCCAAGACUUGCCCAUGAAGGAGGCCCGAAUAGAUCCACAUGAAGGAGCUCUAACGACCUCGAAGUGGAUACAACAUUCUUGGGUGGAUGUCUUGAUUGAUGUUGCUUCCCAACUAUGCAUGCACUGCACACACGAUCUUUCUUAAAAGAUACAUUUGUUAGUCCAAGGAUGUGAUUACCGUUUAAGAGAUUUUGAAGAUUUUUCAUGCCAACAUGGGCGAGCCGGCGAUGCCACAGCCAUCCCAUGUCGGCCUUGGCCAUUAGACAAGUUGUAUGGAAAGUGCUCUCUUUCGAGAAAUCAACCGUGUAAAGGUUGCCAUCCAACUCUCCAACAAAAGCCACUUCAAGAGUGUCUCUCUUAAAGACUUUCACAUCCGUUAGUCCAAAUAGUGUGUCAUAACCGACGGAAGCCAAUUGGCGAACUGAAAGUAAAUGAUAUUGAAGAGAUUGAACAAGCAUGACAUUUGCAAUAGACAUGUCAUUAGUGAUUGCCACCUUGCCCAACCCAAUUACCUGCCCUUUCGACCCUCCACCAAAUACAAUGCUCAUGUAUGGUCGAAUGGCUUGCAUGAAGUCAUAGAGCAAGUUACUAUCUCCGGUCAUAUGAUUGGUGCAUCCACUGUCGAUCACCCAUUUUGCUCCACCGGAGAAAAUAGCCUGUAAAGAAUUAAGACUUGGUUUGAGGUACCCAUUUUGUCAUGGGGCCUUUCACAUUAGUUACAAGAGUCUUAGGGACCCAAAUAGCAUAGAAUCGAAAUGCAUUACGGGACCAACGAAUUUAGCAUAGACCUCUCCUUCCUUUGAUUUGCGUAGUACAUAGGAUGGCGGCAUGAAUUCAGUUGUCUUGUUGUGAGCAGACGGACCCCUAGUGGCCGAUCCACUCACAACCUUACCUUUCUCCGUGUGUCCCUCUGGUACAAAUAUUUCCUUAAGAGGAGUGGUACACUUCAGAGGAGAUGCACUUUUCUUGGCAGUACUUGGGUUGAACCCAAGCCCUUCCUUUGCGACACCUCCAUUGUGUCGACUUAAGAUCUCAUUGAGAGUCUUUUGUCCUUGUGCACAUGUCAUGAGACCUCUGUCUAGCUGUGCCCUUAAUGAACAGUUUUCCUCACGGAUAGAUGUCAGUUCACUACUAGGGUUAGUAGUGUAGGUAUCAACAUUGAUAAUAGGUGAGGAGUAGGCCUUAGCUAGAGUGUCAAGAUAAGUGACCUUAAGUGCCUCAAAGCUCUUUGUAAGAGCAGUGAGUUUUUCUUCCUUGUCUUUGAGAGAUAAGGAUAGACGCUCACAGUCCUUAGAAAGAGAAGCAUGAGAGUUCACAAGUCGGUCUUUAUCAUUUAGUAAUUCUCUGCACACAUUUUCAGCCUUUUUCAAGGAGGCAAGAUCAUUAGCAUGUUUAUCAAGGUUUUCACCUACUUUUGAACAUAAUGCAUCAUUUUGUGCUUCCUCAUAAAGGACUUUCUGCUCAAGGAGUUCAUUUCUCUCCUUCUCCUCAGUGACGAGGGUUUCGAGUUCCUUGAUGGUAUUGGUGUGCUUACUCACCAUUUCCAUAAGUAUACGAAACAUAGUGAGCUUCUUUCCUUUGAGAGAGCCCAUAAAUUUGUUCAUUUUAGCAAACAUGGGAUGAUCUAAAUCGUUAUCCUCAUAAUGAUCUUCCGCAUCAAGAUACUCAUCAGAAGGGGUAGAAGCUAGACUGAAGGAGUUUAGCCGUGGGGUUACCUUAACCUUAUCAUGGGAGCUUUGGUCUUCCCCAUCUCCCAUGGCAGUCUUUGCCAUCAGACACUUGUGAGCGUUGCCCUUGUAGUCCUUCAUAUAGUUGUAGUGAACAACAUCACCACUUUUGUUGACUAGCCUCAAAGUACUCUGUGUAUCUUGAGCUACUCCGGCAACUCCACCAACAUCUUCUGGAUCUGAUUCUUCUUGAGCAACCAUUGCUCUUCCAUCUGUCCUUUUGGACUUGGAGUUCAUGGGGUUCGGUAACUUCUUCUUUACGAAGGUCUUUGGAAACCUUGGUUUGUCUUCUCUCUUCUCAUAAGGGCAGUCGUUGGAGAAGUGGUUGGUUUCCUCACAGUUGUAGCAUUUUCUUACCUUCUUCUUUGGAAAUCUUCCCUUGAACUUCCCUGCACUGAACUUCUUCACAAAGAGGGCAAUGUCCUCAAAAGAUGGGCUUUCAUCAGAGUCAACAUCAUCACCAUCUUGACAGUCAUCAUCACCUUCUUCUUCUUCACUUUCUUCUUCGUCAUACUCAUGCUUGGCUUUCAAAGCAAGGUUGAUCUUUGAUGUUGAAGUGCCAUGCAUGGCUAGGUGCUUUGUUGCAUUUGCCUUUGACUCUUCAAAUAGUUGGAAAGUGGAUAUGAUGUCAUCCGGAGUCAUUUCUUUGAAGGCAUGAUGCUGUCUCAUGUCCCAUACCAUUUGAUGGUGAUAUGGAGCAAGAGCGUGAAGUAACUUGUCCACAAGAAAUCUCUUGGUCAAAUUGAAACCAUCUUGCGUCUUGUCACAGUCACAUGACUCAAUGUCUGCGGCGAGAGUCAUGAGCCGUUCUAGUAGUUGCUUGGGAGAUUCACCCUUUUCCAUACAAAAAUUCUGUAAUUGCCCCUUGGCAAUUUCAUAUUGAGCAAGCCGAAGAGUGGAGGUACCGGUCUUGGUCCUUAUGAUGCUGUCCCACAAUUCCUUGGCACUUGUGAUGUGAAUGUAAGGUCUUCGUUGCUUGUCAUUCAUCCCCUUUAUUAUGCACAUGAUUGCAGUGUCAUUGAGAUGCUUGUCAUAAGUUUCUCUGGGCGUGAGGCAUCUUGGAUCAACAGGAUUGUACCCAUGCUCGAGGAUGUCCAGCAUCUCAUCAUUGGCAUACCUAAGAUGAUCCUGCAUACCAACUCUCCACAAAGCAAAAUCGGAAUUGUCAUCAAGCAAGGGAGGUUUUCCUCCAGGAUUGUACUUAGGUUUCUCAAUUUGAGACUUAGCAUAAAGCCAUGGAACACUGGUUUGGUUCCUCUCCGGAGGAGGUUGGCCAAAUGAAGUACCGUGCACGUGGGGCCCUGAGGCCCUCGGGGACGUGGUUGUCCCCGUGGUUAGUGCUACUAGUCUCAUUUGGAUCAUGGACUCAAGAGAAGCAUCAUGCUCCUCUUUUUGCUUGGCAAGGGCCCGUUCCAGGUCCUCAGAGGUGAAAGACUUGACUUCCGCGGAAGUCCCGUCCCUCUGCACUGGAGCUACUGUAGCUGGAUCCAUGUCCAUCUCGCUCUAGGGCGGUUAAGCCACACAAAUAGAGCACGAGGCUCUGAUACCAAUUGAAAAGGAUCGAGAUGGACCUAGAGGGGGGGGGUGAAUAGGUACAAAUCCAAAUUUUAACAAUUACUUAGAAAUUUUAGGCUAAAGUGCGGAAUAUAAGUGUAAGCCUAAUAAUUGCUAUGACAAAGAGUAAGCUUAUUAGGAGUGAAGCAAGGCAAGCGGUAAACAAUAAGCAAAUACAAGUAUGUAAUAAGGAUUAACACAAGUAGAGAGUUAGGGUUAGGAAUAACCGAAACUCCGAGAGUGACAAGGAUGUAUCCCGAUGUUCACUUCCUUGGAGGGAAGCUACGUCACCGUUAGAGGGGCGGAUGUUACCACGAAGGCACACCAACGCCACGAAGGCUCACCCUAUUCUCCCUUUGAGAUAACNNNNNNNNNNNNNNNNNNNNNNNNNNNNNNNNNNNNNNNNNNNNNNNNNNNNNNNNNNNNNNNNNNNNNNNNNNNNNNNNNNNNNNNNNNNNNNNNNNNNGGGAGAGGAUCCAGUGCACUUGGCACCACUCCAAGAUCCGUCAUGAACUGCUUCAUCCAGACACCCUCCUUAGCCGCCUCCGAGGCAGCCAUGUACUCCGCUUCACAUGUAGAAUCUGCUACGACGCUUUGCUUGGAACUGCACCAGCUUACUGCACCCCCAUUAAGAAUAAAUACGUAUCCGGUUUGCGACUUAGAGUCGUCCGGAUCUGUGUCAAAGCUUGCAUCGACGUAACCUUUUACGGCGAGCUCUUCGUCACCUCCAUACACGAGAAACAUCUCCUUAGUCCUUUUCAGGUACUUCAGGAUAUUCUUGACCACCGUCCAGUGAUCCACUCCUGGAUUACUCUGGAACCUACCUGCCAUACUUAUGGCCAGGCUAACAUCCGGUCUAGUGCACAGCAUUGCAUACAUGAUAGAGCCUAUGGCUGAAGCAUAGGGGACGGAGCGCAUAUGCUCUCUAUCUUCAUCAGUUGCUGGGCACUGAGUCUUACUCAAUCUCGUACCUUGUAACACUGGCAAGAACCCUUUCUUGGACUGUUCCAUUUUGAACCUCUUCAAAACUUUAUCAAGGUAUGUGCUUUGUGAAAGUCCUAUCAGGCGUUUUGAUCUAUCCCUAUAGAUCUUAAUGCCUAGAAUGUAAGCAGCUUCUCCUAGGUCCUUCAUAGAGAAACUUUUAUUCAAGUAACCUUUUAUGCUCUCCAAAAGCUCUACGUUGUUUCCAAUCAGUAAUAUGUCAUCCACAUAUAAUAUUAGAAACGCCACAGAGCUCCCACUCACUUUCUUGUAAAUACAAGAUUCUCCAACCACUUGUAUAAACCCAAAUGCUUUGAUCACCUCAUCAAAGCGUUUGUUCCAACUCCGAGAUGCUUGCACCAGUCCAUAAAUGGAUCGCUGGAGUUUGCACACCUUGUCAGCAUUUUUAGGAUCGACAAAACCUUCGGGUUGCAUCAUAUACAACUCUUCCUUAAGGAAACCGUUAAGGAACGCCGUUUUGACAUCCAUCUGCCAGAUUUCAUAAUCGAAAAAUGCAGCUAUUGCUAACAUGAUUCUGACGGACUUAAGCAUCGCUACGGGAGAGAAAGUCUCAUCGUAGUCAAUUCCUGGAACUUGUGAAAAACCCUUUGCCACAAGUCGAGCUUUAUAGACGGUCACAUUACCGUCAGCGUCCGUCUUCUUCUUAAAGAUCCAUUUGUUCUGAAUAGCCUUGCGGCCCUCAGGCAGUAUCUCCAAAGUCCACACUUUGUUCUCAUACAUGGAUCCUAUCUCGGAUUUCAUGGCUUCUAGCCAUUUGUUGGAAUCUGGGCCCACCAUUGCUUCUUCAUAAUUUGCAGGUUCAUUGUUGUCUAACAACAUGAUUGAUAAGACGGGAUUACUGUACCACUCUGGAGCAGCGCGUGAUCUCGUUGACCUGCGUGGUUCAACAGAAACUUGAACUGGAGUUUCAUGAUCAUCAUCAUUAACUUCCUCCUCAACCGGUGUUGCAAUGACAGAGGUUUCCCCUUGCCCUGCGCCACCAUGCAGAGGGAUGAGAGGUUCGACAACCUCGUCAAGUUCUAUCUUCCUCCCACUCAAUUCUCUCGAGAGAAACUCCUUCUCGAGAAAAGUUCCGUUCUUAGCAACAAACACUUUGCCCUCGGUUUUGAGAUAGAAGGUGUACCCAACUGUCUCUUUUGGGUAACCUAUGAAGACGCACCUCUCCGCUUUGGGUUCCAGCUUUUCAGGCUGAAGCUUUUUGACAUAAGCAUCACAUCCCCAAACUUUAAGAAACGACAACUUUGGCCUUUUGCCGUACCACAGUUCGUAUGGUGUCGUCUCAACGGAUUUUGAUGGUGCCCUAUUUAAAGUGAAUGCAGCUGUUUCUAAUGCAUAACCCCAAAACGAUAACGGCAAAUCAGUAAGAGACAUCAUAGAUCGCACCAUUUCUAACAAAGUACGAUUACGACGUUCGGACACACCAUUACGCUGUGGUGUUCCAGGCGGUGUUAACUGCGAAACAAUUCCACAUUGUCUUAAGUGAGUACCAAACUCGAAACUCAGAUAUUCACCCCCACGAUCAGACCGUAGGAAUUUGAUCUUCUUGUUAUGAUGAUUUUCCACUUCACUCUGAAAUUGCUUGAACUUUUCAAAUGUUUCAGACUUGUGCUUCAUCAAGUAGACAUAACCAUAUCUACUUAAAUCGUCAGUGAAGGUGAGAAAAUAACGAUAUCCGCCGCGUGCCUCCACGCUCAUUGGACCACACACAUCGGUAUGUAUGAUUUCCAACAAGUCACUUGCACGCUCCAUUGUUCCGGAGAACGGAGUCUUAGUCAUCUUGCCCAUGAGGCAUGGUUCGCACGUGUCAAGUGAAUCAAAGUCAAGUGACUCCAAAAGUCCAUCAGCAUGGAGUUUCUUCAUGCGCUUUACACCAAUAUGACCCAAGCGGCAGUGCCACAAAAAUAUGGCGCUAUCAUUGUUUACUCUUACUCUUUUGGCCUCAAUGUUAUGUAUAUGCGUAUCUCUAUCAAGAUUCAAUAUGAACAAUCCUCUCACAUUUGGUGCAUGACCAUAAAAGAUGUUACUCAUAGAAAUAGAACAACCAUUAUUCUCAGACUUAAAAGAGUAACCGUCUCGCAAUAAACAAGAUCCAGAUAUAAUGUUCAUGCUCAACGCAGGCACUAAAUAACAAUGAUUUAAGUUCAUCACUAAUCCCGAUGGUAGUUGAAGUGACACUGUGCCGACGGCGAUUGCAUCAACCUUGGAACCGUUUCCUACGCGCAUCGUCACUUCGUGUUUCGCCAGCCUUCGUCUAUUCCGCAGUUCCUGCUUCGAGUUGCAAAUGUGAGCAACAGAACCGGUAUCGAAUACCCAGGCACUACUACGAGAGCCGGUUAAGUACACAUCAAUAACAUGUAUAUCAAAUAUACCUGAUUUUUCUUUGCCCGCCUUCUUAUCUGCCAGAUACUUGGGGCAAUUGCGCUUCCAGUGACCCAUACCCUUGCAAUAGAAGCACUCUGUUUCAGGCUUAGGUCCAGCCUUGGGUUUCUUCGGCGGAUUGGCAACAGGCUUGCCUCUCUUCUUCGAAUUGCCCUUCUUGCCUUUGCCGUUUCUCUUGAAACUAGUGGUCUUGCUCACCAUCAACACUUGAUGCUCUUUACGGAGUUCAGACUCUGCGACUUUCAGCAUCACAAACAACUCGCCGGGAGACUUGUUCAUCCCUUGCAUGUUGUAGUUCAACACAAAGCCUUUAUAGCUUGGCGGAAGUGAUUGAAGGAUUCUGUCAGUGAUAGCUUCUUGCGGGAGUUCAAUCCCCAGUUCAGCUAGACGGUUUGAGUACCCAGACAUUUUGAGCACAUGUUCACUGACAGAUGAGUUUUCCUCCAUCUUGCAAGCAUAGAAUUUAUCGGAGGUCUCAUACCUCUCGAUCCGGGCGUUCUUCUGAAAGAUAAACUUCAACUCCUGGAACAUCUCAAAUGCUCCAUGACGCUCAAAGCGACGUUGAAGUCCCGGUUCCAAGCCAUACAAGACUGCACAUUGAACUAUUGAGUAGUCCUCCUUACGUGCUAACCAAGCGUUCUUAACAUCCUGAUCAGCCGUAGCGGGUGGUUCAUCUCCUAGCGCAGCAUUAAGGACAUAAUCCUUCUUUCCAGCUUGUAAGAUUAGCUUAAGAUUACGAGCCCAGUCUACAAAGUUGCUUCCAUCAUCUUUCAACUUAGCUUUCUCUAUGAACGUAUUAAAAUUCAGGAUGACACUUGCGUGAGCCAUGAUCUACAACACAAAUAUAUUCAAAGUGGACUUAGACUAUGUUCAAGAUAAUUAGAGUUCAACUUAAUCAAAUUAUAUGCUAAACUCCCACUCAAAAAGUACAUCUCUCUAGUCAUUUGAGUGGUUCAUGAUCCACUUACACUAUCCCAAGUCCGAUCAUCACGUGAGUCGAGAGUAGUUUCAGUGGUAAGCAUCCCUAUGCUAAUCAUAUCAACUGUAUGAUUCAUGAUCGACCUUUCGGUCUCAUGUGUUCCGAGGCCAUGUCUGCACAUGCUAGGCUCGUCAAGCUUAACCCGAGUGUUCCGCGUGCGCAACUGUUUUGCACCCGUUGUAUGUGAACGUUGAGUCUAUCACACCCGAUCAUCACGUGGUGUCUCGAAACGACGAACUGUAGCAACGGUGCACAGUCGGGGAGAACACAAUUUCGUCUUGAAAUUUUUAGUGAGAGAUCACCUCAUAAUGCUACCGUCGUUCUAAGCAAAAUAAGGUGCAUAAAAGGAUUAACAUCACAUGCAAUUCAUAAGUGACAUGAUAUGGCCAUCAUCUCGUGCUUCUUGAUCUCCAUCGCCAAAGCACCGGCACGAUCUUCUUGUCACCGGCGCCACACCAUGAUCAUCCAUCAACGUGUUGCCAUCGGGGUUGUCGUGCUACUUAUGCUAUUACUACUAAAGCUACAUCCUAGCAAAAUAGUAAACGCAUCUGCAAGCACAUAUGUUAGUAUAAAGACAACCCUAUGGCUCCUGCCGGUUGCCGUACCAUCGACGUGCAAGUCGAUAUUUCUAUUACAACAUGAUCAUCUCAUACAUCCAAUAUAUCACAUCACAUCGUUGGCCAUAUCACAUCACAAUCAUACCCUGCAAAAACAAGUUAGACGUCCUCUAAUUUUGUUGUUGCAUGUUUUACGUGGUGACCAAGGGUAUCUAGUAGGAUCGCAUCUUACUUACGCAAACACCACAACGGAGAUAUAUGAUUUGCUAUUUAACCUCAUCCAAGGACCUCCUCGGUCAAAUCCGAUUCAACUAAAGUUGGAGAAACCGUCACUUGCCAGUCAUCUUUGAGCAAAGGGGGUUACUCGUAACGAUGAAACCAGUCUCUCGUAAGCGUACGAGUAAUGUCGGUCCAAGCCGCUUCAAUCCAACAAUACCGCGGAAUCAAGAAAAGACUAAGGAGGGCAGCAAAACGCACAUCACCGCCCACAAAACCUUUUGUGUUCUACUCGAGAAGACAUCUACGCAUGAACCUAGCUCAUGAUGCCACUGUUGGGGAACGUCGCAUGGGAAACAAAAAUUUUCCUACGCGCACGAAGACCUAUCAUGGUGAUGUCCAUCUACGAGAGGGGAUGAGUGAUCUACGUACCCUUGUAGAUCGUACAGCAGAAGCGUUAGAGAACGCGGUUGAUAUAGUGGAACGUCCUCACGUCCCUCGAUCCGCCCCGCGAACAAUCCCGCGAUCAGUCCCACGAUCUAGUACCGAACGGACGGCACCUCCGCGUUCAGCACACGUACAGCUCGACGAUGAUCUCGGCCUUCUUGAUCCAGCAAGAGAGACGGAGAGGUAGAAGAGUUCUCCGGCAGCGUGACGGCGCUCCGGAGGUUGGUGAUGAUCCUGUCUCAGCAGGGCUCCGCCCGAGCUCCGCAGAAACACGAUCUAGAGGAAAAACUAUGGAGGUAUGUGGUCGGGCAGCCGUGAGAAAGUCGUCUCAAAUCUUCCCUAAAAGCCCCAUAUAUAUAGGAGGAGGGAGGGGGACCUUGCCUUGGGGUCCAAGGGAUCCCCAAGGGGUCGGCCGAGCCAGGGGGGAGGACUGUCCCCCCCCCCCCAAACCGAGUCCUACUUGGUUUGGUGGGAGGGAGCCCUUCCCCCUUCCCACUUCUUCCUUUUUUUUUCCUUUGAUUUUUUCUCUCUUGGCGCAUAGGGCAUUGGUGGGCUGUCCCACCAGCCCACUAAGGGCUGGUGUGACCCCCAAAUGCCUAUGGGCUUCCCCGGAGUGGGUUGCCCCCCUCCGGUGAACUCCCGGAACCCAUUCGUCAUUCCCGGUACAUUCCCGGUAACUCCGAAAACCUUCCGGUAAUCAAAUGAGGUCAUCCUAUAUAUCAAUCUUCGUUUCCGGACCAUUCCGGAAACCCUCGUGACGUCCGUGAUCUCAUCCGGGACUCCGAACAACAUUCGGUAACCAACCAUAUAACUCAAAUACGCAUAAAACAACGUCGAACCUUAAGUGUGCAGACCCUGCGGGUUCGAGAACUAUGUAGACAUGACCCGAGAGACUCCUCGGUCAAUAUCCAACAGCGGGACCUGGAUGCCCAUAUUGGAUCCUACAUAUUCUAUGAAGAUCUUAUCGUUUGAACCUCAGUGCCAAGGAUUCGUACAAUCCCGUAUGUCAUUCCCUUUGUCCUUCGGUAUGUUACUUGCCCGAGAUUCGAUCGUCAGUAUCCGUAUACCUAUUUCAACCUCGUUUACCGGCAAGUCUCUUUACUCGUUCCGUAAUACAAGAUCCCGCAACUUACACUAAGUUACAUUGCUUGCAAGGCUUGUGUGUGAUGUUGUAUUACCGAGUGGGCCCCGAGAUACCUCUCCGUCACACGGAGUGACAAAUCCCAGUCUUGAUCCAUACUAACUCAACUAACACCUUCGGAGAUACCUGUAGAGCAUCUUUAUAGUCACCCAGUUACGUUGCAACGUUUGAUACACACAAAGCAUUCCUCCGGUGUCAGUGAGUUAUAUGAUCUCAUGGUCAUAGGAAUAAAUACUUGACACGCAGAAAACAGUAGCAACAAAAUGACACGAUCAACAUGCUACGUCUAUUAAUUUGGGUCUAGUCCAUCACGUGAUUCUCCCAAUGACGUGAUCCAGUUAUCAAGCAACAACACCUUGUCCUUAAUCAGAAGACACUGACUAUCAUUGAUCAACUGGCUAGCCAACUAGAGGCAUGCUAGGGACGGUGUUUUGUCUAUGUAUCCACACAUGUAAAUGAGUCUUCAUUCAAUACAAUUAUAGCAUGGAUAAUAAACUAUUAUCUUGAUACAGGAAUUAUAAUAAUAACUAUACAUUUAUUAUUGCCUCUAGGGCAUAAUUCCAACAUCCUUCCCCGGUAACGACGCCAGAAAAAGCUGCUGCUAGCAGUCCUCGGCAACGACACUAGAAAAAUGUUGUUGACGUGUUCCUGACUUGAUGCCUCCACGGCAACAGAGCCAGAACUGCUCCCAGUUGCUCAACAAUUAGCAAUUGUCUUGCCAUGGACCACCAGCGCGUGGGUUCGCGGCAGUUUUCGGGGGUAGAGUAUUCAACCCAAUUUGUUGAUUCGCCCGUCGGGAAGUGAAAGGAUACUCUCAAGUAUCAGCAGCUGAAUGUGUCAGUUUCAACCGCACCUGAAAGAUUAGUAUCUGCAAGCAAAGUAUCAGCAGCAAAGUAGUAUGAUAAAAACGGUGUCAGAAACGAUCUGUUGACGGCAGACUAUUCCCAACGGUUGUAUCAAUGGCGCCAGAAGUUGCCCGUGGAAGGGAAGUAGUCUUUUCCCGGCAACGUCGAGAGAACAAGCAUUGUAGCAGGUAGGAGUAGUGUAACGAGUAACUGAAGUGGCAAGGAACAGCAGUAGUGACGGCAGUAGCAAGUAGCAACAGUAGUGGGACAAACUCGUAGGCAAUGGGUCGGUGAUUCGUUUGGAUGACAUUCAUCAUGCAACAGUUAUAACACGGAGAGAUAUGUGGCUAGCUCCCGUUCGUCAAUGUGAUGUAGGCAUGCAUUCCGUGUGUAGUCAUACGUGCUUAGGGAAAAGAACUUGCAUGACAUCUAUUGUCCAUCCCUCCCGUGGCAGCGGGGUCCAAAAGGAUGCUACGGGAUAUUAAGGUUCUCCUUUUAAUAAAGAACCGGAACAACGCAUUAGCACUUGGUGAACACAUGAACUCCACAAACUAUGGUCAUCACCGGGAGUGGUUCCGGUUAUUGUCACUCCGGGGUUGCCGGGUCAUAACACAUAGUAGGUAACUACAACUUGCAAGAUAGGAUCUAAAACACACAUAUAUUGGUGACAACAUAAUAAUUUCAGAUCUGAAAUCAUGGCACUCGGGCCCUAGUGACAAGCAUUAAGCAUCGCAAAGUAGUAGCAACAUCAACCUCAGAACAUAGUGGAUACUAGGGAUCAAUCCCCGUCAAAACUAACUUAAUUACAUGAUAGAUCUCAUCCUACUCAUCACCGCCCAGCAAGCCUACGAAUAGAUUACUCACGAACGAUGAAGAGCUUAUGGAAUUGGAGAGGGAAGAAGGUUGAUGAUGACGAUGGCGACGAUUUCCCCUCUCCGGAGCCCAAAACGGACUCCAGAUCUGCCCUCCAGAUGAAGAACAGGAUGUGGCGGCGCCUCCGUAUCGCAAACGCGAUGAAAUCUUCUCUCCUUAUUUUUUUCUGGACGAAAGUGAAUUUAUAGAGCUGGAGUUGGGGGCGGCAGACCCACAUGGGCCCCACAAGCUUGGUUGCCGUGACCAGGGGGGCCGCGGCAACAGGGCUUUUGGCCGACUCGCACAACCCCUCCGGUGGAUCUUUGCGCAGGUAUUUUUCAUAUUUUCCUGAAAUAUUCUCAGUAAUUUUUCAGGACGUUCCGAGAACUUUCAUUUCUGCACAAAAACAACACCAUGGCAAUUCUGCUGAAAACAACGUUAGUCCGGGUUAGUUCCAUUCAAAUCAUGCAAAUUAGAGUCCAAAACAAGGGCAAAAGAGUUUGGAAAAGUAGAUACGAUGGAGACGUAUCAGUGUGCAAGGUGAUUUCUUCGGAGAAGGGCGUGAACCGGAUCGUGAUGCGACAUCUCAUGAACUGAAGUUGUUGCAACUGAAUGCACAAGCGUGCAACAUCAUCAUCAACUGUCUAUGCCCCAAAGAAUUUAACAAAAUCAGUCGCCUUGAGAAUGUAAAAGAAAUUUGGAACACUUUGAUCGAUAUGCACGAAGGUACUGAUUCUGUCAGAGAAUCUAAGUUGGAUGUGCUUCAAAGUCAGCUUGACAAGUUCAAGAUGAAGGAUGGUGAAGGUGUCGCUGAAAUGUACUCUAGGCUAGCUCUCAUCACCAAUGAGAUUGCCGGCUUAGGAAGGGAAGAGAUGACCGACAAAUUCAUCAUCAAUAAGAUACUUAGAGCUCUUGAUGGAAAGUAUGACACAGUGUGCACAUUGAUUCAAACGAUGCCAAACUACAAAGAUCUUAAGCCAACUGAAGUCACUGGUAGGAUUGUCGCUCAUGAGAUGUCACUCAAGGACAAGGAUGACCUGCACAACAAGUCAAGCGGUGCUUACAAAGCUUCAUGUGAUUCUCCCGCUACUUCAAAGGACAAUCUUGUCACUGGUGAAGAGAUAAACCUCAUGGUCAGAAAAUUUAACAAGUUCUACAAGAGUAGAGGCAAAGAGAAAAGCUCAAGCUCAAUAUAUGAUGAGAAGCGUUCGUCUAGUCGUGACCGAAACUGCUUCAACUGUGGGAAGCCCGGACACUACUCCAAUGAGUGAUCGGCUCCCUACAAACAAAGAGAAGAGUCACCUCGAAGACGAAGCUCAAGAGAUGAGUCACCUCGUAGAGAGAGAAGGAGUAGAGAAUAUCGUUAUGAACGAAGACACUCACGGAGAGGCAAGGAACCAGAGAAGAAGGACAAACACACCAAGAGCAUCUCAAGAAGAAGACAUCAAGCUCAUGUUGGUGAAUGGGUCUCUGACUCCGAGUCUGACAACCAAUCCGAGAGAAGAUAUCACUCCAACUCCGACUAUAGUCAAGAUGAAGGUGUUGCCGCCAUUACACUCGUUUCCUCCAACUCCUAUGACUUAUUUGAUUCACCAAAUGAGGGAGUUGAAAACUGCUUCAUGGCUAAAGGCCCCAACGUAUCACACCACGAGUAUCUUGAUUUCAAUAGUGAUGGGGAUGACUUGUUAGGAGAACAUGACUUGCUCUUUGAUAAAACUAGUGAUUGCAGUGAAAAUGAACUUGCUAAUUAUCAUGCUAGUCAGGAGAAAAUCGAAUGAUGAUGAUAAGAAAGAGAAUGAAUGACUAACUCAAGAAUUAAACACUCUUAAGUUAGCUCAUGAAACUAGUCUAGAAGAUCACAGAGAGCUUGCAGGAACUCAUGAGAAGCUACGCUUCGAGAAGCUCAAUUUCGAGCAAGAGCAUGAGUUCCUAAAGGCGAUCAAUGAUGAUCUUCGAAAGAAGUGUUCUUCUUAUCUAGCCAAACGAUUAAUCUUGUCUACUUUUGUUCCACAAGUUAAACCUAAGAACACUAGUAACAAAGGUAGGAAAGUUUCUUCAUCUAGUAACAACCAUGCUAAAGCCAAAUCUAGUGAUGUUGUUGCUAGUAGUUCUCUUGAUUCCACUAGUGAUUCUCUUAGCCGAGUUACACUUUAGCAAGAAAUUGAUUUAUUGAAAGGGAUUAUAGAGAGAGGUGUCUUCAAGAGUCUUACUGGAAGUAAACAAUUUGAGUAAAUUGCACGCAAGCAAGGAGGACGUCGGAAGAAACAAGGUGUUGGCUACUUCAACGUCAAUGAAGAUGAUUGGGAAGAAGGUCCAUAUCCCAUUCCUAAGUUUGUUCCUCAAGAGGAGAAGUAUGAUCCUACUCCUCCCAAGGGAACAAGCUCACAAGAUGACCUUCCACCACAAGACCUCAAGGGCAAGGGAAAGCUUCAAGAUGACAUUGACCUUUAUGAAGAGGAACCCCAAGUCAAGGUCAAGUGGAUUCCCAAAGACACUUCUAGCACUACCUCACCUAGUGCUACCACAACUCCAAGGAUCCCCAUCAAGUUGAUGUGGAUUCCCAAGAGGAAGAACUAGAAAGUUCUUGAGGGGUGACUGUGCCAAUGAAAUUCAUUCUCAUUCAUUUUGGCAAGAACUAUAUGCAAUCAACCUCAACCAUAUGCAUUAGUUCAAGGAGUCACACAUUCCCUCAAAGGUAAGCAAGGAACAAGGUAAUUAAUGCAUCUUUGGACAUAAUCCCAUGUGUGUUUCACUCCAUAUCCAUAGAUAUUCUUGCAUAUGUUCCUUUUGCUUUGGGACUAACCCAUGUAGGUGAGAAGAGUAAGAAACAACAAGGAUUGCUCCCAACUCAAGAUGAUCUUCAUCAACAUUGAGCAUCCACUACUACUUCACCUACUUGAAGUCUUCUACGACAAAACCCAAGGUUAGUUUGUCCCUCUUAGGGGGGAUGUCAUAUCAAGGGGGAGCUUUACUCUACGACUUGACUAUAAGCAUAUCCUAAGGAUAUGAACACAUUAAUGCUUAUGUAAAAGUGGUAACCCCACUUGUGCUUAACGAUGAGUAUGACCUAUGAUCAAUUAUUCUUACUUGGCUCCUAUGUCAAUAUACUCAUAUAUAGAUGACUUUGUCAUCGCCCAAGUGCUUGAUAGAUGCUAGGAUGUUUGUGCAUGUUCACCAUAUUUUCUCUAUCAUUCUUAUUGUGGGAGCAUGUCGGUCUGCAUGUGUUUGCUCAUUCGAGAACAUCCAAUUGUUGUUAUUUGACUCUUGAUUUAUCUUUUGCCAAUUGGAUGGACAAGAAUGCCUAGGACCCUUCUCUAGCUAUCUAUGCUAUCUCAUCUCAAGUUAUAUUCAUGCUUCAUCACAAAACUUGAACAAGCACUUGUCGAUCCCUCUGUGUGAAGGAGCACUUGGAGUUCCGUAUCGUCAAAGUUUUCCUUCCAAAAUCUCUUUGUGAAUAUCGGUGUAACCAACUCCACAAACUCGGUUCCACCAAAUUCCGGAGUUGAUCCAGGUUUUCAUCUCGGUACCACCGAAAUUACAAACUCGGUUACACUGAGUUUCCCUGUCAACUCACAGUAGAGGAACUCGGUGACACCGAUUUCGUAAUCUCGGUGACACCGACAAUGAAAGGGUAUAUAUUCCAUCGAACCGAAUCUUUGAUUUCCAAUCAUCAAAGCCGUUUCGCCUCAAACCCUAAGCUGCCCCCUGGACCCCUGGUCGUCGCCCUUGACUCCUCAUGCGUCUCCCCCGCUGGGAAUCGUCGUCGUUGAUGGAUUCUUUAUCGCCGUCGCCGCCGUAGCCGAACCUCCGCCAAAUUAGGGUAUGGUUUGGAUCUCCUUCCACGUUCCUCCUUCCAACUCUUACGAAUUGGGAAGUUUUAUCAAUGACCCACCAUGUACAAACCUCUCCAUCCACCAGAAGAUCCCGUAGAACUAGCGAACAAGAAAGUUUUAGGUUUACUUGUCCGUAGACCCCAUCUCGGUGCUACCGAUUUUUGACCUAGGAUUCCUGAGAAUGAACUCAGUGAAACCGAGUUGUCAUUUUUGGUGCCACCGAAAGUGAUGACCAAGUUUCUGUUAAGAAGAUCAUGUGUCUCGGUGACUCCGAAAGUUCAAACUCGGUGCUACCGAAAUGUGUUGUGCGGAAAGUUAAAACUAAGGAUUUCUUUGUUCAAAUUUUCGAAAACUUUUGUGUUUUGUGAUGCUCAACCCUUCUGUCUUUCCUAUAUCUACUUCACAGGUUCUGUUGUUUGCUGCUGAGCUUCUGCUUGUCUGUCAGAGAUGUCUGGUUCAAAUGACAGUCAGAAUGAGUUCAGAGAACCAAGUGUUGAGUUGGACUCAUGUACUAGUCCAGAGAAGUGUGCCUCUGACCCAAGUUCUCCUAGCUCCCAUGGCUUGCCAAAGCAGUCACCAGGCAUAGGAAGAAACUAAAUUCUUAUGAAGAGGACUCAGAUUUUGUGGUGGAAGAAACUUCAGCCCCUCCAAAGGCUCGUGUCAAGAAAGCAGUCACGAAGGUAUGUGCCAGCUCUGCUGAUCUGGGAGCACCUGAUUAUGUGAGGACAAGCACAACACUUUCCAUUAAUGAUCCUUCCAAGAAGGCUGGUACAAAGACAGCAAGGAAGAGGGUGAUUCGUCUUGUUGGAAGACCUACUUCCAUGUUUGAGGACCGUGUAGAAGCUGAUGGAGAAGAAGAUGAUGAGAUCCUAGCUCCUCCUAAGAAGAAGCUCAUGGCUGAUGCUAUGCCCAGGAAAUCUGCUUCUAAGACUCCUCUUAAGUCUAAGAAGACAGUAGCUCACCGGAAGACCGGUAAGGACAUUCCUGCAACUGCUAAGAAGAAAGGCCCUGCUUUGCUGCAGAGGAAGAAGUUGAUGAGGAUGCAACCAUUCUCAGAAAGCUCCGACCUCAUCUGCCAAUUCAUAAUGAUGCUCAUCCUAUAGCUGAAGACAUGAAGAAGAGGAAGGAUACAGGUCUAAGGAAGUAGAGAGCUGCUGAUCCAUACGUUGUCCGAAGGAGAACUGCUGUUGAUCCAAGGUUUCACACCAAAGAACAACAAGAUUUCUAUGAGACUGUCUUGCUUGAUAAAUCUUCAGUUGUGAGUGAUAUGAGAUAUGUUGACUGGGCUUAUAUCAAAGCCAAUGAAGACUACUUUCCUCAUGUGCAAGACAACUUCAAGUCUGUGGACAUUGAAGAUUUUGUUGGAAAAGAGAUGACCCCAUGGAAUGAUGAGCUAAUCAUGCAAUUCUACUCGACUGUUCAUUUCUGUGGAGAUGGUUUCAUUGUCUGGAUGACAGAUGGUCACCGAUAUGAGUCAACAAUUGAUGAGUGGGGUGCCCCUAAGCAAAAAGAGAGUGAUGUUGAUGUGUAUUCUGAAGCAAAGAAGAGUCACAAUUCUAUGGCCAACAUGUACAAGCCAAUUCCUCACGAUUACUUGGCUAGUCACAAGAUGGGCUCAGUAUACUUCUUGCAAGCAGGAAUACCCACAACAAACACUAUUCUUAGACACACCUUGAUGCCUAAAUCAGGUGAUGAUAAGAUGAUCCGAGGACACUCCAUCAACUUGCUGCACCACUUGGACACUCACACCAGAUUCAGAGUGAUGGAUUUGAUAGUAGAGACUAUCUACAGGACUGAUGCUAAUCAAAAGAGAUCAUGUGGAUAUGUCCCAUACAUUCAGAUGAUUAUCAAUGCCAAGCUAGGCAAGCAUGUAUAUCUCCUUGAUCGUACCCAUCUACCUCUUCAACCAUAGUUUGAAGACAAUGAAGUUGUGAUGGAUGACAACGAUCCCAGUUCUGCUGCACCCAGAAUGGCAGCAGAGGCAACAAAAGUUGAGGCUGCUAGAAAUAGGCCACCACCAGUUCCACAGCUCAGAACUCUCAAAGCGUCGAUGCUAAUCAUUGAUUAUAUCUUUUGUCGAAGCUUUGAUCUAUAUGUUGUCAUCAAUUACCAAAAAGGGGAGAUUGAAAGCACAAUUGCUCCCUAGGGUGGUUUUGAUAAUUGAUCACAACAUAUGCACCAUUGGACUAAUAUGUUUUCCAAGUAUAUUUGUGACAGCCCGAGACCNNNNNNNNNNNNNNNNNNNNNNNNNNNNNNNNNNNNNNNNNNNNNNNNNNNNNNNNNNNNNNNNNNNNNNNNNNNNNNNNNNNNNNNNNNNNNNNNNNNNNNNNNNNNNNNNNNNNNNNNNNNNNNNNNNNNNNNNNNNNNNNNNNNNNNNNNNNNNNNNNNNNNNNNNNNNNNNNNNNNNNNNNNNNNNNNNNNNNNNNNNNNNNNNNNNNNNNNNNNNNNNNNNNNNNNNNNNNNNNNNNNNNNNNNNNNNNNNNNNNNNNNNNNNNNNNNNNNNNNNNNNNNNNNNNNNNNNNNNNNNNNNNNNNNNNNNNNNNNNNNNNNNNNNNNNNNNNNNNNNNNNNNNNNNNNNNNNNNNNNNNNNNNNNNNNNNNNNNNNNNNNNNNNNNNNNNNNNNNNNNNNNNNNNNNNNNNNNNNNNNNNNNNNNNNNNNNNNNNNNNNNNNNNNNNNNNNNNNNNNNNNNNNNNNNNNNNNNNNNNNNNNNNNNNNNNNNNNNNNNNNNNNNNNNNNNNNNNNNNNNNNNNNNNNNNNNNNNNNNNNNNNNNNNNNNNNNNNNNNNNNNNNNNNNNNNNNNNNNNNNNNNNNNNNNNNNNNNNNNNNNNNNNNNNNNNNNNNNNNNNNNNNNNNNNNNNNNNNNNNNNNNNNNNNNNNNNNNNNNNNNNNNNNNNNNNNNNNNNNNNNNNNNNNNNNNNNNNNNNNNNNNNNNNNNNNNNNNNNNNNNNNNNNNNNNNNNNNNNNNNNNNNNNNNNNNNNNNNNNNNNNNNNNNNNNNNNNNNNNNNNNNNNNNNNNNNNNNNNNNNNNNNNNNNNNNNNNNNNNNNNNNNNNNNNNNNNNNNNNNNNNNNNNNNNNNNNNNNNNNNNNNNNNNNNNNNNNNNNNNNNNNNNNNNNNNNNNNNNNNNNNNNNNNNNNNNNNNNNNNNNNNNNNNNNNNNNNNNNNNNNNNNNNNNNNNNNNNNNNNNNNNNNNNNNNNNNNNNNNNNNNNNNNNNNNNNNNNNNNNNNNNNNNNNNNNNNNNNNNNNNNNNNNNNNNNNNNNNNNNNNNNNNNNNNNNNNNNNNNNNNNNNNNNNNNNNNNNNNNNNNNNNNNNNNNNNNNNNNNNNNNNNNNNNNNNNNNNNNNNNNNNNNNNNNNNNNNNNNNNNNNNNNNNNNNNNNNNNNNNNNNNNNNNNNNNNNNNNNNNNNNNNNNNNNNNNNNNNNNNNNNNNNNNNNNNNNNNNNNNNNNNNNNNNNNNNNNNNNNNNNNNNNNNNNNNNNNNNNNNNNNNNNNNNNNNNNNNNNNNNNNNNNNNNNNNNNNNNNNNNNNNNNNNNNNNNNNNNNNNNNNNNNNNNNNNNNNNNNNNNNNNNNNNNNNNNNNNNNNNNNNNNNNNNNNNNNACGAUAUCCAUUCUUGCGGCACGACGAGAUGCGCUUCUAUCCCUGACGAGGCCCUCGUGCCAAAUUGAGGAUAGGGUCGCAUCUUGGUCGUGACAAGUUGGUAUCAGAGCAAGGACCGACCUAGGAGCCCCCUUGAUUGAUCGAAGUUGGCCGAGUCUAGUCUAGUGAAAAACUAUUUGAGUCUAGUUAUAUAUCGGAGAGUAGGACUCUUUUUUCUCCUCUUCUAUGCUCUGGUGAGGAAUCUUGACGUAAUAAUUUAUUCUACUCCUCUUCUCACUCAAAAUUUUUUUAGGGUCACGUGGAUAUUCUUGGGAUCUAUAUGAUGCCGAUGUGACGGAGUUCUAUCUUGGUGCCUCCUGUCUGACUUGAUCUUCUUCCGGGGAGUUGAGCUCCAGGGGAUUCUUGAGCACAUCGUUAUCAUUCAGAUUUCUUGGUAUCUCAGGACGAAGGAUGUUCGUAAUUGCUUCAAUACUAGUAGUGGCGAGAUAACCCCGAUGUCCCCAGUACUGGUGCAGAUUGUUCGGGAGUACUGCCAUGCUUUGUAUCGUUGUGAUCACGAGGGUCUGUUGUAGAUGAAGGUCCGAGAUUCUGGUCGUGUGUUGACGGAUGUGAUACAAGUGACGGUUUAGUAUAGGAGUUGUGUGAUAUUACUCCUUGUAUCCGUGUACCAGAUUGCAUGACCAGAUAUUUCGGGAAUUCAUAGGUGGGAAUUCAAGUAGUUGCUUAUAGGACAAUCUUCCAACAAAUAAAUGAUGUUAGGUUGGGGGUCGACAUCUAGUGGAUUCGUUUGUUCACGGUCGACUUACAGCGGUACAUGUUGUGUCUUAAAGAGUCCUUGUAGCUUGCUACGACUCGGGGACGCUUCGUAUGUCGGGUGCACUGCCUUGCACUUGAUGGCUUCUGUAAAUCGUGCCCGUGCGAUCCUGUCCACGAAAAUAUCGAACGGAAAUCUUUCUCAUGAGUUUGUUCUGGCUUGUUUCGUAAGCCUCAUCCCUUUGUUUUGUUGAUUGUGGUAAUUCGUGUUGCUUCGAUGUCAAGUGGUGAUUUCAGAUCUUUCCUAAUAUGUGUUCCCAUAUUUUUUAUGGGGAAUGCAAACCCUUUUGCUUAAUCAAUUCUCUUGUUAAUUCUUGUCAACCGGAGUUGCCAUAUCAAUUCUUUUUCAACCGGUGUGAUUCUCUAGGAAUUCUAUCCUCUCCAAUUGUUGCAGAUCAUUCUCUCAAUUCUUUCCGGAGUUCUCUCAUCUGUCCCAAGUUGUCUUUGUUUUUCCCCACCCUCCCGCCCUUUUCUCAGUGAUUCAAUUUCCAUCCAAGAGUUCCUUUUCAUUGUGCUUCCGCUAUGUGUUCUUUUCUCUUUUAUCCGGUGAUUCGUUGUGAAGAUUCUCAGGAGCUUCGUGUUCAUCUUUGUUCUAUCUUGUUAUCUUUCCGGUGAAGUUAAUUCAGUUGUCCGUGCUCAUCAUAUCCUUUUUAUCCCUGUAAUUCUCUCCUAUGUUGGAAAUUGUUAUGAGCCUAUCUUGCUAUUCAUUCCUCUCUUUUCAUCCGGAGUGCUGAAGAUAUCUCUGAGUUUCGAGUUUUUAAUUCUUUUAAUUAUUUCAAGGUGCUCAACCUCAUCGAUUCCUCUUCUUACCGGUGCAAUAUCAAUCUUUCUAGCAAUUUUUCUAACGGUGAUUUUCUUUGAGUGGGCCCAUAACCCACAGGUUCUUUCCCAGGAUCUUUCCUGGCUCUUUUAAUCGUUUCCCAGAGAUCAUUAAUUCUUUUCAACUAUGACGUAAGUAUGAAUUUCAUCAGUCAUAUCCCUUCUUCAAGUUCUAUUUGAAUUAAUUCUCUUAUUUGGCUCAACCUUUCAUUAUUCUGUAUUCCGGAGUGUCUCAGUUAUUCGUGGGUUGUUGCUCGUCAUCAUUCUCAAUCUUGCUCCAUUCUUGUGAAGAUUAUCAUCUCAGCUUCGUGUUUUCCUCUCAAUUGUUUCUAUUGUGAGUAAUCCCUUUCGUGCUAUCCGGUGCUUUUCUGAGUUGUUUUCAUUCUCGAUCCUCCGAAGGCCAUCAUUUCAGAAGACUUCUUCGUUCUCAGCUUUCAGCUUUCAUCCUCAAAUCUUCUCAAUUGUUGUCUCUUCGUUCGUCUCUCGAUUAUUCCGGUGCCUUAUUCAAGUUUUCUGUUAGAUGGAUCAUGAUCUCUUCAUUCUCAUGUGUUUCCAUGCAUUCUUGGAAUUCCCAUUCAGUUGUGAAUUCUCACCGGUGCUUCCUUCAAUUAUGCUUCAAGUGGUACUUAUCUCUCUGCCUCUUCAAGAUUCUAUUCUAGUAGAAUAAGUGGUAUGCUAAAUCCGUUGUUUGUCAUCAAUUAAACUUGAUGAAGGAUGAGCAUAACAUAAUUCUUAUUCUUGUUCUUCCUCCUUCCAAGAGAUUUCAAUUCUUCUUCCGGAGUGGCUCUUGAUAUCAAUUCCUUUUCUCUAGUGUUCUUAUCUUUCUUUUCCGGAGUUCUAAGUUCUAUCAAGUAUCUCUUUGUGAAGCUUCAUCUAAAUCCUGGCAAGGUCAUAAUCUUAUUCUUUUCUAUCUUGUUAUCUUUGCAUCAUUCAUUCGUAUACGGAGGUCCUUCAUGGUGAUUCAUCAAGGUUUCAAUUCAUUCUCAUGUGUUCUUCAAGAUUUCUGUUGGAAUACCUCAAGUAUCCUUUCUCUUGCAUUUCCAAGUGCAUUUGUUCUUCCUUUAUCUUUUGAGGUGGUAUUAUAGCCUUCUUGUUAGUGUAGGAGCCUCGAAGAGUUUUCCUUUCAAGAAUGAGAUAAUUAAAUCCACCAAUUCUAUGAUCAUGAGAUAUCUGCAACCCAUGAUUUCUUCAUUGAGCUAUCUUGGUUUGGAUUUCACCUAAAGCUUUUCCUAUGGAUUGUGUUAUCAUGGUGUUUGUCAUUAAUCCAAGUUCUCAAUGCAUCUUCUUGGUGUAAGAUUUGUUCAUAUCUAUCCUUGUUUCUUUUAGUGGUUGGUUGUCACCUCUUGUUUGUUGAGAUGAUUUUCAUAAGCCCACUACUAUCUUGUCCUUUUCGUUGUUGGUUUUCCAACUACUCCGUCUAUUCUUCUAUCUGGAGGCUCUUAAAUUCUAUUGUGAUGAUAGUUGUCAUUCUUUUCUUCAUUCUCUUCUUCUGCUUAAGCUAGGUUCUUUCUCUUCUUCCGGAGGCAUUGUGGUAUUGCUCUUUUGGGUCUAUUAUGUUGUUCUAUCAAGAUCAUGGUGUUCCCUUAUUCUAUUUACUUGUUUGUUGUGUUUAUUGUCUAUUUCUUUCAUCUUAUCGAAUUUCUUGUCCCAUGUUCCUACCGAAGUGCUGCCGAAAUUUUCCGUGAAUUCUGACUUCUUUCUCAUGUCAUUCCUCAUCUCCUUGCAACCUUCAAGGGUCGUUGGUUUCACUCGUUUGUCAAAGAAGCGACUAAAUUUUUACCUCUUGCUUUCUCAUCCUCUCCCCCUUUCAUUCUUGGAUCUCGGGGCGAGAUCCUCUUGUAGUGUACGAGUGUUGUGACAGCCCGAGACCNNNNNNNNNNNNNNNNNNNNNNNNNNNNNNNNNNNNNNNNNNNNNNNNNNNNNNNNNNNNNNNNNNNNNNNNNNNNNNNNNNNNNNNNNNNNNNNNNNNNAAAUGCUCUUGGGAUCUAGGAUUUAGUGUAGACAAGAGUGAGUGAGAGGAAAGGUGUUCUUGGAUAUAUCUUGGCUGUGUUGAACACCCUUUCACGAGGUGGGAGAAGAGUAUAUAUAGUGUGGAGUGAAAUCCAGCCGUUGGAGGUGCAAUAAGUCACACAGGGUCCGNNNNNNNNNNNNNNNNNNNNNNNNNNNNNNNNNNNNNNNNNNNNNNNNNNNNNNNNNNNNNNNNNNNNNNGGGAAAUCACACGAAUUGAUUCCUCUCCGAAGAACUCCUACCGCCUAGGAGUCUCCAACCUCCAAGAGUAACAAGAUCACGGGGAAUGCUCAAAACUAGGUCAAAUCACAAAUAGCUUGGGUUGAGAGAAGGAGAGGGAGACGAUCUAUCUUUUGAUUGGAACAACUCUCAAAGGGGCUCACAAAUGCUCUUGGGAUCUAUGAUUUGGAGUGAGCAAAUGUGUGUGAGGUGGAAAUGUGUUCUUAUGAGGAUAAGGCUGUGUUGGGCCACCCUCUCACGAAGUGGGAGGGGGGUAUUUAUAGUGGGGAGAGAAAUACAGCCGUUGGGGAUACUUUAAGUCACACAGGGUCCGGACGUCCGNNNNNNNNNNNNNNNNNNNNNNNNNNNNNNNNNNNNNNNNNNNNNNNNNNNNNNNNNNNNNNNNNNNNNNNNNNNNNNNNNNNNNNNNNNNNNNNNNNNNGCAUGCAAGCUUGAGCUAUGCUUUCCCUGUCACGAGGCCAAAAGUUAUAAAUAAAGUUCCGAUCACGAUGUACUAAAUGCAUAGGAUAGAACUUUUGAUGAAAUUCCAAUUUCAACCGAUUGUAGCCCCAUGAUCUAGCAUCAUCACAUAGCCUAUACCAUGUCAAUGCCUUAUCCUUCAUAGAUAAAGGAAAGACUUUAUUCUUUACCUCAUCCUCGGGCAAACCUGCAAGUUUAAAUAAACCACAAACUUCAUCUACAUAGAUUAGAUGAAAGUCUGGAUGUGAAGAUCCAUCUCGUGUAAAAUGAUUAGCCAGCAGUUUCUCAAGCAUACCCAAAGGAAUUUCAUAAAAUAUAUUUUAACUAGGUACCUCAGGUUGAGGAGCAACUCCUCGUGCUUCCGUUCGUGGUGAAGAUACCCCAAAAAACUCCUCAAAGGAAGAGUUUCCAUAGUGACAAGUGACAAUAAAUUUCAGCGCAGUAUUAAAAUGUUUCCUUACCAAUUUCCACUUACCAAAGGCGCUUCACUCCCCGGCAAUGGCGCCAGAAAAGAGUCUUGAUGACCCACAAGUAUAGGGGAUCAAUCGUAGUCCUUUCGAUAAGUAAGAGUGUCGAACCCAACGAGGAGCAGAAGGCUCUGAUAAACGGAUUUCAGCAAGGUAAUAACUGGAAGCACUGAAAGUAGCGGUGACAAGUGAUUAUGUAGCGAGGUGAAACAUAGCAAGCAAAGAGUAACGAGUAACAAUUAGUAGCAACGGUGCAGCAAGUGGCCCAAUCCCUUUUGCAACAAGGGACAAGCCUGAACAAAGUCUUAUAGGAGGAAAAACGCUCCUGAGGACACACGAGAAUUUCUGUCAUGCUAGUUUCAUCAUGUUCAUAUGAUUCGUGUUCGUUACUUUGAUAUGUGGGUGGACCGGCGCUUCGGUACUGCCCUUACAUGGACAAGCAUCCCACUUAUGAUUAACCUCUCUCGCAAGCAUCCGCAACUACAAAAGAAGAAUUAAGACAAAGUCUAACCAUAGCAUUAAACUAGUGGAUCCAAAUCAGCCCCUCACGAAGCAGCGCAUAAACUGGGGUUUAAGCUUCUGUCACUCCAGCAACCCAUCAUCUACUUACUACUUCCCAAUGCCUUCCUCUAGGCCCAAAUAUGGUGAAGUUUUAUGUAGUCGACAUUCACAUAACACCACUAGAGGAAAAACAACAUACAUCAUAUCAAAAUACCGAACGAAUAUCAAAUUCACAUGACUAUUAUCAGCAUGACUUAUCCCAUGUCCUCAGGAACAAAAGUAACUACUCACAAGACAUAAUCAUAAUCAUGAACAGAGGUGUAAUGAAUAGCAUCAAGGAUCUGAACAUAAACUCUUCCACCAAGUAAUCCAACAAGCAUCAACUAAAAAGAGUAAUCAACACUACUAGCAACCUUACAAGUACCAAUCGGAGUCGUGAGACGGUGAUUGAUUACAAGAGAUGAACUAGGGAUUGGAGAGGAGAUGGUGCUGAUGAAGAUGCCUCCCCUCCGAUGAGAGGAGUGUUGGUGAUGACGAUGGCGACGAUUCCCCCCUUCGGGAGGGAAAUUUCCCCGGCAGGAUCGUCCUGCCGGAGCUCUAGAUUGGAUCUGCUCAAGUUCCGCCUCGUGGCGGCGGCGAAACCACGAAAACGCUCCCGUAUGAUUUUUUCCAGGUAAGGACGCUUCAUAUAGCAAAAGAGGGGGGCUAGUGGGCCUUCAGGCAGCCCACAAGCCUGCCCUGCGCCACCAGGGGUGGUGGUGGCGGUGGGCAAGCUUGUGGGGCCGUGGUGGCCCCCCUCUGGUAGUUCUUUCGUCUAGUAUUUUUAAUAUAUUCCAGAAAAAAUCCACGUAAAUUUUCAGGGCAUUUGAAGAUGUGCAUAAUAGUGGACUAGGAUUUGCUCCUUUUCCAAUCCAGAAUUCCAGUUGCCUGAAUUCUCCCUCUUCAAAUAAACCUUGCAAAAUAAGAGAGAAAAGGCAUAAAUAUGGUACUACAAGUAAUAUAAUAGCCCAAGAAGCAAUAAAUAUCAACAUGAAAGCAUGAUGCAAAAUGGACGUAUCACCGCCCGAGCUGCCCGAGCCGACCCUCUGCAACGGCAUGAACCGCCGCGACUGGCUCUCCCUCGUCGCCGUCCACUCCGACUCGUGGCUCCUCUCUGUCGCCUUCUUCUUCGGCGCGCCGCUCAACGCCAAUGAACGGUAAUUUCACUGCCUCUACCCCUCCUCCUCCAUUACCCAGUUCGAUUUACUCUUAGCUCGGUGCCCUGGACGAUCGGGAAAAUAUUUGCUUUAGCUUUGAAAUUGCAUAUCUAUUCCUGUAGACAGUUUUGGCAAGAUCAAAUGUGGUCUUUUUGAUUGAGUACUUUAGCUUGACUGCUAGGUGGUGACUUGGGGGUUGGGAUACACGUGCCUGAUUUGAUGGUGCAUGUGUGUGCAUGUGCACAUGUAUCUUGCGCUCCUCUCUUUGUGUCUUUUCUUUGCUUUGAGUGUAUCGGCGGGUCAUGCUUUUUUGUUUCAGUUUGCUUUAUUGGGCUUGAGGUUACUUGGUUCCCUUCUUUCUAUGACCCUCUGGGUUUGAUGGCGAUAUAAUCCAUAGGGUUCAGCUGUUAGGCCAUAUGAAAAGCAACUACCCCCUUUCACUUUAUUCUAGAAAUCAUAUACACAAAUAAAGGAUUGUGUGCUUCUAUGUAGUUCCAUCCUUUGCAGUUUCGGCCUGCAUCCCUAUUUUUCUAAUUUUAGUGCGACAACUUUAACCAAAGUUUGUUUACUUCACUCAGCCUUCUAUUCAUUGAUUUUGUAUAUGGUUCUUGAAAGUACACCUUGCUAAGCAUUUGAGAGUGUUCCAGUUUGCUUAAUCAUUGCGCCAAUGUGCUUUGCGUCAAAAUUCUAAAUUUUCUCUUUCUAGGAGCUUCAGAAGGGUUGCUCACCAACGAACUAGAAGAUUGUUUUGUCCUGGGCACUCACAUGAUUAAGGAAGAAAUUGCUUAUUCCUGGUUCUUUGUGUUGAUGUGCCAGCUAGCUUAGAAUCUGUAUCAUCAUCUUUGUCUUUGAGUAGAACUGAACUGGGGAUUUGCUUUUUGCAUCUUAACCGUGUGUCCUUUGAUGUGCUUUACUCUACAGAGGUUCGUAACCAAGGGUCAUGUGCAGAGCUGGAGGAAGAAGUUGCGAGGCUUGGAACUCUCCUUGUGAAGGGCUCAGGGACAGCAGUGAGGACAAUGCCUCUUUAGUUGAAUUGUGAUACUCCUGAUGUGCAAGUAAAUACUCCUAUGAUACUCCUUAUGCUAAAAUAUUGGUUGUUAGUACAGAGGUGGUGGCAUUAUUUGGUUCUCUGGUAUUGAUUUCAUGAUUUGUGGUUAAUACAUGGUAUAAUACAAUCCACAUAGGAUUAUAUUUCCAGUUACUCAAUACUAACAUUCUUUCUAAUUGGCUUCUUGCGCCAUUGACGUAACCGGGUCAUCUAGUAGUAACAAAACCUUGCAGUAUGUUUAUGUGAGAUAAUGACCCAUGCCAGAUUCUUGGUAACGCGCCACGUUCUUGGUAACGCCAUGGUUGCGAAUUGAGAUGUUAGCAGUUGAUUCAGCCCUCUCGGUUCAUACUAUUUCUGCGCGCUCUGUUCGGAUGAUGGUUGUUGGAUGCUAGUUUGAUCUCCCAGCGGGAGUUUUUAGGUACCGUUGAUGCGUGUAUUAACGAGAUUAUCAAUUUCUCUAUGUUUUUUUAUGCGGUUUGCAUGUCACUGAGACUGGCCCUUUGCGGCUUCCGUAAUUAAAAUAAAAAAUCUGCGGAGUUUCAGUCACAUUUUUUUCCUUGACUGUAGCAUAUUAUGGACUUGGUAUGAAGACAUGAUUGCUGUCUUGGCAGAUGGACCGGCGGAGGAUUUAUACGACAUGUUCAUCAACAAAGUCCGGCGCGAGCGCCCGCUCCAGAUGUUGGAACAAGUCAAGGGGUGAGCGAGCGAUUUGGUGCUGCCGAGGCGCGUCCGUAGCAGAUUUUCCUGCUGCUGCUGGUGUCCUCUGACUACUGCUGAGCUGCGUGUGCAAGCUUACGAAGUGGGUGCCGCCGCCGGUUAAGAUGACAAGAAGCUACGUUGAGGAGAACAUCAAAAGGUCCCGGAAGAGGAUGGAUGUCGCUGCCUUGGACAUGCUGCAGUUCCAUUGGUAUGUUUGUGUGGCUUGCUGGUUUGGUGUCAUAUAAUGUGUUUGUACCAUUUCAUUAACAUUUCAUCUUCACCGUCGGUUCGAACGGAAGCCUAUGAUCAUUUGGGAAUGGAUUCCUAUUGAUAGUGAGUAGUGAAUCUCCUGUCAAGUAUUUCGCCAAUAAGUUCAUCCUGAUCUAUCAUCUGGAAUGCUUGUUAAUUGCUAGAGGGCCGAGUGCUCAGUAAGAACUUUGGUCCUGGUUCCAUGAUUUUGGAGAUGGAUGUUGUAGAUGUAUUCACAGCCCGUGCGCUGUGCGUAUUCUGCUUUCUUUUCGCUAUCGCUCUUUAGCUGGUCCGUCAAACCUCUAGGUAUGUGAUUGAAAUCUGUGGCGAUGGCUAGACGAAUGCUGAUGACAACAAACCUUCCCUUGCAACGGCACCAGAAGAAUGCUGCUAGCACUCCCCGGCAACGAAACUAGAAGAAUGUUGUUGAUGGCCCACUAGCGCGUGGGUUCGCAACAGUUUUCGAGGGUAGAGUAUUCGACCCAAAUUUGUUGAUUCGCACGACGGGAGGUGAGAGAAUACUCUCAAGUAUUAGCAGCUAAAUUUGUCAGAUUCAACCACACCUGAAAGAUUAGUAUCUGCAAGCACAGUAGUAACAGCAAAGUAGCGAGUAACGGCAGUGUAACGAGCAAUAGCAGCGGCAAGGAACAAUAGUAGUGACAGCGGUAGCAAGUAGCAACAGUAGCAAGCGACAGUAGUAGCAACAGUAGCAGCAGCAGCAGAGUAAAACAAGUAACAACAGUAGCAACAGUAGUAGUAGCAGCAGCAGAGCAAAACAAGUAACAUCAGUAGUAGGACAAACUCGUAGGCAAUGGGUCGGUGAUUUGUUUGGAUGAUAUUCAUCAUGCAACAGCUAUAACACGGAGAGAUAUGUGGCUAGCUCCCGUUCGUCAAUGUGAUGUAGGCAUGCAUUCCGUGUGUCGUCAUACAUGCUUAGGGAAAAGAACUUGCAUGACAUCUAUUGUCCAUCCCUCCCGUGGCAGCGGGGUCCAAGAGGAAACUACGGGAUAUUAAGGUUCUCCUUUUAAUAAAGAAUGAGACCAACACAUUAGCACUUGGUGAACACAUGAACUCCUCAAACUAUGGUCAUCACCGGGAGUGGUUCCGGUUAUUGUCACUCCGUGGUUGCCGGAUCAUAACACAUAGUAGGUAACUACAACUUGCAAGAUCGGAUCUAAAACACACAUAUAUUGGUGACAACAUAAUAAUUUCAGAUCUGAAAUCAUGGCACUCCGGCCCUAGUGACAAGCAUUAAGCAUGGCAAAGUGGUAGCAACAUCAAUCUCAGAACAUAGUGGAUACUAGGGAUCAAUCCCCAUCAAAACUAACUCGAUUACAUGAUAGAUCUCAUCCUACUCAUCACCGCCCAGCGAGCCUACGAAUAGAUUACUCACAAACGACGAAGAGCUUCAUGAAAUUGGAGAGGGAAGAAGGUUGAUGAUGACGAUGGCGACGAUUUCCCCUCUCCGGAGCCCAAGACGGACUCCAGAUCUGCCCUCCAGAUGAAGAACAGGUGGUGGCGGCGCCUCCGUAUCGAAAACGCGACGAAAACUUCUCUUUUUAUUUUUUCUAGGACGAAAGGGAUCUUAUAGACCUGAGAUUGGGAGCGGCAGAGCUGUGUGGGCCCCACAAGCCUGCCCACCGCCACCAGGGGGGUGGUGGCGGAGCAAGGGCUUGUGGCCCACUGGCCCACCCCUUGAGGUGGAACUUGGCGCAGAUAUUUUUCUUAUUUUCCAAAACCGCUCCCCGUAAAUUUUCAGGACGUUUGGAGAACUUUGAUUUCUGCACAAAAAUAACACCAAGGCAAUUCUGCUGGAAACAACAUCAGUCCAAGUUAGUUCCAUUCAAAUCAUGCAAAUUAGAGUCCAAAACAAGGGCAAAAGAGUUUGGAAAAGUAGAUACGAUGGAGACGUAUCAGUAUGUUCCUGCUAGCAAUGUGUGGUAGACUGGGACAUCUUAUUUACUUGUUUUCCUUUUCGAAUAAAAUCUGGAAUGCUCAUUCACAGACAAAAGCAUGAUGUACUGUGAUACAUAGUUCUGCCAUUGUCAUUACUCUUAGAUGUGUUGCAUGAGAGACCAGUUUGAAGGAAUUCAGUCAACACUGUCGAAACGCGAGAAGUGUCAUUUUCUUCAACACCUCUGAAUUGUUUAUCGUGUCAAGUACUUUGUUUAGGGGAUGUAUCAUAUAACUGCUGCCACAUAUGGUAAUUUUUGCUCACCCUUUAUUCAAAAACAGGUGGGACUACGCAAAUCCCGGAUAUCUAGAUGCACUAAAGCACAUCACAGACCUGAAGGAGGAAGGUAAUAUUUUAAACCUUGACUGUAUGGGUUAGUUUUUAAGCUUCUCGGGAGCCACAACUCAAGGCGAUUAGUACCUUUGUUCAGUUCACUAGCAGGAGUACUCAAUUUGUGAAUGUGAAUCAAACGCAUGAGAGGAUCUUCCCUGCUAAAACUAUUACCACUUAACCGGUUUCUGCUAGCGUAUAGUAUAACCAGAUGGGUUUGUUGCUCAUCUUAAUUUGGUUCGACCUGGUCUGGUAAUCAGUCAGUGUUAUGCACUAUGUACGACACAAGUAAUAGUCAUGCUUCUCUUAAUUUUCUUACUCAACUGGACCAGUCUUACUUGUGAAUCCCACUAGUUGAACUACGGUUUCCAAGCCUAGUCAAUGAACAGAAACUAGUUACUAACUAGGUUAAUUGAACAUCAUUUUCAGAAGAGAGAAAAAAAUUAGAGAAGUAGAUUGCAAAUUGAGCGCUAUAGUCUGGUCUUUCCUAAAUGACAGGAACUAACACAAAAUCAAAACAGCAGUAUAUUCCAUUAACAACAUUCCUUACGUAUAGGAGCAAAGGAAGCAACUGAGCGUGCGUGCGUGCUUCUAGAAGCAAGCAAGAGAGGCAACGUGACUUUGUUUGCAUGGUCUGCCCUCGUCCAUCGAUGCUUUGCUUAACUUAGCUUAAAAUAAGCAAGCAUAGAGAUAGAUAUUUGUUUUACAUAAAAGUCCUAGGCCUAGUAAUACAUUAAAGAGGGAACUUCUGUGGUCUAUUUUAGAUAAAAGGGGACAUAUAAUUUUCUCUAUAUAAUGACAUGGUGCUGAUUUAGCACUCAUAUGACCUUACAACAGUAUUACAUUGUAGUGUUUUCUGCAUGGUUUCGUAUCACUAGUUUCAUGUUGCCUCCACAUUUGAGUUUAUUACUAAUUUUUGUUUUUAUCCUUGAUUAGCAUCAAUUGUUGUAUUGUAGACUUAAAAUUGUGUUGGUUCCUUUUUUACACAAGCUCAAGUGUGAAGUGUGAAGCCGUGAAGUGUGAACCCAAGUGUGAAGCUGUGAAGUCUUACUCAGUUUAGAGUAGCAUAUUGUAGCACAUCUGUGUUGUAAAGAUUGUAAUAGAUUUAUUUAGUCGUAUAUUUGAUCAAUUUUAUGUGGUCUUAGUUCUAUUUGAAAUUCAUUCUUGGAUUGAAAGUGGUAAAAAAGACAAUAUAUUAGUAUUAAAUUUAGGUUGAUUCUAAGUUUGUGCUGUCACUUGUAUUGGAUCAGAUAUAUUUGUGCCUUCAUAAUGCUACAGAUCAAAAUGUAAAAAUCUCGAGGCCCAAAAUUUGACAAAUUUUUGAGAUCAGCAUGACAUGUUGGACUAGUAAAAAAAUAAAAUGGAAAAAAAAAUCAAUAGAAAGUAAAAGGCCACAAACCAAAAUUCGAAAAAAAUAAAAUUAAAAGUGGCUAUAAAUAGGCUAAGUCCCCAAAAUAAACCCAAUAAGAAAAGCCCCAAAAAAUAAAAUCAGCCCAUGUGAUCAAUUGAAAUGGGUUGGGCUGAUUUCAACCAUGACGUUUUAAUUUUGUCGUAAUUUUGCCACGUAGGACUCCCACGUAGGACUGGGUUUGAUUGCCAACGACGAUUUAGGAUCGUCGUAAAGGUUACGACAAUCAAGGAAUCGUCGUAAAAGCUACGACGAUUUUGAUCAAAACGUCACCGCUGUUCAUUUGUGACGCUCCGUUUUCGACGCUUGGUUUUUCGUCGUGAGAUCGUCGUAAAUUAAAAACCGUGACGAUAUAGCGACGAAAAAAUAGCGUCGUGUAUUAGCAUAUUCCUUGUAGUGGAAGUUUUUCUUUUUCAACUUCUUGAACAUACUACACACACGAGAAAGCUACAAAAUAAGACAUUGUCAACAAUGCAUAUCCGGCUACAGAGCUAUGCAUAUCCGAAUAGAAAUGAUCUACAAAACUAUGCAUAUCCGGAUAAAAUAAUCUACAAAAUUAUGCAUAUCCGGCUACAGAUGAUCUAUACAACAAUGCAUAUCCGACAAGCGAUGUACAGAUAUCAACAACUUACUUGAUCGUGAUUUGCACACCACUAGGCCACUUUGCGAUGAGUUGAAUCAAGUGGCCGCAAUACUUUGACACGGCCUCUUGAAUGGUGUACCAUAGAUGGUUGAGGGACUUUGAUUCACGGUUGCGCACAACCACGUCGGAGUAGGUUGCAAAUUGAUUGUCUUCAUGAAACCAAGUAUGAAUGUUGGCCCAAAGACCGUGCCUUUUGUUAUGUGUCAUGAGUCUAAUCGAGGCUAGUAGCCAAUCAUGCAUUGCAUAACAGCUCGUCCUCCUACAUGUUUAGGAGUUUUCCUUUGCCCCACUUCUUUGAAUCGCCAUCGAAAUCAUCCGGAUCAUCGCUCCUCCUCCUCCUACUGCCUGACGGUCCAAUCUUGACGUUGUGUGUCAGCAGCCAGGUCCGUGUAGUCAUGCCGCGUCCCCGAUUGGGUGUAGGUGCCGGACCGGGUGUACUAUUGCGUGCCCGACUAGUUGUAGGUGACACACUGGGUGGGCUACGUAUCAUCCACCUUCCCGUCCUCAUAGGAAUCUCCUUCUUGCCCCCUCAUGGAUGAUCUCGUACAUCUCCGUGUCGUCGUCGUAUGCUGACUGUCCUACUUUAGCCAUACCAGCGUACAACAUGCAGGCACCCAUUUGCUCCACGCCCCUCGACCGCAUCCGGACAAGCAGGACUGAUGCACCCUCAGAGCAAAACAACGACACAUUUGUUGACGUCGACGAUGAACGAUACAACGACGUAUGCUAGGGACUUCAUGCCCAGCUGCUUGGUAGCAUAGCAGUACCGAGCCUUGUAACGCUCUGGACAUGGAGGUGUCUGUAUGGUCGGCGAGGCCCCGCGGCCCACGCACCGAUCUCCACCACGCCUCCGACCUGCACGCCCACCACCUCGUCCACCACCAGCACAUCCAUCGCCAACUUAUGCUUCUUGGGCUUUUCCUUCUUUGCGGCCCUCGAUUUGGCGCAACGAUUUUGUGUGUCGUCGAUUUGAUCUUUCGGGCGCGCGUGAUGCUUGGAUCAUCCACCACCACCUUCGUCUCCUUCGGGUCGAUGAGUCGGUGGCUGGGGGACGAAGAGAGUGAGUAAAAGGGCGGAAAUUUGGUGGAGAGCAGCGGGACGGAAGAAGAGUGGGAAUUUUUACCGCGAAAACAGUGCAACCAACUACAAAAGCAUGGGGGCCGCCUUAGUUUUUGGUGGGCCGGGUUGCCAGACUCCUACGUGGCUCAUUUUUGGACUCCACCAAAGCUCCCCUCCCCCUCCCCAUCGAGUUUGUUUUGGUUUUGCGGGGAAAUUAUGGCCCAGAUUGCUCCACGGACCGAUGAAGGUCGACAUUGGAUAGCUCGCGUGGUUUGAACAGCUGCGUCCAAACAAAUACGGAGAUCCAUGCUUUGAUGAUCGGUACGGCGUUCGCACGACAAUAUACAGAGCAAUCGAUUAGGUUGCAGUCUGAUUUGUCUACUGCACUUUCUUGUUUAUCAAGUUCUAGCUUAGACCGUUCGGUUUAUCGUCAUUUAGUUGCUAAGAUUAAGUCAUUAACGAUCGAUAGGGCGUUUAUUCUUUAGAAAUUUAAUAGGUCUUAGAAUAGUGCUGCAGAUUGCCUCACAAUAUAUAAUCGCUCUGAACGGACUACGACUGUGUGACUUGAGAGAGGACCUCCAUGUAUUGAGGAACUCUAGACGUUGGAUUGUAGCCUUACCCUUUUGAAAUAAACAUUUAUUGAUCUUGCAUAAAUAAAAAAGUGUGUCUGAACAAAUACGGACAGUUUAAAAGUCGACGUUGAAGAUGCCCUACAAGAAGAACCCAUCAUCCAGGUUGAAAAGAAAAGAGGAGUCCGGCCGGCCGCCUCCAUUCUCUCUUCUUCUUUUACGCAAAGGAGAGGGAUGGAGUAGCUCAUUCACCAUUCACCAAAGCAAAACUCUCGUGCUGCUCCCAUAUCCGCAUACGUGCGUACCAGGUACCACCCUGAUGGCCUAAUUAAUUCGUGGUACAUUACUCGAUCAGUAUGUGCCACCACAGUUGAACAGUGCCCACCUUCAAUCUCCCAGCUGGGCACGUCCGUGCAUCAUAUAGGAGUACUAAUAUCAACUGUACUGUAUAUUUUACAUUUUCUUUCUGCGGUGAGUACUGUAUAUAUUAGUUAACCACUAGGAAACGUGAACCAGGAGCAGAUCAAUGGAGAGCUACAGGCCACAGCUGGCUGAUUAUAAGUACAGUACGUUGCCGUAAAAUAAAAUAAACAAGAGACAGCAGAUUAUCAUCAGUACGCGAGGGCGUAAGAGUGAAAGACGAUUGCGAUGUACAUUCUCCAGCGUCAUGUUAGGUACUGUAUUUUCCUCGCUCACGGCUCCUGCCUUAAUCCACUUUUAUACUCGUCCAAUACAGUACUGUAUGACCAAUGGAAGUUGGUGCCUUAAUAAUCUCACCAUCUCAGGUACAGGGAGCACGCCUUUGGCAUUUUCCCCAUAAAUUAGUCAGUAGGUACGCAGCUACUAGAGCUUUGCUGAGAAGCCUGAACUGAGCUGAACCGAACCGAAGCCUCUGCGACGUGACAUUUCCGGAAUCUCAGUGGCCGGCGAUAGAUAGAUGGAGAUGGAUAGGCUCAACAAGGACAAACUUUAGCCUCGAUCGAGUUAGGAUCUCGCUUUCCUCUCUUUCCGAAGCCACUGAAUCGAUCAUAUCACCGUAAUAAACAAUUCGCGGUUGCAUGCUUGUUUAUCCCGAUCUAGCGGUUGGCUCGGGCCCAAGGAAUUCCCCGACGACGAAAGCACAUCCCCUCGCGACACACGAUCUACAUCCGAGAUGCAUAAACUAGCCCGUAACGACCAAUCAUGUCCGCUAACGACAUGAUUAGCACGCUAAUGAAGCAGCCAAUUGCGUCGAUACCAGUCGUCGGCCGGUGUUCCCACGGAGCCGAGCCGAGCCGAGCCGUCGCUCUCGCCCGGCGGCGAAUAAAGGGCCGCUCCGAUCCCGAUCGGUCGUCCGUUGACACGAUGGGUCGGCAGAUCGAUUAUUCCAUCCAGGGGCUGUCGGUCGGUAACUGUGCGACCUUCUCCUUCCUUUUGCCGUGAGAAAUCGACGCGACGAUGACCAUUGACCAGGCUUGAGACGCACGGCGACGAAGAAGGUGGGCAGCGCACGUCAUACAGAGCAAAGCAGCAACAGCGGCCCGCGAUCGCGAGAUCGAUCAGGGACAGGGUCACCGACACCUUUGCGCUUGCGCAGCUCAUCGUGCGAUGCACUCAUGGAAACCGUGAGGCUGACGAGCACUGGGGUGGAUGGACUGAACAAAAUUUCUGCAGACGCGAUCAGCGUUGUUCCCGCGUUACAAUCCCGAUGGUUCGGUGCUGCUGGGGUUACAGUCUGCUCUUUCGGACUUGAUGAACUUCAGCCACUUCCAGUUAGCGUAUGACCCAGCUUCGUCCUCAAACGGGACGGCAUCGUCGUCGUCAGGCGAGGAGUCGGCCUCGCCGGACCGCGGCGAAUGCGGCAUUUGCUCCCGGUAUCUUCGCGCCAUGUCUUCAGCCUCGACAAACACCUUCUGCGGAAAACAGAGGCAGUGGAAAAUGUGACUACCUUCAGAAUCGGCAGCUUGACACAUACCCCUCCGUCCGAAAUUACUUGUCAUAAAAAUGGAUACACAUGGAUGUAUCCAGAACUAAAAUACAAAUAGAUACAACUAUUUGUACGACGAGUAUUUCCGGACGGAGGGAGUAAAUAAAACUGAAGAGCCCACAAGAGGCAGUGUUCUUACCUCUUUGUUGGAGAGAAACAGUCCAGGUUCGCUCUCAAGGUCCCUAAUACUGCACAGAGCCGAAACACGUCAGCUCUCAGUGCUGCAUACGCAUCUUUUUUAGUUUUUGCGAGUUUUUUUUCCGCGUACCUGAGAGCAAUUCUGUCUGGCGUCGUCGACUUGAUCACAAGCGCUUUCACUCUCUCGCCCACCCUGAGCGCAUCACUGACGGAUCUCAGCUGACCGUGAGUUAUCUUUGAGACAUGCAGCAAACCACUGCAGAAGCAUCACAAGCUGUAAAUUAAACAUCCGAAAUGUUCCCACCUCUAGAUUGUUUGUUCACAAGCUUGCCAAGUGAACAGAGUGGUGCCUAUGGUUCAAUGAGACUGGACGGGUUCCAAACUGUAUUCGGGCAUGCAACAAUAGAAGAUGCAUAGUACUCCCUCCGUUCCUAAAUAUAAGUCUUUUAAGAGAUUUCACUAAGGGUCUACAUACGGAGUAAAAUGAGUGAAUCUACACUCUAAAGUAUGUCUAUAUACAUCCGUAUGUGGUCCACUAGUGAAACCUCUAAAAGGCUUAUAUUUACGAAUGGAGGGAGUACUACCUACAUUCCGAAUUAUAAGAUGUUUUGGAUAUUUCAAUAUGGACUCCAUACAGACUGAAACGAGUGAACAAAUACACUAAAACGCGUCUAUAUACAUCCGAUUCAGAAAAAAGUUAGAACAUCUUGGAACAGAGGGAGUACCGUUUGAAAGGAAAGAUCUAUCAUGACAAUGAAGUGAAGCAUGACAUGUAAAUACUUGAAAGUACAUAUUCCAAAGGAACAAGACAAGCCCUUCGCUAGAGCACAUGGCAAUCACUCAUUAUCUAAGCCAGGAGAUUGAUAAAAGAACACAGGGCAAUUGCUCAUAAUCUAAGCCAGGAGAUUGAUAAAAGAACACAGGGCAAUCGCUCAUAAUCUAAGCCAGGAGAUUGAUAAAAGAAGAGAGACCUCAUUAUCUGGCGAAUUAUCAGAAUUUCCAAUGGAACUCGUCAGUGUGAAGGCUAGUCAGUAAAUCUCAUGUUUCACUACAAUUAACACUCACUCUUUUGUUCAGGCAGUGCAGUUAAGAAUGUCAAAAGGAGCAAGAUUGACAAUUAUAUUUAUAUAAUCUAGUCAAGACUUAGCAUCAUCAAUGUUGCCAAGAUUUAAAACAUAUUGUGGCAACAGCCACCUUCUAAAUUACUCCCUCCGUCCCAAAAUAAGUGUCGCAAAUUUAGUACUAAGUUAGUAAAAAUAUAGUACUAAAGCAGCGACACUUAGUUUAGGACGGAGAGAGUAUUUGGUAAACCUAUAUUUUGUUUGUCAUAAAAUAGGAGUAAGCCAUACUAAAAUACAUGCACGACUAUAAGAGAAUAUGUCCAAAAAGAAACUUAUCAGCAGCUACUAAUGAAACAAUGGAACUGGAAGGAAUGCUCCUUCAACUUUCAAUUGUAAAAUGAACUUCGGCAGAAAACAAGAAAUGCCAUAUUUAGUACUCCCUCCGUCCAGAAAUACUUGUCAUAGGAAUUGAUGUAUCUAGAUGUAUUUUAAUUCUAGAUACAUCCAUAUUUAUUCAUUUGUGUGACAAGUAAUUCCGGACGGAGGGAGUAUGUACUUCCUCCAUUCCAAAAUAAAGUGUCGUGGUUUUAGUUCAGUUUAGUGAUAUUACCUUCUGUUUGUCUCCCCAAUCCUAAUUUGUGCACCAUAUGGGAACAACUUGCGGACUGUCCCUUCCAAGAGAGCCCCUUCUUUAAGGUAUAACAUUGCCUAAAAGAAGCACCGAAGAUCAAAAUUAAUCAGAAGAACUCAAGGGUGCUCAUUGUUCUCUCAGACAAGUCAAAACCUGAUCACCGUGCUGUAGAAUUCAAUUGAUAUAGAAUAUAGGUACUUCAGGUGUAUUUAUCACGAGUUGUAGACUGCAGCAAAAGCUAUUUAAAUAAACAUUUCUUGCAUUGUGUCUUUAGGCAAUUCAAUAAGUUGAUGGACCAAGAUUCUCUACUAUGAAGAGCCACAAUAAAACACAUGAUAUCCUGGUAAACAAUAUGUUAGUGAAUGCUGCAGGUAAGGACAACAGACUGAACAGAGGCUCAUGUAAACAUACAGUUAACUUACCCAAGCCUCUUUUUCACUAAUUAUUAAUUCGUUAGUUCUUUCGUCAAUCUUUGUAAUACAUACAUGCAUCUGUCGACCAACCUGUGCAGAAGAAACAAUAUAAUUCACAAGUUACUACCACUUUAUUGACAAUACUUGAAAAAAUUAGAUAAAAGGGAUCAUGUGUCUUACAUUAUUCUUUAGAUCUGUAAAAUUUCUUGGUCUAGUCAUCAUCUGAGGCUUAGGUAGGAACGCCCGGAGCCCCUAAAUGAUGGAAUCAUGGACGUGAGUUUUAGCUACGAAAUUCGAAAAGUGGACUGUAAUGUAAUCCAUUGAACUCGUUAUGAGUAACCCGUACCUCGAUUCUUGACAACAAGCCUCCAGCAUUCCACUCAGAAAUUUUAACCUUGAUAGGUACAUUUAGCUGCUUUAUCUGGACAUCAGUAUGUACAUAAAUUGUCAUAUAUAAAACAUUCAGAAUAAAAAUAAUAGCUAUUGAACUUAAAACUUCAUAGGUCACAGUAAUGCCGAAUCAUCCAUUGUCAUCGAAAAAACACGACGAAAAUAAGGGUUUUCCAUCCUACAAAUAUUUCCAUUUGCACUGCUCUGCAUCCAAGAUGUGAAACAUCAAUUUUACGAUACAAUAGGCUAAACGACGGAUGCAUGUACAUUGUUAUUAGUCAGAAGAUUACAAGGUCUCAUGAUCAUAUGAUGUCAUACCAAUCAUUUCUUCAUGCACUUAAGCAUGAAAUCACUCUAUGUUCUUAACAAUGACAUGAGAUGCUCUAUUUUGGGCUGCACCGCCAAAUGAUUUUGACUCAUGCCAUGCUAAGAACCUUGAAGACAAAAUCGUGUAUUAAACUAGGAGCAAGCUAUGAUAGUAUUCCCUCCGUCCCAAAAUAAGUGACUCAAAAAUGAGUCAGUUUCAUACUAAUUGUAGUAGAAAACUAAGUCAUUUUUGAGUCACCUAUUUUGGGACGGAGGGAGUACUACAUAAUUGCCUGUUAACCUACACACAAGAUAUAUAUCACACUGCUUUAAUAGCUCGAGCUUUUAGAUAGGCCAGCCAGUGAUCAGUAUAUGAAAAAUCUACUUGGUACAAGCAAGACGGCGGUCGUGACUCGAGGGUUGCAGAUCUAUUCCUGAUACUAAUCAUACACACUACAUUAGUAGUGCUGUUUGAAGUAUCUGUACUGCAUAAUGUUCAAACAAACUAUAUCUGUAUCCGGUACUGAACUACUGACAGUGCACAUCAAAACAUACAUUGACCGAUCAAAAUCAUGGCUAAGGCCUAAGGGCUCAUCAAAUUCUAACAACAAGAAUAGAGAGGAGAGUCAUAGAGGACCUGCCUCACUCUGUGCCACGCGACGCGCCGGAACAGCCUGCGCGCAGACAGCAGCGGCCGCCCGCCAAGUGUUCGACCGAGGACCUCAGCGAACACCACCGUGCCAACGCCCACCACCGGCGCACAUUUCUCCUUCCCGGUCCUCCCAACCUUCAGAUCCACUCCGCCGACGGCGACGCCGACCCUGCCUUCGGCGGCGAACUCCCUCGCGCCACCCGACGCGACGUCGCAGGCGAGGUAAGCGAACUCCUCGGGGGACGCGGGCGCCGCCUCCUUGGUCAGCAUCAGAGCCGGCUCUCCUCCGGCGCCGACGUCGACGUCGAGCGCCCUCGCGUCGCCCCCGACGACGACGCCGGCGACCAGGUCCCCGGGCUUGGGGUCGAAGUAAAUGACCCCACGCCCACCGGUGCCAGGUCCGCCCUCCGAGGAGUCCUUCCCGGCGGUGGCGGCGACGUCUGCCUCGGCACCCUUCACCUGGAAGAAGUUGAGGUAGGGCGCGAGCGCAUCGGCCGUGGACGGCGCCGGAGCGGCCUCCGGCUCGGGCUCGUCCUCCUCCGGCGCGGAGGGGGACGGGAAGGGCUUGUCGAGCAGGUGGAGCUCCUCGCCUCCCUCUCCACCAACCCCGCCCUCGACCACAUCGGAGGAGGAGGGCAAGGAACGGAGCGGCGAGGGGGCUCGCGCGCUGACGAUGACGGGGACGCGGCAGCGCAGGCGGUGGCUCGCCGCGGGCGCCCUGCGCUUGGGUCGGCGGGUCCGCGGGGAGAGCGAAGCGGCGGGGAGAAGGGAGAGGAGCGAGGGCGGCGGCAUGGCGAGCUCACUGCUCAGCGGCUGUGCUGCUCCAGCUCUCUAUCUCCUCGCGGGGAUAUUUUUUUUGGAAAUUUUCUCCUCCGUGUACAGUACACCUCCUCUGUUCUCAGCCGUCCCGGCCCGGCCCGGCCCAUGAGAGAAGACGUAAACCAGCCCAGGUUUCCAUUCCCCAGCUGAGCAAUGUCGGGCCUGGCCCAGUAGUGUCGAGCCCCACUGACAUUCGGGACCCGGCGUCAGGCCUAGGUCGAGCCCCCCGAAUCGUCCGUCGCAGUCGGCGCAAGCAAGGUAGCCAGAGACAGAGAGCGGCGGAAGGAAGGAAGGGAGGAAGGGGAACGAGCGAGCACAGGCGGAGGCGGCGGAGGAGGAUGGGGUUCAUGCUGCGGGUGAGGCUGGCCUCCUUCUUCGCGGGCGCGGCCGCCGCGGCCGCCGCCGGCGGCUACUUCCUCUACAAGGACUACAAGCUCGCCCACGACUCCACCGCCCUCCAGGUACGGGCCGCGCCCUCCUCCUCCCCUCCCCUCCCCUCCGCGUAGCAGAUCUCGGACCCUGUACCACUCCAUGGAUCCCAGCUGCACCUGUCUAGGAAGAAGAAUGGGGGUUGGGGGAACCCCCUUCCGCGAUGCGGCGUCUCGUUUCAAAACCCUAUGAAUCGCACUGCUGAUUUCCUAGAUCAUGUUCCAGUUGGCACCGUUGCUCGGUCCUGGAACUGCAUGCCAGCACCCUGCUUGGAUACGCGCCAGGAGAGCCCAUCCGUUGACAGGCAGCGAUACUCACCAGCCUGAAUUACUACGCCUCAAUAUAGUUUGAUGAGAAUUUCUUGGGGGUGCCUGUGGUGAUAUAUGUUAAUGCUUCUGUGGACCUUGUCAGGCUACCCACUUUUCAUUUGGCUACAGCUUGUAUUUUGCCCGUCUACGGAAUCGCCAUGUCUAGUGUCUGCAAGCUGUAACCGGUGACCAGCAAUGCCGUUUUGAUUUUUCACCUCCUUGGCCGACAGUUCCAGUACCACUUCCUGUGAUGUUGGUAUCUUGGCUUCUCAGGUUAAUGUUCUACUCCCUCCGUCCGAAAUUACUUGUCACAAAAAUGAUAUAAAUGAAUGUAUCUAGAACUAAAAUACAUCUAGAUACAUCCAUUCCUACGACAAGUAUUUUCGGACGGAGGGAGUAUUAGGUAGUUCAGUAGCUUGUAUGGCAUUAGGGAUGAUCUGAGGCAUGGUGUUUUGAAUAAGAUCUGAGGUACAAUGUUGCUCGUUGCAUGGUCGUCGUAUUUUCUUCAUAAAGGCAACUAUGGAUUGCCUAGGAGAGAGCCAGUAUCUUUUGGUCUAGUUCUGAGGUUCCCCAGUGAUUGUUUGUCGUGUUAUCUAGAUGCACACGGCUAGUUUUCUGCAACUUGGCCUUCUGGAUGAUGGAACCACACAUACUGACAAAACCCAUUUGACAUGCCCAUCCACUUUGAAGGUGAAAACGAUGUGUCUGCAGCCCCUUACUCAUUACCGGAUGAUAAUGUCCAGAUAAUGUACUACAAUGUAAGUGGUCAUGUGUUUACUGUUAACAGCAUGAAUGGUUCAUAGCUGGCUAGCCAUUAACAAGAAUGUGGGGGGUGGUUUUGCCGAUAACUUGUUUCCAUUAUGAAGUUGUGGUAACUACAUUAUUAUUAUGAAACAAUAGAUGAGAAGAACACUAGGAUUAUUUCAUCAUGUCUUAUUUACCAUGGCCAUUCGGUAUGUGCUGAUGGGAUUGUUCAGUAGUUCGUAUAAAUGGCGGAAUAUCAUUGAUUAAGGCUGAAGACUGUUUGAUUAGAUGCAAUAAAGACACGUGUCCCUAAGAAGUUGCUUCAAAUGUGGGAAUGGUCUUCUUAUGCUAUUUUUGAGCGGUUGGGACUAAUCGUAGUUGAGGCUGUUUUUAUUCCCCCGAGGUACAGCUUAGUUGUGGAUGUUUUUCAUAAGUGAAGUUGUCUUUCACAUUUCAUUGACUUUUAAGCAGCACAAUAAUUGUCCGAGCUUCAAGAUUGAGAUUUCUAUGGUGUUUGUUAAUCAUGUUCCCUCAUCAUUUCCACUACACUGCAUGAUUCUGCUUGGGUUCAAGAUAACCAUACACACACACAAGCAACCCAUUUGAAAUGCCCAUCCAUUUUGAAAGUAAAAACAAUGUGUCUUCAGCCCCUUACACAUUACCAGAUGAUAGUGCCCUGACAAUGUAGAUUGUAAGUGAUCAUGCAUUUAAAGAUGUGUUUAGUGUUAACAGGGUGCCACGGUCAUAGUUGAACUAAACUCAGUUUUCUGCAAGUGACUCAUUGCUUUCAUUGAUGCAGCAUUCUCAGGAGCAUUUUAGUUUCAUUGGCAGAACCAAUCUUCCAAGUUUCAGCAUAUAUUUGCGAAGGCAUAGAUGCUAUUUUUUUCCAUAAUAAACUUAAUUAUAACCUAUAUAACAUUUUGGACAUUACCUGUAUCGUAAUGCUCGAAGCUGGCCUGUCCGUCUCAUCAACAAGAAUGUUGGUGGUUUUGCCUACCUUCCAGUAUGAAAUUGUGGUAACUUCAUCAGAAUGAUGGAACAAUAGAUAUCCUGACAUGAAAUAUGAGAAGAACACUAGAAUAAUUCAUCAUGUCUGAUUUACCAUGGUCAUUCGGUAUGCACUGGUGGGAUUGUUCGGUAUGCACUGGUGGGAUUGUUCAGUAGUUCAUGUAAAUGGGCAGAAUUUCAUAGAUAAAAUGCUGAAUUUUUUCCAGGUAGAUACGAUAAAGACACAUGUUUGUAUAGUUUUCCCAAGAAGUUGGUUGAAAUGUGGGGAUGGGCUUCUUAUGCUAUUUUUGAGCGGUUGGUUGGAACUAACCUUAGUUGAGGACCCUGAGGUUAAUCUCAGUUGAAGACAUUUUUCAUAAGUGAAGUUGUUGUUCACAUGCCAUGGGCUUUUAAGCAGUGCAAUCAUUAUCUGGGCUUUAAGAUUGAGGUUUCUAUACAUGUGGUGUUUGUUAAUCAAUGCUCCCUAUGCAUUUCCAUUAUACACUCGCAUGAUUCUGGUUGGGUUCAGGAUAAGCAUCUGAUCUCUAAAUCACAACUUUGCCAGGUGAAAGGUCUGCACGACCGUGUGGACGCCCGUUACAAGGCUAUGGACAAGCGACUUGCAGCUCUGGAAGCCCAGAAAAGCGCCGACUCCUCUCCGGGCGUGCCUACGCCAUCGGAUUAGUCAUUUGCCUGUCCAUCACAAGGCUUGACAAGUGGAUGAUUCUAAGUCUGUUUACUUUUAACAUGCGCGCGCUAUCUGCUUCUCCUUUGAAGGCAAGGGGCCUGUGACCGACAGCGAAAUAAUAUAGCGAACAGUUUUUGUUUUGUUGCGUGGGCAAGAAGAAGCUCCUUUUGUUGCGUUGAUGGGAUACAUCAGAUCAGAUCUUAUCUUUGCAGGCCGUUUCACAUUUGCUGUCGCUUGACCGGGGGAUUCAACCCGAACCCUUUUAUGACGCCCCUUGAUUUCUCAGAUCUUUGUUUCUAGCAAUGCAGGCGGCUUUUAUGAUGCCUGUUUUCUUUGCUGGUUUGAUAAUCUAUGUUUUUUUGUGUGGAGGUUUUUCUUAUUUUUGAGGGGUUGAUAAUCUCUGCCGAUGAAGGGAAAACCGGAAAAGUGGUGCUGGCUGAUCCAUGCUUGCACGUUUUAUAUGGAGAAGAAAAGAAAAGUCUAGCUGAUAAGCGUUGAUAGUAUCUGCAAAGGGAUCCGAUCCAGCUCAACAUCACCUUGUCCAUUCGCUACGGCGACCUGUGUUGCCUUGCGUUGCGUGUGGCCAUGGGUCUUGCCGACCUCGAUCUGUUGUGCAAUUUCUUUUAUUGUGUCUCCCAAAUCGCUUAUUGGCUGGGAAUGGUUCAGGCAUGUGAUGACGAUAAUCAAAAGAAGUGAUGGGAGGAAGCGGUUUGAUCGAUUAUGGGCAUUGGGCAAGGGCUGCUUUCAUCGAGAUCUUGGACUGUUCUAAUUAAUCGUUUCGAGAUGGCUUAACUAUGGCCAUUAUCAGCUAUCAUUAUUGGUUGCCUGCCAUCUGCAGGUGCAGAAAGAAGAUGAUAAUUAACUUGGUUGAAGCAUUGUUCCACUACAAUUUGCAUGUAGUAUUAAAACGCAAGCUAAUGGUGAGCUCAACACCAUAGUACUACCUCUACUUGUCCUAAAGAUGAAUGUAUCUAGACUUAUUUUAAUUAUAGAUAUAUUCAUUAUAUGCAUUUUUAGGAUAAUUAUUUUCGGACGGAGGGAGUAGUAUAUAGACACAAAAAUGAAUGACCCUCAGCCAUACCAAAGUCCACGUACAUGUACUAGUAUUUUGCUUCGAGUUUAAUCAUGUUUGAGGGAUCAUGUCGCCGAAUCAUUGAGGAUCUCUUUGUAAAUUACUUAUAUAUAUACAACUCUUUGGAAAUUACAACUAAUUCACACGAUUGGUCCGAAUCCAUCACACUCUUGCUGUAGAAUAAUAUGCUCAGCUCAGGCUGUUAGGCAGUUGGGUCAGUUAAGGCUGAUUGAGGUGGAUUAUCUUUCUGUCAACUUUUCUGUUUGGCUUUCAGAUCAUUGGUUUUUACCCCUUUUCCCGUAACAAAUUAUUAUAGAAUAAGUUUAGUACAUUACAGCAAUGCAUUUGCCGUCUAAUCAUGAAUAUAUUAGCAAAUGUCGAUGUCGUGUCGGUCUUUCCUUUGCUCUAUUUUUCUUUUUUCUUUUAAGUUACGCCGUGUUUCUACUUCGCGCGACACGUGGGCAUGAAAAAAAAUAAAGACUUUACCACAAAUAUUCCAGAAAUACUACCCAGCAACGAAGUAUUCCUCCCUGAAUGAAAUACACAGGACGGCGAAAGGAAAUGCUGAAAAAAAUAUGCUCGAAACCAGUUCGUGGAAGAAAAAUAAUACUCCCUCCGUUACUAAAUAUAAGUCUUUUAAGAUAUUUCACUAGGAGUCUACAUACGAAGCAAAAUGAGUGAAUCUACACUCUAAAGUAUGUCUAUAUACAUCCGUAUGUAGUCCACUAAUGAAACUUCUUUAAAGAUUUAGGAGUAUUUAGGAACGGAGGGAGUAGUAGUAUAAGAAAAGAAACGUCGUUAUUAAGAUAGGAUAAUGAUACGGUUUCGGAGCAAGGCAAAGGAAAAAAACAGUUGAAGAAAGAGACGACGGGCGACGAGCCGAACGGGUCGCCGGUACUCCUCCUCCUCGCUGUCUUAACCAUCCAUCCGUCCAUCAUCGCCGCCGACGAUGCGGCAGUCAAUUGCCCCACGAACUCUUCCGCCAAGGCGUAGUAGUUAGUACGUGCUACUGCUACGAGUACAAAUUCCGCAUGGCCCUCCUCCGCUAGUCCACCCAACCGCGGGACGGGACGGCAAUGGCGUCCUCCUCCUCCCCCUCAUCCUCUCCGGCGGCUCCGCUGCUCGUGCCUUGGCAAGAUGGCCGGGACCAGGACGGCGCGGCCGCUCGGAGCGGCGGCGGCGGCGGCGGGAGUCGGCAGGAGCAGGUACCGGUUCUUGGCGGUUUGAGCUUGGGAACUGGCUUGUGAUGGGUUGGUUGCUGAUGAAAUCUGUGGCUUUCUUGUUUGUGCUGCGAAGGGGGUGGGGUUGGGGGUGGUGCGGAGCUGGGCGGAGGCGAUGCUGCUGUGCUGCGGCGACGCGCGGCGGCUUUGGCGCAGGGUGCUGCUGCGCAAGUGGCUCAACGUCGGCGCCGGGUCCGGCGACUCCGACUUCAGCGCCGACGAGGACGACGCCGACGAGCACGACCACCAAGGUCCGCUUCGCUUGGCCAUCUCUGAUCCCGUCCUCCGUUUCCUGCGCACCAGCUGCUCUGAUUCGAUCCCGUUCGGAGCAUAAUGGGGGGGAUUUUUUUGUGCGAGGGGAAUGCAGACCACCACAUUGCGAAUUCGCAACGCAGACAGACUCACAAUGAACAAUUGGCCAGUUUUCCCAGCUCAAUUGUCCAUUGCUUGCUUUCUCGUCAGAGUUCAUGCUGCUGCAGCAUCAUGAGUGCCACCGGUUCAGUUUCGUAUGGGUACGGCCAUGAGUGCCGUGCCGGUCAUCUCCCUGGUCGAUGGAGACCUCCACUGUGAUGUCCGGCUGCUAAUCCACUUUCUGCAGACCACCGGUUUCGUCGGGCAUAUCCAGCAUUUUUAACCAAGAUAAAGGUUUGGUCCAGGAGUUUGAGGAUUCCGAACUCCUGAUGCCUUUUUGUUUCGUGUCGAACCCUGCUUGAGCCAAAAGGGUCAGCAAAUGUGUGGGCGAAAAGUUUGGCCGCUUUUGAACAACCGCCUUUUCGAGACCGUCUUUUUUAUGCAGAAAGGGGGAAAGAGUAAGGAAUGGCUGUUAAUUUGUUUUGUCUCCCUUCAUCCUUGCAACUUGCAAGUGAGGUUCUGCAUGUGUAAACAAAUGCGUGUCGUUUUGUAGGCAUAGACUUGUCCGGCUUUGAUUUGCGGAUCGAUAUCGAUAAUCACACAUGUUCUGACUGUCAUGUUUGUUCUGCUUGUGCAGAGAAGUGCUUCUCUUGGGAGCACAAACUGUUUGAUGAGGAGAGGAGAUUACGCGGACUUGGUGCGGACACGAUUGGUAAUUUAAUUUUUAUCUCAUUUGUUCGAGAAGAAUGUAUUGGCUGAAUCUGCAUAUUUAGUUGUUGCGUUGGCAAUUCAGUUUCGUCCUAUAAGAGGAAUUGGCUCCUAUGUUAUAUCCACGCCAGCAGAUAGGCAUUGUCUAAAGUGCUUUUCCACUCUCUGUGAAUAUAAAAAUAAAUUAGGAUAGUGCUUUUCCACUCCCUGUGAAUAUAAAAGAAAAUGAGGAUAGUGCUUUUCCACUCCCUGUGAAUAAAUAUAUCAGCGCAACUUUUUUAUGAUAAAGAACAGACGGUCUGGCUUUACAUAAAGCCAAAUACUUCAAAGAAAUAUAUGCAUGAUAAUUAAUAUAAGCACAACGGGCGGGAAAUUAGCAAGCACUGGAUGCCUUUCAAUAUGCGUUUCGAUUUACUCUGAAGCCCAUUUUGUUACAUUAAACGACUGUUUGGUAAGCCAUUCGUGACACACUGCCUUACAUACUGACACAAACACCUGCUUGACCUGGGUUAGCAGUUGCUUUAUAUGCUGAUGCAGACUGUAAUUUGUAGGCAACCAAGUGAAAGAUGUGCCUGACAAGCCUAAAAGGCACAAUUCCGAGACACUUCGUGCUCAGUAUAUCGAUGUCGCAGAACUCAGGUAUAGUCAUAUAGAUUGUUCCCCUCUUACCAUUUCUUUGGCCUUUUUGGCAGUAUUUUCAUAUCAUCCUAUGUGAUUACUAAAAUAAAAUGCUCAAUACACCCUGUUUCUGUCACAUAAAACAUCUCAGAUGAUCUAAUACUAAAUCAUUGAACCCAUCUGCAACUAGGCUAAAAUAUGCCACUAUGGUAGUAUGUUUGCUUCCAAGUUCCAAUCUACAAGUUUUUACAUGCAGGAUUUUCGUAGGGACAUGGAAUGUUGGAGGCAGAGUUCCACCCACUGACUUAGACAUUCAAGAGUGGCUGGCGAUGGAGGAGCCAGCUGAUAUUUAUGUUCUCGGGUAAACCACUGCUCACAAACUUUCAAUUGCAUGAAUCUCCAUCUAUUAUUUUGGGAGAACAUAUGUGGCACAGAUCCACACAAAAUAAGCUUUCACAAUCUGACAUAGCAGCUGCAAUCUUGGAAAAACUUGAAAAGCUGUUCUUUUGGAUCACAUAUUUGAAAAUUAUUUGAUUAUCGGCUGGUGUCUAAUCAGUUUAUCAUCCGUGUGACACUUUAGCUUAUUAUUUAGCUAAGAUGUGAUUUGUUGUUGUGCACUACUGCUAUUAUUUUAGAUGAACGGCCCAUGACCCUGCUUUUAUUAAAGCCACAGUUCAAGCUGCACCAAACAUACCCUUAGUUUAUAUUUACCAUGAAAUUUAUGACCAUCUUUCAGAUUUCAAGAAAUUGUCCCACUAAAUGCCGGGAAUAUAUUCGGUGCUGAAGAUGACCAUCCAGUUGCAGUAUGGGAACAUAUCAUUCGUGAAACUUUGAAUAACAUAUGCCCAUAUAAACCAAAGAAUAAAUGUGUCAGUGAUCCUCCUUCACCAUCAAAGUUUAAUCCAUCAGACUAUCUUGUGAUGGAAGAUGAUUUUCUUAGUGAGGCCGACAAUGAAAGUGAGGGGGAACUUCAUCCAUUGAUUGAACAAGACAUUAUUCCAGUUACUAACGAUAGUGCCAUUUGUAAAACAUAUGAGUACUCCACCUCUGCUUCCAGUGAAAGAAUGCAUGAAGGCGAAGACUUCAGCAGGAUGCCUUCAGUAAAGACUUCUCAUCAAUCCCACAACUUAAGUCAUACACAUUUUAGAUCUCAUCUGGAAGAACCAAGCAACCAAGCCAGUCACUCGGAAAGGCCUGGAAUGAUUUGGCCUGAACAACAAUUGGAUAUGCGGGUUCAUCUUCUUCGGCACAGUGCAUCAGUUACUCCAGUGAAGACUAAAACAGCUUCUGCGUCUUUCAAAUUGAGACAUGAGAAUUCAAAUGGUUUUCCAGAAGAUAAUCUAGACCAUGAUGUUAGUGCCAAUGAUAGACUCGUUAAAAGGAAAAAAUCAAAUUUUGUACGGAUAAUAAGCAAGCAAAUGGUGGGAAUAUAUCUUUCGGUGUGGGUUCAGAGAGGCCUUAGGAGGCACAUUCAGAAUUUGAGAGUAUCAACUGUAGGUGUAGGCGCGAUGGGUUACAUCGGUAACAAGGUGAGUACCAAAGUUGAUCUUAUUUUCUCUCACCAUUCAUUUUGCAUUCAUUUGUACUUCAUGCAUAAGUUUUCAUUUCAUUGACUUGCCUUGUCAUCUCAUAUCAAUUCUUAUUAGAUUCAGCAUGAAUACAUUUGUCGGGUACUAUCUGAUUUACAAAAUCAUCUGAUGACAUUUGUUUCUGCAAUGCUCCAGGGAUCAAUAUCAGUCAGCAUGUCUAUAUAUCAGACACCCUUUUGUUUUGUAUGUUGCCACCUGACAUCUGGUGAAAAGGAUGGAAAUCUAACAAAGAGAAAUGCAGAUGUUGAAGAAAUCCUUCGAAGAACGGUAUUUAACCCAGUUCAUAGAGUCAGCAUGCCUAAGGGAAUACAUGACCAUGAGUAAGUCGGCAAAUUUCUGUCUCCUGAAUCUUUGCUAUCCUCCAAUGCAAUAAUUUUCUCAAUUGCUUAUAUAUGCAGCCAUUUCAUAAAUUUCAGAAAGAUUAUAUGGUUUGGGGAUCUCAACUACCGAAUCAACCUAUCAUAUGAAAGAACACAUGAACUUAUCUCCGGACAGGAAUGGGAUUUAUUGUUUGAGAAUGAUCAGGUAACUUAAUGGUUCGGUACACAAAUUACUACCUGUAGUAUUUCCAGCUCACGCUUUUGCUGUGACAGCUAAAAUGGGAACUGAUGGAAGGGCGUACAUUUGACGGUUGGAUCGAAGGGGUGAUUAGCUUCCCCCCAACAUAUAAAUACGAAUUUAAUUCAGAUAAGUAUUCGGGUGACGAGCCAAUAUCCGCGAGAAGAAGACCUGCAUGGUAUGCUAUCCUGCCUUUUUGUUUCGCACAUUUAAUCUGAUAAGAUCCAUCAUAGCUCGUGUUUGGGCAUUCGAACCCAGGAUAAAUAAAUGUUGCCUACUUCUGUAGGUGCGAUCGGAUUCUUUCAUACGGAAAGGGUAUCAGGUUGGAUUCUUAUAGAAGGGCGGAGCUUAAUCUUUCGGAUCACCGCCCGGUGUCUGCGGUCUACAUGGCCGAGGUUGAAGUUUUAUGCCACAGAAAGUUUCAGAAGGCUCUAACAUUCACCAAUGUAGAGGUCGAGAAUCAUCUUCUAUUGGAGAGAUAAAGCACUUGUUCACUGAAGAGCCCUGGGCUGUGAGAGAACAUCCAGGUCUUAGCUCAAGGCGCAAUGGCGGCCGAAUGGAAAUGCCGGUAAUUUCAGGCAAGUUACCAGAAUGUACAGAAGCAAAUAGGGGUGGCAGUUUGAUGCAUACAGGGAUUGGGUUGUGAGUGUGUGUUUCCGACCAAAUUGGUCGUCCUGUAAAUGAAAAGAAGAAUAAAAGGUAGUCCAACUCCUCAGAAGAGGAUCGAUUGUUCAUAUCUAACACGAUUUGCACAGAAAUGAGAGAUGUUCUUCCCUUCUUUUGUAGAGGUAAUGUUCUUGCUUCUUUUUAAUGUUUGAUGAUGAUUAACCACUGAAGAUAAGAGCUGGAGCUACUAGGUACAAACAGGUAAAAAAAAGCAAGAUACAACCAAAUCCGACUUGAAAUAUUACAUGGUGAAGCUGAAAUUUCCUGGAUUAGAUAUUCAGAAGCAUCUUGUUACAUUAAAACUUGAGUGGACGAGGGCACAUGUUCAGUAAGUUCCUUCGGACAACAUAAACAAAUUUCAGACCACAUUGAUCCAAUGCGACGAAUUCGGUGAAAACUGCAGCAGCCGGUCCUCCGCCUACAGAAAACAAAAUUGCCACUCUGUCAGUAACCAAAUACAAAACAGAACCUAAUUAGCAGAACCUAUGCAACAUAAUGUCUUACAGUGUUAAAACUCAUGACAAGCCCAGAAAUAUAAAGAAAAGCUAUAACAUAAUUGUGGCUAUGUCUCCUAGGAAUAUCGAUGACAGAAACGGUACUGGUGGACUCUAGUUUGUGGAUAGGCUCCAUGGAUAGGCUCCAUUGGCCACUAGUAGGGGUAUACCGAAGAUAAAGGGGACGUGAGCACCAACGAGGUAAUUACGGUUACCAAAAACAUGCAUGAGCAUUGCAAACCUCAAUAUAUCUAACCAUUAAUUAUUUUUUGAUGAUUUGAAACCCUUGCCACGCAUACGUACUAGCUAGUCCGCCUUCUCCAGCACCCGUUGUGCAACAGACACGUGACGUGGAUAAGCUCGUGAUAUGCUCGAUCACGAGCUGACCGCGUCAUGUAAGAGUACGAUCAAGGCCCUGUAGGGGUUGAAUGACUCCCUGUAUAAGGAGAAGGAUAAGAUUAUCGAUGACAAUGCUAUUGUCUAUGAUAAGAUUUUCAGUCUCAAACAUGAUAUCAUGGCACUGAACCUCGAGAUAACUAUGAUCAAGAAGGAGAUACAAGACCUCAAGUCCGAGAGGACUCAACUGAAGACGAAGAAAGCCCAUCACAUCAUGGAGGGGCGGGCAAAUAGGAAUAAACUUCGUGAGCUUAAAUUAGUCCUUAUAAAAACCAAGUAGUGUCGAGAGAGGAAGAUCGAUACAUAUUGUGGAAGUUGGUACUUUUCUUUUGUGAAUUUGGUGAAACAUUUAGUUUGUGGAGCUGGUAGCAUCUUUUGUGAAUUGCUGAAACAUUUAGCAUCUUUUGUAAAUUGCUGAAAUGUUUAGCAUCUUUUGUAAAUUGCUGAAAUGUUUAGCAUCUUUUGUGAAUUGCUGAAACAUUUAGUUUGUGAAGCUGGUAGUAUUUUUUAUUAGCUAAAUAUGAUAGUGUCGGCGUGCAACUUUGUCCAAUGCCAUAUGUACUCAAAAUACUGCCGACGUCGUCUCCAAUGCCAUCACUAAAUUCUAACAGUGGCGCGAUAUUGGUGGCGUCGGGUGUCCACGCCAGCAGGUCCCUUUUUGCCAUGCCAUAGCUAGGCUUUUCUGCACUAGUGAUGGCAAUGUCCCUGUCCAAGGUGGAUAUACGCUGGCAAUAUGGUGACUUUGGCUCCGGAUUAGAUCGGAUCAGCGACGACGACGAGCGGGCGGGAUUCCUCUUGGAGACUCUCGCGGUUUGGUGAGGUGGGGUGGCGUCCCUCUUCCCAAGCUCCAGUGGUGGCACAAGCAAGCAGUGGCCAGUGUGCCAGGGAUCCCAUGGUGGCAGUGCGAUUGUGGAUGGUGGUCGGACAUGGGUGGCCAGAUCUCGGGCUUUGAAGGCGGUCUGGACGGUGCACAUGUUGUCGUUUGGAUGCUCAUGGGACAGAUCCGGGUGAAAACCUGGUCUCGACCGGUGGUCGGAGCCGGCGAUGCUGACGCCCUCGGCAACGUUUCCUUCUUGAAAGCAUCAUCGAGGUGAAGCUCCCAACUCCUUCUGCUACCUUCGGGGAAAACCCAAGAUCAGUCGAUUGGAUGACGGUGGUGCACUUGUGUCGUUCCCUCCUUGGGGGCAUCAUUCUUGGAGGUGUGCAUUGGCUUGAUAGACCAGUAGACGGUUCCAGUGGUGGAGCGGCACUCCAUAUGAUGGAGGCAUAGGGAGGAGGCAUUGUCUAGCGUCAUGGGGGCAUCGACGACAGGCCUGGCAAGGUUGAUGCGUUAGUACCUGCCCUGAAGAUGGAUCAGUGGAAGAUGGCGGAGACGACCUAUAAGUGCGGCGGACCGGUUUGCGUCCCAAACCAAGUAUUUGUCUUGGUUGGGGCAUCCAGCUUUAGAUGUUAGGCAUUUGUGCGAUGUCUGUUUGGUAUUAAAGUUUGAACUAUCAGCACCCCUUCAUCAAGUGGAUAUGAGUAGUGGCAUAUGUUUGUAAGAUGGUGACUUCAGACUUCCUGAUGUACUACUUUGUAAGGUCUUUGUGAAUAAUUAACAAAAUGAAUGCAUGCAUCUUCCAAAUGCAAAGGCCAGGGGACAUCCUUCUUUUCGAAAAAAACGUCUGUACUACAUUGCUGACACAUUAUCGCCAGGGUCUACAAUAAUGUGGUCUUCAUCAAUGGCCUCAUCAACACACCGUCACAGCCUCAACAAUCUCGUUUACAAGGAUGGUCAUGCAUCCUUUGACAAUACUACUACAAAACGAAGAGGACACCGAUGACGACAUUGCCUAUAUUCGAUAGCUAAGACUACAUCGACACAUCGACCACUACUAGGGAAAACCCUAGCAGUAGCGUAGGGUCAGAAGCCUAUCAGUAGCGCGAGCACCCGCGUUGCUGCUAUGAUGCUAAAAGUAACAUUUACCAGUAGUGCGGGAGGCCGGUGCUACUGGAAACUGGGUUAGCAGCAGCGCUGUCUUAAUAUGCACUACUACUAUCCUGUAAUAGUAGUAGAGACUAGCGAGCUCUUAGAAGCCGCGCCACUAUUAAACGAGUGUAUUCCUUUUUUAUAUAUUUCUAUUAUAUUUACACGCGGUUAUACUAACUAAUAUACAACUUCAACAAUAAUUGUGCAAAACACAACAUUUAGAUUAAAGUGGGUGUGUGCAAGUGAUCAAGUUGGGUUAGAGGGGAAAUAUGAUGUUGCGAAUCGUAACAUCAUAUUUUCCUCUAAUUCAACUUGAUCACUUGUAUCCAUCCACUUUGAUCUAAUAUGUGUCAUAUAACUUAUCAUCCUUUUAAUCAUCUAAUAACUUAUCAUCAUCUUGAUUAUCAUCUUAAUCAUCUAACAAUUUAUCAUCAUCUUGAUCAUCUAAUCAUUAGUACAUAAUGUUAGGUCUUCUCUCUUGGCUAGCACAUAUUAUUCUCUUCUAGGUAGAACCUACUAAUCUCUACUGGGUAAAAUAACAUAAAAAGGUAAGCUCCACUCUCUCCAUUGUGAGAAAUAGAGAUCCACCUAUCUCCAACAUGCGGCAUGCGCAAAUCCUUCGCGCCUCCGCCAAGUAGUUGUCGGCGGCUUUUCAUUAAAUUGUCAAAUCCUUUAAGUUUCAGGCUUCCACCCCUUCUAGAAAGCGAGUAUGCAUUACGGAAACAUAUAGGACACCGUGGCCGUAUGCUGAACAGAUUCAAAUGAUGAUCUUCUAUAGUCAUCAGUUUAGGCACAACCUUUGACGGGAAUUUCUAUUGAAGAACAUAAUAAUAACAUAGUAAGCAAUCUAGUUUUGCUUAAAAAAAUUAUGUAUGCAAAAUAUGUACUAAUUAAUGACACAAUAGUAAAAAACAAUCUUACCAUGCUAUCUACAUGGAAAUUACUAGGGUUCAACUCGUGCACUAGUAGCACAUAUUUAGAAUAACUUUCGUCAAUAUCUUCAUAAUUGUUCUUAUAAUCAUCAACAUCAUCAAUAAAUGAAAUCAUAUGUUUUUUCUCCAACCAAGUUAGAUCGGAGCUAGGACUGUAGUAGGUCCUGUCUACUAUCUUUUGAGUUUUUUUGAAGAAGAAAAAUAAGCUGUCACUUAAAAAUAAAUAAGUUAAGUAGGGAUGGACACCAACUAUUUUUAAAUAAGCAAUGCAAAUCACUUAACAAAUAUGGUUGUCAAACUCACAUUAAGGUAAAACUGGAAGCAUAUCUACAUCCAUCCAAAUGUCGAUAUUACCUUCAAUAUCAUCUUCAGGACGAAUAUCGAAGGUUAUUUCCAUAUCCUCCUGAAAUCCAUAUGCCUUUUCUAAAGCUUCCCAAGUUGAGGAACCAAAAUACGAUUGAUUAAUUACAUUGUAUAGUGUAACCAAAAAUGUGAAACCAUGUUUAGUCCUUAGAUGAGCUCUCCUCGUCUCCAUAUUCUCCAUUUCUUGGAAACCGAGCUUCUGCAAGACAUACCGUCUUGCAUGGUAGGGGAUGCACUAAUCGAAUUGUAAAAUAAACAGAAAUUACACGUUGAAGCAAAGAAACACAAAUCAAAGAAGCAACAAUUGUGGUCAUUAUUGCAUACCGUAAAAACAUCAAAAGUCUCGUAAAGCUUGAUGGUGAAGAACCUUCCGUUUCACAGGUGAGGCCUGUCGCACACACCACGAUCUUCGCCGCAAUAAUCACACUCAGGGACCCCCUCGUCCUCAGAUGACAUUUCCUGUGUUCAUGCUUCAAAGAUUAAAAAUCAACCAAAACUAUUGGUGUAUAUGAAAAAUCAGCAUGGGUUGAGUUUCGGUCUGUCGAGGCUUCCUUGAAAAACUCUCACAUCUCAUGGUGUAUACGGUGCACAAUCUCUCACACUGAUACGAUGGUGUAUGUUGGUGGACACUCCCUCACACUACUAUUUCGACCGUCGCUGAUGACCGCUCCUCCCUUUGUUCCCGCGUGCAUUACCAAAAUCUCCAGCACAUGUGAACGAAGGAGGAAGCGGUCCCCACGACAAAGUCGGGAUUCUUCCUGUGAUAUUUCAACCAUCAGUGUUGGUCGCACCUCUUCUUCUGUCCUUGCUCAUUGUACCGAGGUAUAUAUCACAAGAAGAAAUGAAGAGGAAGUGACCCCCAGGGCAACAAUCGGUAUUCCUCCAUCAAGAACAUACUGAAAGUCACACAAGGAGCUCCGACAGACUAAAAGUCAACUCUAUACCUCAAAGUCACCCGAGUGGAAAAUGAUAAUGAAAUUAUGAAAAUGAUAAUGAACAUGUGAAAAUAAAAAUAAAAAUGAAACCUCUGAGCGGCCUAUGUUUUUCUCGAAUGACAUCUAAUUCCUAUUCUCUCAAAAUUUCGACAUAACCUUUUCUAAAAAAUAGAACAUUCCGAGCGCGUGAAAUUUGCGGGAACGAAAAUGAGUCAACAUUCCAGCAAAACAUUUGCCACUUGGAGUUUCAAUUUCACUUUCAUUUUCAUUUUUACUUUCAUUUUCACAUUUUCAUUUUUUCACAUGGUCAAACCAUUCUGAAAGACAACCCGAACCAUCAUCGUUUAAAAUUACAUUCUAUUUUACUACUAGUUAAAUCAAAGUGUCGAAUACAUUUUUCUACCAACUAUUUUUUUUAACUAAUUAAAUAAAUUAGAAACUAUAAACUAGAAAAUAGAAAGUACUACUACAUCUACAUCUCCUACUAUAUAUACUAUACUAAAAACUAGAAACUAGAAACUGAAAAUUCCUAUACCUAAAACAUUACUUAAUUAGGAUAGAGUAGGUGGGAGGACUGGCGAGUGAAGAGGAGGAGGUGGAGGGAGGAGGGCAGUAGGAGGAGCGGGAGAGGAUGGCAACGGGAGGAGGGAGGAGGGCGGUCGGAGGAGGAGGGAGGAGGGAUGAGGCUGGUCAGAGGAGGAGGGGAGGAGAGUUGAGGGAGGAAGGAGGAGGAAGGAGAGAGGAGGGCGAUGAGAGGAGGAGGGAGGGAGGGAGACACGUGAUGGUGGUGGUGGCGGGAGGGCGGUGCCGAUGGGCGAUAACGAUGAUAGCGGCGACAUGGUGUGGCAAGAGUGUGAGAGGGGGAGUGAGAGAAACGGUCGCAUCGGGGUGAGGAUAAGGUGGCAUUAGUAGUAGCGCGGGUUGUGAAAUGACGCUAUUGCUAAGCACUAUAGCAGUAGCGCGUGGUGCGCUAUGGACCAGCGCUACUGCUAGGGGCAGCCUUGGUGGGUAACGAUGUGACCCUUUAGCAGUAGCAUCGGCUUGCAUACCUGCUGAAAAGACCUCGAUGACGCCUAGAGGGGGAGGGGGUGAAUAGGCUAUUUAAAAACUUCUUCAGAUUUGGCUUGAACCUAAUGCGGAAAUAAACUAAGAGGGUACUUGUCAAGCACAAAUCCUAAAUGCACUAGGCACUGCAACGUGUAUCAACAACAUGAUCUACCAAGAUGGACACAAUGCAGUUACUAACAAGCACAAGUAAGUUACACAAACUUACUUGAGCUAUAUCACACGACAAGUAGGUGACCAACACAAGAUACUAGAUCACACUAUAUCACACGAUAUAUCAAGGGCUGCAAGUAUGUACGUGUGGAUAUAGAGGGUAUGCUUGAAUGAUUAAUCUUGUACAAGAAAUAGCCAACACAAUAUAAUGAGCACAAACAAUAUGCAAUGUAUGUAUGCUCAGGUAACACAAGUAAACCACAAGUAAGGAGUUAGGUUAAGGAUAACCAAGGUCACUGAGACGAAGAUGUAUCCCGAUGUUCACUUCCUUGGAGGGAAGCUAGUCACCGCUAGAGAGGUGGAUGUUACCACGAAGGCACACCAACGCCACGAAGGCUCACCCUAUUCUCCCUUUGAGAUAACACCACAAAGGCGUUUCUCAACCACUAGUGGUAAGCCUUUGAGGUGGCUUCCAAACCCUCACAAACUUUUCCGAGGGAAAUCACACGAAUUGAUUCCUCUCCGAAGAACUCCUACCGCCUAGGAGUCUCCAACCUCCAAGAGUAACAAGAUCACGGGGAAUGCUCAAAACUAGGUCAAAUCACAAAUAGCUUGGGUUGAGAGAAGGAGAGGGAGACGAUCUAUCUUUUGAUUGGAACAACUCUCAAAGGGGCUCACAAAUGCUCUUGGGAUCUAUGAUUUGGAGUGAGCAAAUGUGUGUGAGGUGGAAAUGUGUUCUUAUGAGGAUAAGGCUGUGUUGGGCCACCCUCUCACGAAGUGGGAGGGGGGUAUUUAUAGUGGGGAGAGAAAUACAGCCGUUGGGGAUACUUUAAGUCACACAGGGUCCGGACGUCCGCGAGGGGUCGGACGUCCGACGGGGGUCGGUCGUCCGAGGCCUGUAGAUACGACUGAAACUAUUUUGAAUUAAACAGCGAUCGGACGUUCGACAGGGGUCGGUCGUCCGAGGCCUGAAGAUACGACUGAACCUAUGUUGAAUUUAUCAGCCACCUGACGUCCGGAGAGGACAGGAAAUCCGAGUUAUACAGCUCAACUUCUACUGGUGGUAGGUUCCGGAUUUCCGACGGGUGUCGGAAGUCCGGCGCUCGGACGUCCGGAGGGAGCCGGAUUUCCGAGAUAUAGAACUCAACUUCUACUGGUGCAGGCUUCCGGAUUUCCGGGUCUUGGCCGGACAUCCGGGCCUCGGACGUCCGGAGGAAGCCGGAAGUCCGAGUUAUAUGGCUCUGAUUUCUCUGGUAUAGGAUUCCGGAUUUCCGAACUAGUCGGUCGUCCGGUCCUCGGACGUCCGGAGAAGGCCGGAUGUCCGAGGCACUGGUUCUGUUUUCAGAUAACAACAAAGCAGUGGAGAUGUGGUCUGAGCAGAAAGUGAUGAUGUAGUUUGAGCAAGUUCAUCGCAAAACCUGUGAUCCCCUCUUAAUAGUGCGGGAUCCCUAAGGACUCAAGAAUCAUAAAAGAGUACUGAUGAUCCAUACUUGAGUGUAUACUUUUAUUCGCUGAUCAUCACUCCGCACAACUAACGUCAAAGGAACUGAUACCUUUGAGUUAGCCCUUUCACCUGAGCUUGAUGUUGUUGUUCCUUCUUGGCUCAAGUUGAAAGCAAGACAUGAUGAAGUCUUCAAGUAGCUUUCCCAUACACAAUGCGGAAAGCCUAGCUUAUGUAUUCAUGUUCAUUUUUCCACCAUGUGAACAUCCACAAGAAUCAAGCAUGUAGUGCUCAGGAAUGCUUAUCUUGAUCUUGUCCUUGUUAGCACAUGAAGUUGUCCUUAUCAACAUCCUUGUUAGCUUAUGUUUCAAUGAUAUAUUCGUGCUGAUCCACUUGAACUUGCACACCACAAUCUUGAUGACGAUCACCACUUCAUUUGUCCACCAUGUGAACAUCCACAAGAAUCAAGCAUGUAGUGCUCAGGAAUGCUUAUCUUGAUCUUGUCCUUGUUAGCACAUGAGGUUGUCCUUAUCAACAUCCUUGUUAGCUUAUGUUUCAAUGAUAUAUUCAUGCUGAUCCACUUGAACUUGCACACCACAAUCUUGAUGACGAUCACCACUUGACGUCAUCCUUCAUGGGUUGUAUGAGAUCUUCCUUUUGACGCAAGCCCAAUGAAAGCACACCUAACCCCCCACACAGGAGUCUCACAAAGACCAUGGGUUAGUACACAAACACGUAAUGGACAAUGCUUACCGUACCAUGGGAUCACUUGAUCCCUCUCGGUACAUCUUAUACGCUUUGUGUGUUGAUCAUCUUGAUUUACUCUUUGUCUGAGAUCUUGAUCAACCUAGUGUUUCUAUGACCAUUCUUUGGAUAAUACCUUGAAUAACAUCUUGGUCAUCAUAUAAAAUCCUUGAACCCAACAGAUGGACUUCAAGAAGUGCCUAUGGACAAAUCCUAUAAAUAUAACUUAAGGCAACCAUUAGUCCAUAGGAAUUGUCAUCAAUUACCAAAACCACAUAUGGAGAUAUAUGCUCUAACACCUGCGAUGUUAGUACAUAACUACCUGUAGCGCCUCUGCUUACACCGUGCUACUAAUAAGUAGCAGUAGCGCCCUGAGCAAAAGCGCGCUACUCAUAAGCCUCCAUGUAUAAGGUUUUCCUUAGUAGUGGACGCCACUAUUGUGAAAGACACUACAACCGCGUUGUGUGCUCGGGGGUUUCCUCCAGUCUUGACAAAACUAAUGGUCUCACAUACAACCGUGUCCUCUCAUAUUCGCAAGAUGCCUGCAGAUGUACCCCUCAAGGUGCAACACGUCGCUGUGACGGUACUUCUCAAUGUGCAAAACGUCGCCCCCAACUGUGCCUCUUCGAAUGCAAAGCGCCGGCUACAUGAUUGCAACACCGUCAUACACAUCAUGCGAAUUUGUUUGUGCCUCCGACGAUUGCGGCUACACCAACUAUGAUAAAUUCUACAUCAACCACGACUACUUCGACUACAAUUACAUCACGAUCGGUGACCCCAACAUUAAUCACACGACUACGUCUACACCAACACAUCAACAACAACUCAGUCAACAACGUCCGCUUCGUCACGAACGUCCAUGCCACUCUCGGUGCGACUGGAAUAGAAAAUAGAGGAGAAACAAGGAAGGCACCAGAAUCGUGCAAAUUUGUUUGCGCCUUCGACGAUUGCGGCUACACCAACUAUGAUGAAUUCUACAUCGACCACGACUACUUCGACUACAAUUACAUCACAACCGGCGACCUCAACAUCAACCUCACGACUACGUCUACAUCAACACAUCGGCAACAACUCGAGUCGACAACGUCUGCUUCGUCACGAACGCCCACGCCACCUUGCUGUGACUGCAGUACGGAAUAGAGAAGAAACAAGGAAAGCACUAGAAGAGGACGUAGUCACCGCACAGGUGCCGAUCCAUCAAAGACGCAAUUGAUGAUGAAGCAAUGAAGAAGAUAACGAAAGCAUAAGACUUUAAAUUCAGUGAAGAUCGUUCGUUUCACUCUACGACUGAAGGGGAAUGUUAGAGAUAAUAUUUGAGAGUUAGAGAUAAAUAUGUAUUAGAGAUAAAAAUAGGUUUAAACAACCUUGACUUGUAUUUCUGGCACAUCCCUCUCUCAUGUACCUUAUAUAAUCCCUCACGAGGGACAGAUCAGUACACAACAGAUAUUGUAGGGUUCCAUAUUUUCCACAAUCAGAUUAAGAAAAGUAUGCAUAUUUACAUCCAUUUUGCAGAACCUUCAAAAGGUAGUGGUAAGCGUUCAAGUCCUUUGGAAUAAACAGAUAGCUGCAACUCCAUCAUCGUGGACCAAAGGCGCCUGGACUUCUCCUGAAGAAAUCAAAGAAUGCCGUCAGCGAAAUGAUGCAUGAAAACUUUAAGGCCUUGGUUACACAAAUAAAAAGACGACAGUUACCAUGCAUUAUCAUUCACCGCUGUUUCUUACAGUUGCUGUUAUACCCCCUCGACAACCUCUUCAAAGUGGGCCGGGGCGUACCCGAAUCAGCUUGUGCGAAAUAAUCUUCUGGAUCGUUUGGUACCAUGUUUCAUUAGCUCGUGUGAGAAAAAACAAUUUAAAAACAGAGGUUACCAUCAUUCUUGCAGAUCCAUGACUUCUUUUUUGCCUACAGAGCAUGCAUAGUUGCAUACCUUUGCAGCUCCUGGCAUCGGAAAAUCCUUUUUCCUUUUUGUCAGUUGAUGGCGGGAUUAACCUCAGAUUCUGGUCACACAGCAGGAUUAACUAUUUACUCUUAUUCUCCCGCAAAUUAAAAAAAUACUUUUGAUGACUUGACUUACAGAAAAGAUGAAGUUUACUGUUAAUGACCUAGAAUUUCAGAAAGGACGAAGUAUAUACAGAAGCUUUGGAUUCGUAGUUACCUUAACAUCUUCACCUCGACUGAGUCUUUGAACCUUCGGCUGGGCUACAUUCUUGUCGCCAGAUCUCUUUGCACCAACUGCGAUCACACCAACUUCCAUUUCUUUUUCUGGAAUCUCACAUUUCCCAUUGAAAGGUGGCAUGUAGCAAAACCUGAAAUUUUACAGCAUCAACACUUCAUACCUGUCAAAAAGGCACACAUGUGUGGUGUAUAAACUUUGCUACACCAAGAUGCUUAUCAAUUACUACCUCUGCCUGGAAUUACUUGUCAAUGACGUCAAGUUACUCAAGACGGAGGGAGUAUAAUUAUUGAAGUUCCUUUUCUUAAGUCUUAUACUUUUGGUAAAAAAAAAAWUUGGAAAAGGAGGCGAAGCCCCGGCCUCUGCAUCGAGGGAUGCAUACGGCCAUAUAUUAUUUCAAAACCAAGUCCUCGAAAAAUACAAAGAGUCUCCAGAUAAGUAAAUGAAGAAAAUAACAAAAAGAUACACGGCGUCGUCGCCACAACCGGGAGGCAUUUAAAAUAAGCCUAGAUGACUAAACACCUAUCCUAUUAAUAUGCCGUCAUCCAAAACGGUUGAAGAUAACCUGAGCUACCAUCUCCCAUCGGACGCACCCAGUAACUUUUGGUAAUAUAUGGCUACUUAAAAAAAUACUCAAUUUAACAAUGAAAAGAUUUACCAGUGAAAAAUAUUUGGGUAACGAAACUAAAUUUGAUGGUAAUAACAUGAAUGAUCGUCCAGUAAACUUAAAAGUCAGCAAGAUUCCAUAAACUGAAAAAUCAGCAUCGCUGUAGGACAGUAAACUUGUAAGGUAAUCCUGGCGUUGUUCAGAGUCAACUUUCCAAAUUCCAGCAGUAAGUACUUCCUCUGUAAAGAAAUAUAAGAGCGCUUAGAUCACUAAAGUAGUAAUCAAAAUGCUCUUAUAUCUCUUUACGGAGGGAGUAGCUGUUAUUACUGCUGGGACAGGAAAUCCCUUUAGGUACCAGGAAUACUGUAGCUAUGGGUGAGUACACCACUUUGUAGUAACAAAAUUCAUGCAUCAAACUCCAUAUUUAUAAGUUAUUUGAAAUUAAAAUGCUACAGGAUUCAUAUUUAUUUUUCAUAUAACUGAGCUUGCAUCACGAUUUGUAAAGUUGCGGCCGGUUUACUGGCUGUUGGAUGGCCAGGGCAAUCAUUCAAGUUAAGAACUUAAAACCCUGGUCACGAUAGCCAAGAUGCGGUAGCAAUGACAUGUUAAUUGCAAGCUGGAAACAUACAAACCAUUCACUGGGUAGACAGUCUUUAUCAAAGCCCACGCUCAGCACUCUCCAUUUACGACAGCUGUUGCACUGAACCCAGUCAUCAACAGCCUCGAUAUGCUCAGAGUCUUCUCUCUAUAUGAAGAGAGUUAACUAGAGUGAAUAAUCCUUUCGAAUAAUAUGGAACAGUGCAGAAGGUAAAAUGAUAACUUAUUACUUCUGUAAGAUAAACAUUUAGGUCCUGAGAGGAUAGAAAUGCAACCCCCAUCCCCGAUGAGAAUAAACCUCUGAUAGCAUGAUUACAUACAUGUAAGUAGACGUAUUUUCAGAAGAACUGAUAGAUUUGUAUGCAUGUAUUUCAUGCAGAAAAAGGGAAGUGCAUAUCACAUCUAUAUUUGUAUGUCAAUUUUACAGUAUUUACAGAAGACCUGGUAGGUUUUCAAUGGAUAGUAACAUAAAGUGUUAUUGAUGAUGGCAUGAAUGGGUAACUCAUACUGUCCACCAUGUUACCAUACCACCUCAUCAUGGUUAAUACUUUCAUUGGAAUUUUCAAAUGAAUGCAUGAAAACAGAGUUAUCUCCCAAUAUUAUCGUUCUUGUCCUUUUUCCAUGCAAAAGAGAUCUCAUAAUGCAUUUCAGGACAAGAUGUGUAAGCUAUUUUCCAAUGUAAAUUAAAUCAUACAUCCAUACCAAUUCAAGCUUGUCAAAAUUUCUAUCCCAGUAUUGAUCUGCUUUUCUCCCGAGCCACUCCUCCAGUUUGACAUACAUUUCACAAUCCUGAAACCCUUGCUUGCUGUUAAGAACCCAAGUACUACCAUCUUCGUUAUCCUGAAAAAUACAUCAAGAAGUUUAUGCCGGGGACACAAGGGCAAAGAAAUAGGAAAAUAGAGGAGCAAAGAACAUGAAGAAUAAAUCCUACAAUGAGGUCAGUAACAUCUGCAACUCCUAUUAUUCCACGCCCUGCGUCAGCAUUGUACUGUUGCCCUCCAACUCGUUUGUAAGACUGGGAAGAGAACACAAAAAUCAAUGUUACAACAAAUACAAAAUGCAUGACAAAAGAGUGCAAACUGUUGGCAAUAAUCUUGCCUCUAAUACAAAUAGGUUUAUGUGUUAGCACACGUUCUGUUCAGUUUGUAUUAAGUUAGCCCUAAUCUAUUCUCCACGUGAGAAGAGUUAGUUAGAGUACAAGGUUAGGCUGGUACGUGUUGUGUCCUAGUGCUAGUUUUUUUUUUUUAGAAAAGGAGGUUCAACCCCCGGCCUCUGCAUCAAUCGAUGCAUACAACCAUCUUUAUUAAUUAUUCUACAAAGGUCUGACAAAAAUAUACAUCAAACCACCAGAAGCCAUCAUUCACAUCUACAAACUCGAUAAUGUGGAGUGCUCUCACUCCCCAUAUCUAAAAUCGGUGUUGUCGUCAAUCCAUCCACAUAAUGUAUCGAGACCAACAGCCGGUGCAGCAUACCUAAAGCACACACCACAUGCACACAUUAGAAGCCGCCAUCAUCAUCGGUCCACUGACCCAUCUUCACGAGAGAGAUCCAUAUCAUCUUUGCCAGUCCGAACAUCCGUCGACGCCACCACGGCGCCAAACAACGCCUGUCCCGCGCUCAUUCGUCCAGACGCGAAGAUUCUGAAAGAACUGUCGUGCGUAGCACCUACCAACCAGGCAUGACUCAGCGUAGCACCUGUCUGCCAGGCAUGACUUGACAGCUCCACCAAAUCCCCGGGUCAGAUGAAGCCGCUCCAUUUCCUGCCUCUGUCAUCCAGCGCUGCUCCACAAACGAUGCUCCCAAGAGAGAAACGCCACCGCAGUACGGCCAUCGUUCGAUCUGGAAGGUCAGAUCUUAGGGUUUCCCCGAAGCAGUGCCCACCACCAGCAACCGUCAAGGACCCACACAGUGCCCACCACCACUCAGCCCUCAAGGCGACGCCUUCAGGAAGGUCACGGCGUCAAGGACGCCGCCGCCGCCCAUCGGAGUUAGGGUUUUCACCCGAGAGGCACCGAGGUAGGAAGUGGAGGGGCAGAUGUAGACCGACGUCUCCAAGAAGAACAACAACGCCCUUCAACGUCAUCGGCGGCGCGGCCGGCCAGGGCCGACCAAGGGGUUUCCCCUUAUUUGAAUCUCCUCCACCAGCUUCAUCCGCGGCCACGCCGGCACCGCCAGGAACCCGCAGGAGAGAAGCACACCGUGGGUAUCUGGAUCAAUGAAGAUCCAAUCUGGACAGUGACGAGUACCACCACCCUGCGCUGGCCGACGGCGUCCGGGCGCUGGAUCUAGAAGGAUCUGACCCAAACUCGGCGACGCAUGCGGCCAUCGUGUCUUGCCCCUCCCGCAGCCAGCACACCGCGCCGCAAGAACGAACCCCAGCCGUCAACGCGCUCCGCACGCCGCCGCUAGGAUCCACAUGCAGCGCCGCCACACCGUGCGCUAGUCCGGUGCCUCCUCACGAACGGCCGUCCCGCGCCAGCCAUAUCGCGUGAAGGGGAGAGGAGCCCCGCCGUCGUCCAGCGGCGCUGCUGGCGGCGGCGAGGAGGAAGGAGGGGCAAGGGAGGACCAGCGGCGGCGGUUAGGGUUAUCCCCUGGUCGCCCACGGGGGCGACGGGAGGGGGUUACGGGCUGCCUGCGUGUGUAUAUAUAUAUAUACACAAAAGGUCGGCGUGAGUUUUGUGUAUGGAGAUGAGAAAAACAAAGGGGCAUGAUAUGGGCCCUUGGCUAAAGUUUUUUGUGUGUGCGUGUUUGCCGAUUUUGAUAUGAUCGAUCUUGUGGGCGGAUAUCCAACACAUACAACUUGCUGAAACAAAGCACGCAUGUAUUGAGUGUGAUGUACAACACUAAAGCUCGAUCCAUUUUCUGUGAAUAGUUGCCACUUGUUACAUUCAACGUAGUUUUCAAUGCCCGGAAAGAUGGGGCUAAAAUUCGUUCUCCAUCUCUACCCUAGCGAGAAAAAGUCCCCCCGAGAAACAGAACGCCCGACAAUUGCGGUUUGGCGAUCUCGCUGGCGACUGGUGGUGCAAGGCCCGGCGACGGCCUUGCCCGCCGGCCGGAACGGGUUCUUGGCGGCGCGAAAACAGGGUUUCCACGCCAGGAAUGGAAUUCUCUCCAGUCAUCACAUCUGAGGGGCGAUUUUGGGCGAGGUCUAAGGAUGAAUCUGACGACGAGGAGUUGCAGACGGCAGCAGCUUCACCAACUCCAUCUGAUAUCGUCUGUGAGUCUAUUCUUGUCGGAUACUCCGACGAGCAAAUUGCGUCAGGUAUAGACAGGCUGAUUCCAGCGGCUGAUGAAGCCUGGAACGGCUUGGGUGACGCGGAGGAGGACAAACUCGAGGUAGUACGACGGGUGGUCCAGCGCCGCACAUCGCAGAACGCCAUUAAGCCAUGGAAAGGUCCUCUACCAAAGGUACGUUUACCAGCCAUUACUCUAGCGGAUUUCUUUCUAAAGUGCAAACAUGAGCCGAUCAGAGGAAAGCAAAGACGACCGGCGGUAGGAAGGCAGCCGGCGGCCACAUUGUUCCGAUCGGAGUGCCAGAUCCGAGAGGGAAGUUCAGAGCGUUUGAAUCGUUUGAUCGGCCAAGAUGGGCCAGAAAAAACGAGUUGUGGACAAGUGGCGGCUGGGUAUACGGCCCAGUUUGUUACGGGAUUGGAGUCCUCGGCGGUUAAGAUUGUACCACGGUCUGUCGGGCUGCAGUCCAACUCGGCCAGGGUUUUGCUUGGGUUAUUAGCGCCUCCACAGCCAGGUUUCCCGUCUCGAUCUGGGAGGGCUCGGCGUAUCCCGGCUUGGAUUUCGAUGACGGCGCCUCGCCCUGAGGCUUCGGCGGCGGCUACCAUUGCUGCACCUACGGGAGCAGCAGGUACUGGGGCUGCAGCUCUUAAGCGAGAUGCUGCUGAAGACCAUCAGGGUCAUGGGCUCAAAUCUGCUGGUAGAGGUGGCUCGGCUGCUGGCCAUCAGGGACGCGGCUUCCAGGCUGGCAGGGGCGGUCAUGCAGCAAUGGGUAACAGAGGGGGCGGUGGGCAGCAGGGUUACAGGCAUUACAAUAAUCAAUGGAACGAGUUCAACAAUCGCUCCAACUGGAAUUCAGGAGGGGGGCAUGGUGGUGGAGGAAACCAAUGGCAUCGACCCUUCCAGCCACCUGAGGGGAAUUUCGUUGAAGGUACUAGAGGGGAAAACUUUAGGCAACGAGGGGGUGCCGGAGUUCGGAACUAUGGCAGAAAUAACACAGGGCCGAUGUGGAAGGAAGUAUUACCUUCCGGCGGAGGGGAGGGGCAGAAUAACAGUACGUCCACGGAGUCUUUGCAGCAUAAAAACUCCGAGGACAGGGAAGUAGCGAGAGUGAAUAAGGCAGCUCGCAAAAAGGAGAAGCUUACGUGCUAUAGAUGUGGGGUGUCGGGACACUUUGUAGUGGAUUGCACAACUAUUUUAUGUGAUAUUUGUUUGAAGCCUGGACAUACAGAGGAUGCAUGUCCCUUGCUUCUAGUUCCCAAGCCAAUUAUGAACAUCUAUGGGGUCUGUCAUAGCAAACUUAUGUUCUUUGAGAUGCCACGAUCUUCUUCAGUCCUUGCUCCUCCUCGUCUUGAAAGUUCAAGGACGGGCAUGGUAAAAGUGACUAAUGGUGAGUUGACUGCCGAACAAGUGUCUCAACAGAUGAAAAGGCUCGUUUCUGAGACAUAUAAUUGGGAUCCGAUAAGGGUAGAUGAUAAUUCCUAUCAGGUGGAGUUCCCUAGAAGAGAAGACCUGCAACGAUUACUCACAUUUGGUGUUAGUAAGGUCAGUGGGAGCAAAUGCUUACUGGAGUUCGAGGAAUGUAUUAAACCUGCACCACAGGGUAUUCGGUUACAGAAGAGGUGGAUCAGAUUUUCAGGUAUUCCAGAGAUUCUACUCAAUGAUUUCCUUAUCGUAUGGAGCUUGGGUUCGUUGAUUGGGAAGACUGAGAAGGUAGAUAUGCCAUUCACUCGUAAAAGGGGGAUUGCAAGAUUGCUUGUGAUGGUGCUUGAUGUGGAGCAGAUACCAGAUUUUGCUCCAUGGUCAUAUGAUGGACUGCACUAUGACCUCGAUGUGGAGGUUGAGGAGGUGGUUCAUCAGAAAACACAGGAUGGCGAUGUGCUAAUGGCUGAUGGCGAGGAUAGAGAUAGAGAUCGUGGUGAUGCUAAUCAGGAUAGGUCUCCAGAGGCACCAACAGAUAACAUCAGCCCAUCCAUGCCUACAUCUGAUAAACCGACUCUCACAGGGGGUGCUACGUCCUCUUCUCAUAUGCAUAUGGCUGAACUAAGGUUUGGAUCAUUCAAGGUAAUGUCAACCUUAGGAGAGGAGGUUCGUGAACAGGCUUGGGAACAGUUGACUGUGCAAGACACCUCUUAUGCACUCGGUACCUCAUUUGAGAGGGGUGCCCCGAUGCAAACUCCUAAUAAGAAGGAUGAUAUGCAGUGUACUGCAGCCAUCCCGAAAGUGGAUCCCAAGCCUAUUGCUGCUGAUCUGAACAAGCUCAUGGAGGCUGCACACUCACACAUACCAGACUCAUCUCUCAAUACACCUGCUGGUCGGAACGAGAGGUCGGCCAUCAGGGAAAAUUCUGAGCCGCCGCAGGAGUGGGCAAAUGAAGCAACCCCGCCCCCAUCUCAUAAUGUUGUUGCUGAUGAGCCAAUGUCUUGGUGCAAGGACAAUUGCUUUUCAAGUAGUAAGCAGCAAAUAUAUUCGUUUAUAUCUGAUAAUCCUAUAUUUGAUUCACCUCUUGACCACAAUUAUGUUCAAAAUACGACAAUAGGGAAGGAUAACAUUGAGUUUUCUAAAGAGGAUGUGAUCUCGUUUGGUGGGAUUCCUGAUCUGUCUACGGAAGAUAGACGCUUCAGUCAGCGGAUUCAGGAGAUGCCUGAUGCUGAUGAUAUGUCCAUGGGGCAUGCUAUGAGGGCUGCCAAGAUUCGAGACGCUGAGAUGACUACAGGUAUGGUCAUUGAAAAUAAUCCUUCAAUUCUAAAUUUUUCUGAUGUAGAGAUUGUGAACAAUGCUAGCGACAUAGGAGUAUCUCUGGGUUCAUCUUCUAAAAUCAUAGCCAAAUCCAUCAAUGACAUGCUUGAUUUAGAGACGGAUAGAAACAUUGAGUUUAUUAAAAAUUUAGCUGCGUUAAAACCAAUGACUGAAUCGGAUAUUAACGACUUAGGAGGGGUACAACUCCAAAAUAUAUGUGAUUCAUUAUUACAUGAAGAGGCCGAAGAAAACGAAGUGGAUAAUAAGGAUUCGGAGGGGUAUAUGGCCUCUUCGAAAGCCAAUGUUUAUCCACAACCAAUAAUACAUUCGGAGGAGACUAGCUGUAUUCACGAGAAACCGAAAAGACCUUGGAAAAGGAAGGGUUUUCCUGUAUCAGCGGUACGAAGAAGCGCGAGAGUGAAGCAAAAGAAAAAGUUCUACGAUGAAAUAUGAAAGGAAUUUUUUGGAAUAGCAGAGGUCUUGCGGACUUGGCUAAAAAAAGAUUCCUUAGGGACGCAUCUCUAGAAUAUAAGCUAGAUUUUAUGGCUAUACAAGAAACCUGAAGGGAUAAUUUCACACCUCAAUUUUUAACGUCUUUAUCAGGAGGGGUCGAAUUCGAUUGGCAUUGUCUGCCACCAAGGGGAAGAUCCGGUGGGAUUUUACUUGGAGCCAAGUGUGAGACUCUAGAGGUGAUGAGCGUCAUUUUUGGGGAGUUCACCGUCAAAUUUCGUGUCAGGUCGAAAGUUGAUGGCUUCAAAUGGGCUCUAGUGGCGGUAUAUGGGGCGGCACAACCACAACUCAAACCUGAUUUUCUAGCAGAUCUGGUUAGAAUUUGUGGGAAUGAAACACUGCCAAUUUUAGUGGGAGGAGAUUUUAAUAUCGUUCGAAGGAAGGAUAAAAAAAACAAUGAUAAUUUUGACACUAGAUGGUCAAUGAUGUUUAAUAUGGUUAUUGAAAGCCUAAAUCUGCGAGAGAUCGAGCUUACUGGUAGACAAUUCACAUGGGCUAACUCAUUGCCUGUGCCAACAUAUGAAAAGCUGGAUCGGGUUCUUUCUACUGUUGAUUGGGAGCAGAACGUACCCUUUGGUUAAUGCACAUGCCUUACAGAGAGCUAUUUCAGAUCACACUCCUAUUUUGGUUGACUCAGGGGAGGGCAGCCAUAUGGGCAAUAAAAAUUCUUUCUCAUUUGAACUAAGCUGGUUCGAAAAGGAGGGUUUCACGGAUAUAUUAGCUACUGAAUGGGCUAGAGAUUUAGGAGGUGCUACCAAUGUAGAAAUUUGGCAAAAUAAAAUCAGAAAUCUACGCCAAUUUCUAAGAGGGUGGGCGAAAAAUCAGAGUGGUGCUUAUAAAAAAGAGAAACAAAGACUCACCACUCUCAUUGACGAUUUAGACAUUAAGGCCGAGCCGGGCCAACUAAGUUUGUUUGAAAGAAAUAUUAAGAAUGAUGCUGAGAUCAAACUACAAAAGCUUUUGAGAGAGGAAGAGCUCAAAUGGGCUAGUAGAGCUAAGGUGAUGAACGUCGCCUAUGGAGACGACAACACUAAGUUCUUUCAUAUGAUUGCAAAUGGCAAACAUCGAAAGAAGAAAAUUAUCCAGUUAGAACAAGAUGAAGGAACAAUUAUAGGACAUGAGAAUUUAAAAUCUUAUAUUUCUGAAUAUUAUAAGAGUCUUUUUAGUGCACCUAGGGAGUCGUCGAUAUCCUUAGAUGAAAACAAGGUUAAUGAUAUACCUCAACUCAAUGAACAGGAGAAUGAGGUUUUAUCAACCCCGUUUACAGAAAAAGAGGUGUAUGAAGCAAUUACUAGCAUGAAACAAAAUACAGCGCCGGGACCUGAUGGGUUUCCGGCAGAGUUUUAUAAAAAGUGUUGGCACAUGAUUAAGGGGGAUCUCAUGCCUAUGUUUCAAGAUUUGUUCAAUGGACAAUUACAGUUAUUCCACCUUAACUUUGGAACAAUUACGCUGUUGCCAAAAAAGACGGAUGCUAUGCGUAUUCAUCAGUUUAGACCGAUUUGCUUACUUAAUGUCAGUUUCAAAAUUUUCACAAAGGUUGCCACUAAUAGAUUAACGAAGAUAGCAGAUUCUGUGGUUCAGCCAACACAGUCGGCGUUUAUGCCAGGGAGACACAUCUUGGAGGGCGUGGUUGUCCUGCAUGAAACGGUCCACGAAAUGCACACAAAAAAACUAGACGGAGUUAUUUUUAAAGUGGACUUUGAGAAAGCCUAUGAUAAAGUCAAAUGGUCUUUUCUGCAACAAGCCUUAAGGAUGAAAGGAUUCAAUGAAAGAUGGAGAAAUCAGGUUGAUACUUUCAUCCACAAAGGGAGUGUAGGAGUGAAGGUAAAUGAUGACAAUGGUCACUACUUCCAAACGCAUAAGGGGUUAAGGCAGGGUGACUCAAUGUCUCCGGUGUUGUUUAACAUAGUAGCAAAUAUGUUGACAAUACUCAUUGAUAGGGCCAAACACAUGGGUCAUGUAGGUGGUUUAAUUCCACAUCUGAUUGAUGGGGGAAUUUCCAUUUUACAAUAUGCAGAUGAUACAAUUAUUUUCAUGAAGCAUGAUAUGCAGAAAGCAAUUAAUAUGAAAUUGGUGUUAUGUUUAUUUGAACAACUGUCAGGGUUAAAAAUAAACUUUAACAAAAGUGAACUCAUUUGCUUUGGAAAAGCAAAAGAGGAGCAGGAUGCUUACAGACAGUUAUUUGGAUGUCAAAUAGGAGCACUUCCAAUUAACUACCUCGGGAUUCCAAUUCAUCAUAGGCGACUAACAAUUAAAGAGUGGAAAUGCAUUGAAGAACGAUUUGAAAAGAAAUUAAGCUGCUGGAAGGGUAAGCUUAUGUCCUAUGGAGGAAGGCUGGUGUUAAUUAAUUCGGUGUUAACAAGCCUACCCAUGUUCUUAUUGUCUUUCUUUGAGAUACCCGUAGGGGUACGAAAAAGAUUAGAUUUUUACAGAUCGCGGUUCUUUUGGCAAAGUGAUGAUAAUAAGAAGAAAUACAGAUUGGCGCGUUGGGAUAUAAUUUGCAGACCCAAAGACCAGGGGGAUUGGGCAUAGAGAAUCUUGAAGUAAAAAACAGAUGUCUACUCAGUAAAUGGUUGUAUAGAUUAUCCACAGAGACAGAAGGAAUGUGGAUUCAAAUAAUUAAGAAUAAAUAUCUGAGCUCAAAAUCACUAGCGCAGGCUACUGCUAGACCUGACGACUCUCCUUUUUGGAAAGGGUUAAUGAAGAUUAAGAUCAAUUUCUUCCAGAGGGUGAAAUUUAUUAUAGGGAAUGGUGCAUCAACAAGAUUUUGGGAAGAUACUUGGCUUGGGCAUACUCCGCUAGCACUACAAUACCCCAUGCUUUACAAUAUUGUUCAACGUAAGCAGGACUAUGUGUCCACAGUGUUACAAUCGACUCCUCUUAAUAUAAACUUCCGACGGUCGUUAGUAGGAGUACGUUGGGAGGCAUGGUUGCAUUUGGUAAGAAGGAUUAUGAACAUACAAUUAUAUGUACAACCGGAUAAGAUUCGUUGGAUAUUAUCUCGGAAUGGCAGCUUCUCUGUGAAGUCCAUGUAUACGGAUCUGAUUAACACAGGACCUUUACUUAGAUCAGUUCACAUUUGGAAAAUCAAAGUACCCCUAAGAAUCAAGAUUUUCAUGUGGUUUUUACACAAAGGUGUGAUUUUGACCAAAGAUAAUCUGAUUAAACGUAGUUGGAGAGGCAGAGCUAAAUGUUGUUUUUGUGACCAGGAUGAAACAAUAACACAUCUGUUCUUACAUUGCCCUCUUGCAAAACUACUUUGGCGCACGGUGCAUAUAGCUUUUAAUGUGCCCCCACCUACAUGCAUUAAUGCAAUAUUCGCAACGUGGCUCAAUGGAGUAGACGUGCGAAUUUCUAGACUGAUUAGGAUUGGAGUAUGUGCUCUAUUUUGGGCUAUAUGGAACACCAGGAAUGGCUUGAUUUUUAAUGGCAACAAAUUCAAUAACUUUUUGCAGGUCAUUUACAGAGCAACUUAUUGGAUCCAUACGUGGUCAUUACUCAGUCAUGUGGACUCCAGGGAGCUUAUGGAUAUUGGGUGCAACCGAUGGGUGAUGGCCGCACGGGUUAUCUUCAACCGGUUUGGAUGGCAUGUUAGCAAUAGACUAGGUAUAUAGGCAUCGGAGUCUAUUAUCAUUUUCGCCGGAUGUGGCAGUUCGCUCUUUUAUUUUUAUUUUCUGCAUUGCGAGAUGCAAUUUGUUUUGGAACUUGGAUUAUACUUUGUUAUUUUAAUAAUAUGGCUGCAUGCAUCGAUUGAUGCAGAGGCCGGAGGUCAAGCCUCCAUUUCCAAAAAAAAUCUCUACCCUAGCAAGUAAUGGAAGAAAAUAUGUGCAAUGUAAUUGAACAGAAGUAUUGCAGUUUAUAGAUGUGUCAUAUACUCAUAUCUCUACACUAACAUUAACUUUAAAUGCGGGCAUCAGAUGACUUGUUAGUUCUAAUAUGGAACAUGUCAGGGUGGAACAAUGCAUGGAAUAUAGCUAAAUGCAAAUAGUCAACCUCUCCCACCGUUCCAAAUAUAAUUCUUUUUGAAGGUUUCACUAGGGUACUACAUACGGAUGUAUAUAGACAUACUUUAAAAUGUAGAUUCACUCAUUUUGCUCCGUAUGUAGUCCCCUAAUGGAAUCUUUAAAAAGACUUAUAUUUAGGAACGGAGGGAGUAUGUGUUAUGUAAUACAAUAAUGGUUAAUCCCACCUCUAUUAGACGCCCAUGCCAAUACAAGAACAUUCCACAGUUAACUCUAUCCCAUUCUUCAUAACUCAACCCCAGUGUCAGACGGAUGGUCCUCCCCUUGAUUUCACCGGACAUAACAGACGUCUCAUCAAGUUUUUUUUCCAAAUGACGGGUUAUGACCUAAAAAAAGGAAACAUGAAUGUAACAUGCUGCUACAAUAUAAGUGAAAUAUGGCAUAUGAAUAUUCCCACAUACCGGAGAACCUUGGACAGUGAUUUUCAUCUGAGGAUUCAGGAACAUAACUUCUAGAUAAGCCUUAAGCGAAUAAUCCAAUGGCACCUUGUAGAAUAUGAAAAAUGAAUCAUUGCUCGAUAUUGGAAAAAUAAUAUAGUGAAAUUAAUAACAAUCGUCACUGAUGCUUUGACAAAACAUGGCUAAUUUUUGAAUUACACGGUGACAUAUUGAGUCCUAAAUGACGAAGGGUAUACAACCGAAAGCCCAUCCAGCUCCCAAAUAAGGAUGGGUGGUACAGAUCUACCAAUUCUUUUAUUCCAGUCAGGGUGUGCACAAGCAUAAGAGCUCACUCAUCCCUCCAGUUGCAUAGGAACCAUUAGAACAAUGCAACACUACUUCUGGCCUCAACAAUGAAUCUCCAGGUCAUUUAUCGUCUAAAAAAGAAACUACCAUAUAAUGUUGAUGAUAAGUUACAUACAUUGCCACUUCUCUGUCCUGGACGCGAUCGGACUCUUUUUGAACGAAUUAAUAUGUCUCCGUUACCAUGACCAGCAGGAAUUUCAUUAAUCUUCUCUGGGUUCCAUUCCAAGGUGUAGUCAGCACCCCAUUUUUCUAAAUUCCAGAUAUAAACCUGUGUACCGGUACCCUCUUCACCAAAUAACCCCACCUUUUCUCCAAUGAAGUACUCAUUAAACGGGGAAAAUUCCUUGAUUGCAUCGAGGUUACGCUCUGCAGUAGCUUUAGACUGGACAUUCAAAUCAACUUCCAUGUAUUGUCCUUCCUUGCAAUAUGUCACCACAGGGAUCUCAAUAUUCUGCAGCAACUAAUACUAUUACAGCCUGAACAUGCCAAUAGACAAUGAAUGAAGGUGGUAUGUAGAACCAUGCUUACAUCUUUCUUGUCAUUGAAGGACUGCGAAAGAAAGGACACUGAUCUGGAAGUUGAAGUUUGGGUAAGCACUAGUGCAUCUUUCCCAAGUUUCAUAGACCCAGACUACAAAAUAUGUAGCACAAAUGUUUAUUGCUUGGGCAGUUAGACAUCCGAAAUUCCUAGUUUUUUUUGUUAUUUUUUUGAAAAAGAGAAAUUCCUAGUUAUACAAGACAGAAAUGAUUGAAGGUAAAGCGACUUUGGAGCAUGGCAUUUGAAGUGCACACGGAAACAUAGAAAGAGCACUAAUAGACUACUGUAGCCUUGCGGUGGAAUUCUUGUGAUGUCCUCAUUUACCCAACAUCAUUACAGAUAUCAAUAGUGAAGUAUAGACUGACAUAAAUAAAAUGUACUUUUAUCACACUCGGUGUCCUGGAUAUGGGGGCCGGUUUUAGUAAUAUAUUUCAAAUAAAUCAGACAAAUCAGAGCAAUACAACAUCUAAUUGAUGUAAAAUAGUGAAAUACUUAAAGGUCACUGAUAACAUGGAUCACAACAGUGGUCAGCAACCCAGAAAAGCAUAAGAAUAAGACCAUUUGACAAGAUUUUAGGACGGAUGUUUACCUUAAAUCCAAUUCCAAACCUCCCAAUCUGAUCCUUGCAGUGUUCAUUAGCUCCGUCAUGACCAAAUGAGACCAUUCUCAUCAUUUCCUCAUAAGUCAUUCCAAGGCCAUCAUCAGAUACACAUAAGACAGGAACUUUUCCUUUUUCCUUCUUUGAAAACAUAGAUUGGAUGGAAAUAUCCAAUCUUCCAUUAAUAAGGGAAAAAAAGAACGAAUCAGCAGUGCAAUCAAAUAACAAAUAGCUCCAGAUAAUCUUCAGGAUCUAUCUAAGAUACUAGCCUCGGUGAGGAAUUGUGAAAAUGUACUGCUACAGGUCAUGUUAUGUGAAAACUACAAACAUGUCGAAGCUCCUUAAAGCCCUAUACCACUAAAAGCAGGCCAUAUUCAUCAGGAGAGAAGCAAAAUGCAGCAGUUAAAAUUAGUGGCUAUCUUUUCAUGCAAUGGAGCUUAAUAAUAAAUUAAAAUAUUUUUCUUAUAGCUACCAUAUUUAUGUUUUAUUAUACAAUGGGGCAUAAAGUAGCAAUCACACAAUGGGGCAUAAAGUAGCACUCACAACACCUUGAAGACAUGGAUGUACCUGGAUGCACCAGCAUCUCUGGAGUUAUCUACGAGCUCUGCUACUGCUCCAAAGAUCCAGCCAGCAUGUGUCUGACCAAGUGUUCGGAGAUACCUAGGGUUUGUUUUAACAAAAUUUCUUGCAAGUGUAGAUGUUUUCUUCUUCACUUCUGGAUCUAAAAAUCUAGGACCAUUUUCAACAGAAUUGAAUCGUGAGGAUUCUGGAACAAACCCAUGGGGUUCUGUGAUAUAUGAAUUAUGGUGUUUACAUGAAAACUCCAUCUCCUUUAUAUGCGGUAUGUUAUCACAAGUCUCCUCGCUUGUGUUGGAUCUCCCUGUUGGUACAACAGAUAAGCGAAGAACAGUCAAUGAGCCAAAAAAAAAAAGAUCUAACAGCAUGCAUGGACUUUGAUGAUGCACAUCUUAAUUUUGAACUAAGUUAAAAGCUUCCAUCAACAACAUGAACAAGUAAUGAUCCAGCUGAAAAAAGUAAAAGUAAAAAGAAGCAAAUCUGAUUCUUAACUAAAAAGAAGCAAAUCUGUCUGACAAAUUGCAUAAACUUCUAGUGUAGAGAUAUCUUGGCAAUAGUCAAUGAGCUUCUCACUAUGAAACAAGUGGAGAAUACAAUACGAUGCUGAGCUAAUAACAAAUAAUCUCAGCGGAGAGAUGGUUUGCAAAAAAUAAAAACUCUCACCAUACAUCCCAUUCCCAGUCACAUUUUUGCAGACACCAUGAUCUUUCAGUUUAGUCUCAUACAAGACCAUUGCAGAGACAGAAUAUCCAGGAUACAGAAUGUGGAAGGUGACAGAUCCAAGUUUAACAGCGCAGGCCUACAAAAAAGUAGGAGGAAAACAAGGGACCUCGCAUUACAGACAGCGAAGUGGAGCUACCAAAAUGUGGUAUAACAAAAUACAACAUACUUCUUAGGCAACAGAAACACUACCCAUGGUUAAUUAAUUGCAAACUAAGUCUGACAAAAUACUAUCCCUCUCCCUCACCCCAUAAAUUUAUAAUUCUUAAUCUAGAUGUCUCUGUCACAUCAAACCAUAUCCGACACCAACAUCCUAAGAAUUAAAUCUCAUAGCGCAAUAACUAGGUGAUUGCCCAAUGCUCGCAAUGUGUUUCCUAAGAAGGGUGAUUUAAAAAUAAAUACAGUGCAGAUAAUAUUUACCUUCCCACUUUUGCGAAGGUAACACAUAAACCUUCCCCAUUCAUUUGUCUGAUUAUCAUCUUCCGGAUCAGGAACAAGUGAAAAUUUUAGGAAAUCAUUCUGCUGGUACUUCUCAACUGGCACGAACGUAGUAAUUGACCAAACAGAGGGACUGUACAAGGGAAGCAUAAAUUAAUCCAAUAUUCUGACUUUAUAAAUGCCAGUAAAAAAAUCAAGCAUAUAUGCAUGUUAAAUGCAUAGAUAGCACAUAAAUGCAUAAAUAACACGCACGGAAUGCUCCCAUAGAUUUUUAUUUUCAACAAAAUACUAACUCCCUUUCGCAAUAUUGUGUUGAGAUAGAUCUUUUGUAAUGUUCGUGCAUUCAGAACAAAGAGGUUGAACAGUAGUAAAUUCUAAUGUGUCAUUUAACAAGGGUUUGUUGGCUCAAUUUCACAAGCUAUUUCCUCAGACCUGGUGCUUGAUAGAAUUGGGUAGGUUUAUAAAACAAAGGAGUAGCUUCAUUUUCAAGUGGAUUAAGCAAGUAUCAUUGUAUUAAACACGAGUGCAACAAGAUUUAUGUGUUACACAGUCCAAACCCCAACCAAGACUAGUAUAAACUAGAUUCAGUGAUGGGACAAAGUAUGCUACACAAAUCAAGAAGAAUUCUGUAACACAAACAGUUUUCGAUGAAGCUCAUAUAUGCGGUAGUCACUCGUUAAAAUCAUCAUUUACAAAAAUUAAAAUGAACGUACAUUUUGAUGCCACUGGGAACGUCAUGGACUUUGGCCCGGCAUAUGUUCCUACUACGUUUUUUCAGCAAUACGUAGUUCAACCCAGAACCUACCAUGAAAAAAAUUAGGCAAGACAUUCCGCGAGGUACUGUAGCACAUACAACAUAUUCCAUAGAACAAGCCAAAGAAGCAAACUUCAUUCAUCAGAUAUGAUAUAAAUGUUAAGUUCAAUAUAAGAAAAAAAACUGGAUACAUAUGCUGACAUUAUUGGAUAUAUACACAUUUUGAACUAUGACAUAUACUCCUACAGAUUUGCAGAUUGUCACCUUCUGAAUUUUGCAAUCAGCAUGAAGUAAUGCAUGCUAUAUUUCCUUUUCCUGCUUGCAUUUUACAGAUAACUUUCAAAAUUCGCACAUUAGGAAGGGAAAUUUGGUACUUGAAAAUUAACAUGUGUUAACAUGAGCAUUUAGGCCCUCUAUCAAACCUAAGCUACUAAAAUUUAGAAGUAUAAAACUAAAUCUGUGAAUAUGCACUUACCUUAGGUAUUUAGACUAUCGAAAUUAAGGUGGGGCUUUGCAAUACACUAAGUUUCAGUAGUUCACAGGUGGGUGAGGUGCAACUUCCUCUUGACUUUUGAAAGGAUCUGAUCAAUAAAAUAGAUUGUCUAUUAAAAUUAUAAUAACAGCACCCAACAUUAAUAUCAUACCUUGUUCGCCGCGUGUAAUUCUUUUCGAUUCCUAUAAAUAGCAGAAACCAUCAGAAGCGAUUAGUUUACAAGUGCAGGACAAUGCACAUGCUCACAAAAUAAAUCAGGACUAUUACACGGAACUGGUAGAGAACUCUUAAAUUGAACAAGAACAAGAAUGUGAAACACAAAUUAUAGGUAGGCAGGAGAUGCAGGAAGUAUAAAGAUUUGAUAAAAUUCAGAAAUGAUGACCUUCUAACAAACCCAACAUCAAUUCAGAAUUGACAAGCUCAAAUUGCGCCCACGAAAGAGAUCCACGGGAUUUGAAGGGGUUUGGAAGGGAUUAAAUCAUCUACAAGUCAAAAUCGUCCUCAAUCCCCUUCGAUCCUCUCCAGUCCCCUCGUGGAAGGGAUUGCCCAAACAAGCCCUUGGUUGUACUACUACUUAUUUCGGAAUUCACAGGGUAGGUGUCGAAAAAUAUGGAAACGCCAGGCGAUUGGAGAUGGUCAGAUCCACGGGAUCGAAGAUCCGACAGUGCAAUCGAUGUGCUCCCGACAAACAUCAAGACUAUGAGAUGCUACUGGACAAAUUUGUCCCGAGAAGAAGCAAAAGAAAGCCUAAAAGUAAAAUGAAAAUACAGCCAGGCUACGAGGGCUUUCUUCUUCCUUGGUUGGCAUUACUUACCAUCGACCGGCAGCCUGGGCGAACGUGCGUGCAGAGAACGCCGGCCGGCGAUGGAAGCAGGUGUCGAUCGAGGUGGUAGCAACUAGGCGAGCAAGGCGACUACUCUCCCCAUUCGCUUUGCUACUAGUAGUACAGUAGUUGGCUUUGCUAGUAGCACUAGUAGCAAGCAGCAGCCCUUGGUAGCGGUGCGUAAUGACAGAACUGACCUUCGCGUGUGCUCAGCUCCUAUCGAUCACUGGUACUAUAAUUUUGGCGUGUGGCAGUCCUCUACCCACGGGAACUCCCAUUAUGCCCGUUCUGUCCCUGCACAUGCAGUGCAUACAGGAGUAUCUUCCUUUCCCCCAUUCUUUUAUGUUAUUUUUACAAAGUGAUCUUCAAGAAAAUUAUUUGCUUACCUCUUUCAAAAACUUAUUUCGUAAUCCGACCUUCUCAUUCGCCUCUAAGGACAACUCCAACGGACCGAUCCAAACGGACGACGAUUUUGUCCGCUUUUUGUCUGUUUGGGUCGGUCCAGCCAACACGAAUGUCCGCUUCGGCGUUUGGGUCGACGCAUGUGUCCAACAUUGGUCCGAUCUAUUUUUGCCGGCGUGCGAAAAAAAUAUAAAGUAUUUGCGAAAAUACUAAACAUGCACAAUUAAACAUUAAAAGCCGACCACGAAGGCCGGCGAGAGUCCACGCGUCCGCAUUACAUUAAUUAAACAUUAAAAAAACUCCGAGGCAGCCCUAGGCGUCGUCGUCAUCGUCAUCGGGGCCAGUGACAUCAACCAGCGUAGGCGUAGGGCCGGUGACGUCAACCAGCGUAUGCGUAGGGCCGGCGCAGGGGAACAUCGUGUUUCAGAGCGCAGCUGUCUGCGCCUCCUUCGUUUGUCCCAUCGGCGCGGGCUGUGCUGGUGGCGGUGGCAGCGCGGUAGCACGUGCGCGCUCCUCCUCCUUCAUCUCCCGUCGUUCCUCCUCUGCCUCCUUUUCCAGCUCCAUCAGCCGAAGGCCUUCGGCGUGCUCCGCCCGCAGGUGCUCCGUCCUCCAGUGCUCGAGGUAGGCCUGCUCCUGCUACGGUGUCGCGCCCAGCCAGAUGGGCGGCACACUGACAAACUCGCGGAUGCAGCCGGUCCACUGGUAGACCUCAUGCGGCUCAGUGGGCUCGGGCUUCGGCGGAGGCGGCACACGCAGUCGCCGGCGGCCGACAUCGCGAUGGCCUCCAUGAGUUGUUGCUGGUACACCGCCUCCUCGUCGGCCCUGCAUAGCUCUUCCUCUUCACUAUCGCGGAGCACAGCUGCCAGCGCCGCCUGGUAGGUGGCCUCAGCCCCCUGGUCCUCGUCGCUGACCACAGGCGGGGGCGGAAGGCCUCCUGGCUGCACGUCGAGCACGCCACGACGACGCUGCUCCUCGUGCUCCACCGCGAACCAAAGCUCCCGGUUGGGGGAGUCGGCCGCGUAUGCAGGGUUGUGCCGCUGCUCCGGCGUCAGCAGAUGCCGACGGCGGCUCACCUCCUCCACGUGCACCCGCGCCGACCACGGCACGGCCGGCACCGGGAUCCUCUCCGGAUCCAGAUGUCAGUGGUGCGGCAGGGUGACGUCGGGGUAAGGCAGCAACACGUGGUGCUCCCAAUGCCACCGCGCUUGGUGCACCGGGACACUCACACGCUGACGAGGCCGGCGGGAAGACGUCGGUGGGGAGACGGCGCGGGGUAGAGCGGGGCCUUGCCCUUGUUUGGGAAGAAGCCGACCAUGGUUCUAGGAUUUGGUCGUCGAGGAGGUGGCGAGAUGGGGACGGGUGGGUUCUGGAAGCAGAUGAGGCGGAACCCACCGGACGCUCGGAUUAAAAAAAGCCAACCGCGGUCGCUGACGUGUGGGCCUGAGGAGGGCAGCCAUCAUAAAUAAUAUUGACCGCGGUGGUUGGGGGCGGACACCGAGAGGGGGGCGCGCAUCCGCUUCGCAUCCGCCCCGACGCAUUUCAGUCCUAAAUUUAAGCCGAAAAUUGGUCGGAGCGAACGUGUUUUGAAAAUGGGUCGACGCGUUGGACCAUCCUUUUGUCCAUACCAACCCAAACGGAUGGCGACAGACCAAAUGGAUCGUCCCAUUUUACUCUAACAGUGUAACCGUGAAGCCGCCGUACCUAAGACGUCUUUGAUCGGUAACGGUGUGUGGUCAUCAAUCAUGUCAUCAGCAUGACACUUACAUAACGCGCAUACAAUAAAGACGCAAUAGAGUUUUCCAUGUAUUGAAAUACCAUUGGGCCACCAUUUUCCGUUAAUUAAGCCUAAAUACUUAUCUUUCAGUACAAACGACGCUUCCUGCUCUAACCCCGCGUCGUCCUUUUUUGUCCAGAGAAUUGGUCACAUCAGAACGGUAAACACAUGCAAUGCCCUUUGCUUUUCUUCUCUCUCUCUUUCUCUAUUAUACGAAUCUUACACGACCUGCCGUAUAUAUAUAUAUACUUGCACCGUUUUUAGCCCCUUGCAUAGUUGUCUCAGGUCAGCCUAGUUGAGCUAAGGGUAAAAAAUAAAAAAUCAUCAUCUACGCAUUGUUUGAUUGCCUACAUACUGCUUCCAUGCAUCGUAGCAGCAACUCUACACAUUGUGUUUGAUCGCUCAUAUUGGCUGGGCCCAUACUAUUGCACAUUUGUUUGGUGGCAUACAUGCAGCAAGGUUUGGGUACCUUGUAUCCUACAUGAUGAGCUUACUAGCUACACCUUACACACGAUCGUGCCGAUCACAACAAUAAAACAACACCACAAUCACGACUAAUUGGAUGAUGUUGGUGUAGUUCUUCAACCCAAACUGUCAAUCUGACUUGGCAACUUCAACACCGCAUGUCUAUUUGAGCACAUCCUUGGACUAAGCAUCAUGUGUCGUCUGCCUACUCUUAAACCUUCUAUGGCAACCCGCCACUUGUUCACCGAAUGAUUACCAUGAGCUGUAAAUCCGGGAACCCUCCCUCGAAACACCACUUACUACUCACCCUGGCAUGGCGGAGGAGCAAGAAUUCAAGUAGCAAGCAAUGAAGCACACUAGACAUGUAAUAUAAGUAAGCAUGCAUUAUCAUACGCCAUAGCAAGUUUACCGUACCACUACUAUGGUGUCAUCAUACCACCACAUCUAAAAGAGAGUAUUAUCCUACCAUCGUUAGUUUGUCAUCGGCGUGAGGGGUUACUAUAUACCACCUCAUCAAAAUAAACAAGCAAACAUCAAGAGUUUAUCAAGCCCUGGCCCCCAUAAAACGUAUAUCGUCAUUGUCAUCACCGUUGCCAUUACCGUCAAGGAUCAUGCACGUUGUCACCAACACCUCCAGAAACAACACUAGUAGUAGUGCUUGCCGAGCCAAGUCCUGAGCCAUAGGACUCUAUGGGCGUCUGCCAUGGCAAAAAACCAACACCACGGGCCCUGUUGUCCAGCAUGUGGCUCAGAGCCGCCAUUAGGGCCUUUGGGUCGAAGCCUCCUUGGUCCAUGACGGUGAUGUCUACUACGUAAAUUUAUUAUUGUCGGCGUUGUUGGGCCUCCAAGUGCAGAGUUUUGUAGGACACCAACAAAUUUCCCUCAAGUGGAUGACCUAACGUUUAUCAAUCUGUGGGAGGUGUAGCAUGAAGAUGGCCUCUCUCAAACAACCCUGCAAUCAAAUACAAGAAAUUUCUUCUGUCCCCAACACACCUAAUACAAUGGAAAAUUGUAUAGGUACACUAGUUCGGCAAAGAGAUGAUGAUACAAGUGUUGUAUGGAUAGUAAAAAUAGAUUUUUACUAGUCGUGAAUAUAUAAAAAUAGUGAGGUAACAAGUAUUAAACAACGAGCAAAACGUUAUAUAAAUGCUUGAAAAUAAGUCCUAGGGUUCAUACUUUCACUAGUGCAAUCUCUCAACAAUGCUAGCAUGAUAGAAUCAUAUGAUCAUCCCUUAACGUGCAAUAAAGAAUCACUCCAAAGUUCAUAAGUAGUAGAGAACAUAAGAAGAAGUUGGUGUAGGCAGUGAACCACCUUAAAGUUAUUUUUCCGAUCAAUCUUUUGAGCUAUUCCUAUAAGUGUCACAAACAUCCUUAGAUUUCAUACUAGAGUAACAUCUAUGAUACAUAUCAAUCAACCCUAAUGUCGCCUAGAUACUCCAAUGUCACCUCAAGUAUAUGUGGGUUAAUUAUUUGACAUGCAUAAAACAAUUUCAUAUCCAUCAUAUUCAAUCUAACACAAAGAACUUCAAAGAGUACCCCAAGAUUUCUGUCGAAGAAAGUAGGACAAGAACAUGUAUCAACCCCUAUGCAUAUAUUACCCCAAUGUCACCUCGGGAAUCAGAGAGUUGAGUACCAAAACCUAUAUCAAGUGAAUCAAUAGAACCCCCCAUUGUCACCAUGGGUAUCCACAACAUACAUGAAGUGAUCUCAAAUCCAAUAUUCAAUCCAAUAUAAAAUCUCAAAGGGAAAGAUUCAAUUCAUCACAUCAAGAUAGCAUGGGACAAACACCAUAUGAUCCAAAUAUAUUAGCAAAGCCCAUUAUACAUCAAGAUCGUGACAUCUCAAGAACGCGCGCGCGCGAGAGAGAGAGAGAGAGAGAGAGAGAGAUUAAACACACGGCUACUCGUAUAUAUGCUCAGCUCCGAGGGUGUAGGAUCGAAAGUAUGUCUAGAGGGGGUGAUUAGACUACUUGACAAGAUAUAUUUUUUACAUUUUCCCAAUUUUAGUUGAGAGGUAGUUGUGGCAGUUAUAUAGCAAGUCAAUACACCCUACACAUGCAGUUCUAAGAGUAUAGCAGUGGAAAGUAAAACAAGCAACUGUAAAGUAAAAGGAGUAAGAUAGGGAGAUCAAACUCAUGAGGUUGACACGACGAUUUUUGGCAUGGUUCCGAUAGGUGGCGCUAUCAUACAUCCAUGUUAGUGGAGACUUCAACCCACGGAGGGUAACGACUGCGAGAGUUCACGGAGGGCUCCACCCACGAAGGGUCCACAAAGAAGCGGCCUUGUCUAUUCCACCACGACAUCCUUCCACGGAGGACUAGCCUUACUCAUGGUAGAUCUUCACGAAGUAGACGAUCUCCUUGCCCUUACAAACAUCUUGAUUCAACUCCACAACACGAAGUAGGAGGCUCCCAAGCGACACCUAACCAAUCUAGGAGGCACCACCCUACAAAAGGUAAUAGAUGGGGUAGAUCAAUGAACUCCUUGCUCUUGUGCUUCUAAAGAUAGUCUCCGCAACACAAAAUCACUCUCUCAUAGAAUAUGAAUGGGUAGGAGAGGUUGAUUUGGUGGAAAGCGGUUUGGGGAGGCUAGAGAUCAAGAUUCAAAUGAUUGGAUUGGAAUAUCUUGGUCUCAACACAUGAGUAGGUGGUUCUCUCUCAGAAAAUGGAUCUAGAUAUGAAGUGUGUGUUCUGAGUGCUUCUCCCACGAAUGAGAGGUGAGUGAAGGGGUAUAUAUGGGCAACACACAAAAUCCAACCGUUACACACAACAUGGCAAACUCGGUGACACCGAAGUUGGGAACUAGGUGGUACCGAUUAGCACAAAAGGUGUGAACUUUUGAAUCUCGAUGAGACCGAUAUAUGAAACUCGGUGGCACCGAAAAGGUGGCUAACGGUCAGAUGGACAAACUUGGUGGCACCGAUACUCAAACUCGGAAAUUCUGAUUUUGUGUAUCGAGGCACCCGAAAGUUGGUCACCCAAACUCGGUAGCACCGAUAUGGAUUCGGUUACACCGAUUUGGUAGCAGUGGCUAGGGUUUCUGUCUGAGGUCAAACUCGGUGGGUCCGAAAUGUGAAAGUAUUUUGAUGGCUAACUUAGAGCACUUUUGAGAAAUCAGUUCAUUUUACUACCUCACCCCUUUUCAUAGUAUUGGCUUCCCUAUGGACUCAAAUGUGAUUUCUCACAAAUAGAAAAUGAAGAGUCUUCUAGCUUGAAGCUUGAGCCAACCCUAUUCCUUUCUUGCAUCAAGGGGCAUCUCCACAUAAGCCUUUAGCCAAAGCAUCUUUUAACUUUUCUGAAAUAUUGUCACGCCCAAGAUGCGACCCUAUCCUCAAUUUGGCACGAGGGCCUCGUCAGGGAUAGAAGCGCAUCUCGUCGUGUCGCAAGAAUGGAUAUCGUUACAAGUACAUGUACUGAAAAGGGGAGAUAUAUAAAGAGUUGGCUUACACUCGCCACAAGCUACAUCAGAGUCACAUCAGUACAUUACAUAAUCAUCAAGGGUAAGAGCAGGGUCCGACUACGGACGAAAACAAACGACAAAAGAAGAACGACGUCCAUCCUUGCUAUCCCAGGCUGCCGGCCUGGAACCCAUCCUAGAUCGAUGAAGAAGAAGAAGAAGAAGAAGCAACUCCGAAUGAACAAUCAACGCGCUCGCGUCAAGUAAUCUUUACCUGUACCUGCAACUGGUGUUGUAGUAAUCUGUGAGCCACAGGGGACUCAGCAAUCUCAUUUCCAAAGGUAUCAAGACUAGCAAAGCUAAAUGGGUAAGGUAUGGUUAAGUGGUGAGGUUGGAGCAGCGCCUAAGCAUCUGUUUGGUGGCUAAACUUACGAGUACAAGAAAUGAAAGGGGGAAGAUCUACGCAUAGCGGAUGUGAACUACGGAUGAUCAACUGAAUGACCCUGAACACCUACCUACGUCAGUCAUAACCCCACCGUGUCCUCGAUCGGAGAAAGAACUCACGAAAGAGACAGUCACGGUUACGCACACAGUUGGCAUAUUAUAAUUAAGUUAACUUCAAGUUAUCUAGAACCAGUGUUAAACAAAGUAUCCACGUAGCCACAUAACCGCGGGCACGGCUUUCCGAAAGAUUUAACCCUGCAGG